This 112786-nucleotide long non-coding RNA is filed under the name Sorghum bicolor (sorghum). Its description in RNAcentral is "long non-coding RNA (SBIC_LNC012138)". Lineage: Eukaryota; Viridiplantae; Streptophyta; Magnoliopsida; Poales; Poaceae. The record is from RNAcentral.
UACCUAUGUGUAUCUUUGUAAGUGUUAGUUUGGAAGUACUGUACAUACUUCUAUUGGCUUUUAAAUUAAGCAUGGUGCUUAGGUUAAAUAGCCUUCCUUAAUCUAAUUAGACAUGGAGUCUAGUUUGGUUACUGAACUAAAAACUGCUUGAGUAGGCUUUGGUAUAUUUUGUCGGACUAACCCCUGCAGGAAAACUUUCAAUAUCAACCUGGGAAGUCCUGAGAUAUAAACUCAUUGGAGAUAAAGGAGACACAUGAAGUUUAACAAUUUGCACAAGAAGGACAUAGCUCAUUCAUCAUAAAGAGAUGAUCCAUGGAGGAUGCCACAAACACGAUGCACAACCGCUAAGAAAGAAAAGCUUCCACAAGGUGAUACUAUACCAUCACUCUUCAAUUAAGGUAACAUCUUAAGGUACUUGACUAUCGCUUCUAUAAGUUUCUUCUUGGUUCCAGCAUACACAUGAAUAAAAGAGACAAACAUGUAUGAUUUGUAGCUCCAAAUUAACCAACCCAACUAAUUCAAUAUGUUUAGUCCUUUAAUCUUUGUUCUUAGUACUACCUUUGUGAUCCCACACUCCUAAUCAUAUAAGCUAAUAUGUUGCACAUUCAAUCUUUGGAAGAUAUAAACAAAACAUAAAUAUAGAUAGAUUAUCUUUCCAUUAGGUUCAGCCAUCUCACAAAUGCUACACUCAUGAUCCAUCAACUUUGUCUUGCUCACUAUGCUUAAGGUUAGAGAAGAACAAAUACACUUUUGGUUCUGUUGGUGUUUUCCACCAACAGGGCCCAUGCACUUGAUCUCUGCCUUCUCUCUAUGAACAGGUACACUUCAAGGAAAACAUGGAGGAGUUUUACAACUUCCAGACUCCACCAACUGAAGGACUUGGAUCUACGAGCACAAACACACUGCACAGGAUAUUGCCAACACCGCACUUCGAACUGCUGGGCAAACGAAGAACAUGGGUGACACUGUAUCAAGAGGUGCAAACGUCAAGGUCCACACCUAAUCAAAUGAUGCACCUAAAUGAUGAAGACGGUGAGAAGUCUUGUAGACUUAAAACAUUGGAUCCUUGUCGGAAGAGAUCAAGAUCGUCGACUCAAGUCGCCUUUCCUGAUCAAGAAGGACGACCCUGGUGUUCCAAGCAUCAAGUGCGCAAUCAACGGAUAGUCUUUUCAGAAGACACUCUACGACACAGGAUCUGAUGACAACAUUAUGGCCGCAGUCACUUAUCAACUCCUGCAUGGAACCAUGCCCCUACAACUAAUAUACAUUCAGCUCCAGAUGAUUUUUAGGACAUUGACAUGGGAGAAGACGAGUAUGAUCCACCCACAAUCCUUGGAAGACCGUUCCUCAACACUAUCAAAGUUAUCAUCUAUAUUGGAACCGGAGAAGUCUACAUGCACUUCCCCUCCAAGAAGCUACGCCACUAUUUUACUGACCUUAACUAUAUAGUUGAAGACUCUAAGUAGGUCAGGACAAGAAGAAGACGACGCAACCAGAGGAGGCAAAUCAUCAAGGACGGAUGGGCAGACUACGAAGGAAAAGUGAUAAGGUCUGAAGACAUAUAGCUUGAACAGAACUGUCCUGAGGAGACCGUAGCACCGAGUCAGGUGUGGAGAGAGAAUAUAGUUACACACGAAGAGGAGGCGCCGCCGGAACCACCGACUACGCCAUCCAGCAAAUCCCAGGACGACUGAGAAAACGGAGAGUCCCGUUCAGAGGACUUAAAAAUACCGAACGCCUUGCCAAGAGGUAAACUUGGUAGUUAUCCUUUGCCAUUCAAUAGUUUGCUUAGUUAAUCAGGUUCAUGCUAUCUUGAAAAGAAAAUAAAAAUGUUAAAAAAAUAGUAAGCCCCAUGUGAGUAUGCUCAUGGCAUAAAACCCAUAAGUACAUUCACUGUGGUGGCAUAAAAAUAAAAUAAAUAAGUUUUCAUCUUACAAUAAAAAUAUAAAAAUAAUAAGUGCAUGAUCCUGCUAAAUAAAUAACAUUUAUUGAGGAGGCUCAACAUGAUAAAGGCAAAGAGAUUUUAUGCUAACACUUAACCAGUUCCACAAAGCUUUGUUGUCUAUUUGAGCUCCACAGAAUUCAAGGAUCAAAGAAGACUAACAAACGGAGGACAUCCUAAUCGCUGUCAGGGUGCUGCCGACUUUCAAAUAUACCUCCACCACCUGCUAGCUACAUUAGAAGAAAUUAUGUCAAAAUCCAGCUUGGGGAGAGCACCCCCAUUUUUCCAGCUAAGUGUUUAUACUCGCGUUUAUACUUUACUCAAAUAAUAAAAAGAUGCAUAAUCAUAAAAAACCCAAAUAAAAAUUUUGUGCUUUUAUAUAUAUCUUUGCUUAGUUUGCUAAAUAAAUAAAUAAAUAAAGUUUUCUAUGAACCCUCAUGAUAAACUCUCACAUGGAAAUGACGAAUAGUUGCUCUGCUAUGACUAGUUCUUAAAAUUGAAAUCCCUCUCAAGUUUAGGCAUAACUGUUAUAAUUUAAAGCUUGCUCUAAACCUGAACUUGUGGGAAAAGUACUUGAUCUAAAGUCAAAGUUGUUAACGGAUAUGAUAUGGGAAGGUUUUGCUGUUGUUUAUCUGUUCCUAGAGAUGCUAGAAUUCUGGAGAAUUUUAUCUUUGAAAAAUCUUUAAAAUAUCACAUGAUGAGUUCCUUUAUGAUGAGAGUUUAAAAUCCUACCACAGCCAUAUAUACAUUCUUAUUAGUCUUUGAGCCAAACAUUUACUUUUUACUGCUUAUGAGCAUUGAGUGUGGUCAAGCUGUGUAGACCCUUAGGAGCUUGUCAUGUGGUUAAAAUCAAGAUUCACUUGCAUGUUCACUCGUAUAUGCUGCUUCUACUCCGGAAGUACGCAUCCACAUACAUCCACUCAUUUCCAUCUCCAGAUUCACCCAAAAUUAUUCUACACCUAAUCAGGGAGAGAAUAGCCAAAAACAUUUUCCUAUCCCUGUUAUUUCCUGUGAAAUAAAUGCUCCAGUUAUUUUGGUUACUACCACUUGCUACAUUCUUUCAGGAGAUGAGUGCUCUAAAAAAAAGAGAGAAAAAAAUAUAAUACGAGGAAAUAAAAAGGGGCAAGUGCCUGGAACCUCGAAGAAAAGAAAAAGUGAGACGAGAGGUAAAAAUGGACAAGUGUCCGACAGUAGAAUUAGGGGUACAAGAUACCCACCUGAGAGAAAAAGAAAAAGAAAAUAAAGAGCAUCUCAUUAUCCUCAAAAAGCUUCAAAGUGCAAAAAAGGUAUGUAUCCCCUUAAAAGUGCAAACGUAGAAUUAGACUUUCACCAUUGUUAUCACCAUCAUCACCAUACACCAUUCAUUCGCCACACAUGCACAUCUUGAUUUGACUUAUUAACUUGUUUCUCUGGAUCUAUGGUUUGACUAUGCAAUAAAUGUCUUGUAAGUAUGUAUUAGCUGUCUCCCACCUAUGAGCUCCAGAUAUCAAAACAUUAUUAGAGUAGGGUGAGAGAGAAGGUAAUAUCACUAUACAUUAUACCAAAAAUACCACAUACUUUGAGAGAAGGCAUAUACCAUUACUGCCUUGGUAAGGAUCUAGAAAUACCACAAAAGAGAGAUUUGAGGGAGUCAUACAAGGAAUCUCUGAGUUUUAUUUGAAAAUCUGCAAAAACUCUAGAGCUAUAGCUGAUCAAGAAUAAGAGACAUGGCGCUUGACUUGACCGUUCUAUCUUUUAACUGCUCAAGACACAAGUGACGGUUACAAGCCCCAUGGUGAAAGGUAAAAUGAGUAAGUAUUAAGUCUUAACAGUUUAUUCUAACUCAGAGAUGAGAUCUUGCUUGAAUGCGUGUGUACUUUUAAGGCAUAAAACCACUACAGAAACUCUUGAGUUCAUCCUUGCUCAGGGACGAGCAAGAGGUAAGCUUGGGGGAGUUGUUGACGGUCCUUAAGUACCAAAUAUAAGCAUCAAAUAAAUAAAGAAAAGGAUCCAAAUGUAACCAACACCUAGACUUAGAGUUUUAUCUGACAGAAUUCCACGAGUUUUGGUGUUUGUCUAUUUCUGCAGGGGGUUAUCAGGAAAUAAGGAAGAAAGGCCCACACGUCGGGAUUACAUAGAGAUAUCAAAGCACCGUGCAAUUUUCUACCAUCUAGAAGACUCCAGAAGCCACGGGAAGAAAGCAGAGGCCGAAAGGGGCCAUGCCCAGGGCGCCCGCCCUGAGGACCUAGGCGCCCACCCUGUCCUGGACUCCGUUCGGGACUCUCUUCACACACGAUGUUCCACCGACCUAAAGGAUCAAGGAUAACGUAGUACCACAUCGCCUACCGACCCAAAAACGCAUAGAGGAGGAGGAAGCUCUGUUGGUAGAGCUGAAACAAGUAGAAGAAGCUCUGUCCCAAGCUCAACAGGAAGAGAGUCAGCUGCCCGAGACGAUCAAGACCCUUGAACAAGAGCGAAAUGCCCAAGCUCGCAAGGCGCUGCAGAUGAAGAAGAAGCUGAAACCGGUGGAAGGCUCUGCCGAUGAAGAUAUCAAGGAAAUAGAAGAAGCCGACCAAAUUCGUCUGCGUGCUAUAUCGGCCAUUCAAGCCCUGCUGAAUGUAUGAACUCUUCAUCGGUGAUACGUUCUGCUUUUUCUUCAAAACUGCUGAUUAUUUUGGUCUAGCUGAUAGGACUGUUAUUGGCAUUUCUUGAAACAUCAUAUUCAGUCCAAAACACACUUUAAUCCAGCCGAUAGGAAUGUUAUCGGCACUUAAACUUUUAUGCAUCGACCCAUAUGCUUGAGUAAUACUUCUUCAAAUAUUUUCCAUUCAACGCUCUAGGAAAUUCAACUCCUUCGAGAGUUUCCAAAAUAUAGGCAUUACCAGGAGCAGAUCGAUUUUUCUGAUAAGGACCUUCCCAAUUGGGAGACCACUUGCCAAACUUUGAACUUUUAAUCCCAAUCGGUAAUAUUAGUUUCCAUACCAAAUCUCCAUCGGAAAAUUCCUUAGCCUUUACCUUUUUAUCAUACCAUCUGGCCACUCUCUUUUUAUUCUCUUCCAUACUUAUCAAAGCCUUUAGCCGAUACCCUGCUAAAUCAUCCAACUCGUCUUUCAUCAAAGUAGCAUAAUCAUCGGCGGCCAACUGAUCUUGAAACGAUAAUCGCCUAGAUCUGGUCUUAAUUUCCCAUGGCAGCACUGCAUCGUGUCCAUAUGCUAGUUGAUAAGGUGAAACUUUAGUCGAGCCAUGACAUGCCAUUCGAUAUGACCAUAAAGCCUCACUUAACAAUGUAUGCCACCUCCUAGGAUUUUCUUCAAUCUUCUGUUUGAUGAGUUUAAUAAUCCCUUUGUUAGACGCCUCGGCCUGCCCAUUGGCUUGAGCAUAAUAAGGAGAAGAAUUCAACACUUUAAUUCCCAUACCGAUUGCAAAUUCAUCAAACUCUCCCGAUGUCAACAUAGUACCCUGAUGGGUAGUAAUUGUCUGAGGAAUACCAAAUCGGUAAAUAAUAUGCUCUUUCACAAAAUCAAUCAUAUUAGCCGAUGUAACUUUCUUCAAAGGAAUAGCUUCAACCCACUUAGUGAAAUAAUCAGUGGCAACUAAGAUGAACUUAUGCCCUUUGCUCGAUGGUGGGUAAAUCUGGCCGAUUAGAUCAAUAGCCCAUCCCCGGAACGGCCAAGGCUUAAUAAUAGGAUUCAUGGCCGAUGCGGGCGCCCUUUGAAUAUUGCCAAACUUCUGACAUCCUUGACACCCUUUGAAAUAUCUAAAGCAAUCCUCGAGUAUAGUUGGCCAAUAAUACCCAUUUCUCCUGAUCAUCCACUUCAUCUUAAAAGCCGACUGAUGUGCUCCACACACUCCUUCAUGGAUUUCACCCAUCAAACUCUUAGCUUCAUCAUUACCUAAACAUUUGAGAAGAACUUCAUCUAUAGUUCGAUAAUAUAGCUCAUCCUCAAGAAGCACAUACUUGGUAGCUUGAAACCGGAUACGCCUCUCAACCUUCUUAGAUGGAUCCCUUAAAUAAUCAACAAACUCCUUUCUCCAAUCAUCGGCACCGAUUGCCGAUAACGUGUUCAGUAUGGGUUGAUAUCCCGUGGCAUGCUGAGCCAACCGAUUAGCCUCCUCAUUAUGUAACCGAGGAACAUGCUCUAAUCGGAAAUCUUUGAAUUUCUUUAAUAGUUGUAUACUCUUUUUGAAAUAAGUUAUCAGGACUUCGCUUCGGCAUUCAUAACUUCUAGCUAAUUGAUUUAUAACCAGCAUAGAAUCUCCGAAGAUCUCAAUAGCAUCAGCAUGAACCUCUUUCAACAAUUCCAAUCAUUUUAUCAAAGCUUGAUACUCGGCUUGAUUAUUUGUUGACGUGGCAACAAUCGGCAAAGAGAACUCAUACAUCCUUCCCUGAGGGGAAAUUAACACUAUGCCAAUUCCUGCCCCCUGGUCACACGUGGAUCCAUCAAAGAAGAGCGUCCAAGGCACAAUUUCCAAAGUUUCCACUACACCACAAUGUUGAGUCACAAAAUCGGCCAUAAUCUGCCCUUUAACCACAUUAGCCGAUUCGUAACGUAGAUCAAAUUCCGACAACGCCAAAAUCCACUUACCGAUUCUUCCACUCAUAAUCAGCAUAGAUAGCAUAUAUCGGACCACAUCAUCUUUGCAUAUAACAGUGCAUUCGACCGAUAACAAAUAGUGCCUCAACUUAAUGCAGGAAAAAUACAGGCACAAACAUAAUUUUUCAAUGGCCGAAUACCUGGUUUCAGCAUCAAUCAAUCUUCUACUUAAAUAGUAAAUCAUACGCUCCUUCCCUUCAAUUUCUUGAAUCAAAGCUGAACCGAUGACCAUCCCAUCGGUACACAAAUAUAAUCUGAAGGGCUUUCCUUGCUGAGGUGGAAUUAAGACUGGAGGAUUUGUUAAAUAAUUCUUGAUUUCAUCUAACGCCAACUGUUGCUCUUCUCCCCAUAUUAAUUCUUGAUCGGCUUUUAAUUUAAGUAAAGGACUAAAAGCACGAAUUUUACCAGACAAAUUGGAAAUAAAUCGCCUGAUAAAAUUUAUUUUGCCGAUCAGAGAUUGGAGCUCAGUUUUAUUGGUAGGAGCAACUAUUUUGUUAAUAGCAUCAAUAGAUCUCCUACUAAUUUCAAUUCCUCUCUGAUGCACCAUGAAACAAAGAAAUUGUCCUGCCGAUACACCAAAUGCACACUUGUUGGGAUUCAUUUUUAAACCAUGUUUCCUUGUGCACUCCAAUACCUUUCGCAGAUCGCCAAGAUGCUUUGUGAAAUCCCUAGACUUAACCACCACAUCAUCAAUGUAAAUUUCUACCAGCUUGCCGAUGAACUCAUGAAAGAUAAAAUUCAUAGCUCUUUGAUAGGUAGCACCAGCAUUUUUCAAACCAAAGGUCAUGACUACCCAUUCAAACAAUCCAACAUGACCAGGACAUCUAAAUGCAGUCUUUGGAAUAUCUUUCUCAGCCAUGAAUAUCUGGUUAUAUCCUGCAUUGCCAUCCAUGAAGCUAAUAAUUCGAUGUCCAGCCACAGCAUCAACUAGUAAAUCGGCAACUAGCAUGGGGUAGCCAUCCAUCGGUGUAGCCUUGUUAAGAUUUCUAAAAACAAUGCAAACUCAAAGCUUCCCAUUUUUCUUGUAAACAGGAACAACAUUGGAAAUCCACUCGGCAUACCGACACUGCCAAAUAAAUCUAGCUUCGAUAAGUUUGGUUAUUUCAGCCUUAAUAUCAGGAAGAAUAUUAGGAUUACAUCGGCGAGCUGGCUGCUGAUGUGGCCGAAAUCCAAAUUUGAUAGGCAACCGAUGUUCAACAAUAGAUCGGUCUAAGCCAGGCAUCUCAGUAUAAUCCCAACCAAAGCAAUCUUUAUAUUCCUUUAACAAAUCGGUUAACUGUUGCUUACACUCAGAAUUUAACUUAGCACUAAUAAAAGUAGGCCUUGGCCUAUCACCAUUACCCAAAUCUACUUCUACUAAAUCAUCGGCCGAUGUAAACCCCUGGCCUAAUUUUUCAUCAUCGGCGAACCUAUCCAUUAAAACUCCUUAUCAGAACCGACUGCUUGGAUCGGUGGAAUCUCAUAAUCGGCAACUUUGAGGAAAUCCUUCUCCAAAAUCUCUCCUGAGAUGCACCUGGUCCUUCCAUAGGUAUCUGCUUCUGCCGAUGCGAUGACAUAAGAAGAAUCUCCGGGGACAAUCUCAAUCUUAUCACCUACCCAUUGAACCAAGCAUUGGUGCAUUGUUGACGGGAUGCAACAAUUGGCAUGGAUCCAAUCCCUUCCUAAUAGCAGAUUGUAAGCACCUUUUCCACUAAUAACGAAGAAAGUUGUCGGCAAGGUUUUGCUGCCGAUGGUCAACUCGACACAUAUUGCUCCCUUAACCGGAGACAUAUUUCCUUCAAAGUCCUUUAACAUCAUAUCGGCUUUGGUCAAAUCUUGAUCUCCUUUCCCAAGUUUUCGAUAGACUGCAUACGACAUGAUGUUAAUAGCAGCCCCACCAUCAACUAAUAUCUUGGUCAUCGGCUGCCCAUCAACUCUUCCUUUAACGAACAGAGCUUUAAGAUGUUGCCUUUCAUUGUCGGCGGGCUUUUCAAAGACAGCCGUCAUCGGAUCCAGAGCCAAUUGAGCUCUCUGGUCGGAAAAAUCCAGCUCCUCAUCAUCACUGGACGGCGCAAGAAACUCCAUCGGCAACAUGAAUACCAUGUUAACAUCUGCCGAUGGCCCUUUGCCUUUGGGAUCCAGCUGCUGCUAAUCUCUAGAUUUGCCAGGAUUCUCUCCUUUGCUCAAGUCUUCUCGCCUUUUGCGCUGUAGCCUUCUUUUCUGUGUCCUAGUCAAUCCCUCUGGACACCACAGAGGAAGUUGUGGCUGUCUCAUCGAUGGGCGACGACUUUCCCUUGACUCCACUCGAUAGGUGUUAGCAUCCCUGCAAAAUAUGAACUCAUCUGGAACUCAAGCAUUUGCCAUUUCUUCAAGCUCCUCUUGGUUCCUGGGAAAGUACCCAACACGGUCACCAAGUCUAUCAUGCACACUGAGCCUGCCCCCAGCCGAUCAUGAACUGAGGCUCUUCCCCUAAUCGGUUCAUUAAAUCGCCGAUCAUCGUUCUGAUACUGCCGAUUAGGUCUAUCAUACCGGUCAUAACCAUUGCAUUCAGGGCAGUCCAUAACAGUGGGCAACUUGAUGUUCUACUCCCAGCAAUGGAUAAAGAACGGGCAGUUCCAGUGAUCUUUAUGUCGAUUCCACUCCUAUCGGCGUCGGUCCUCUUCUCGGCGACGAUCUUCUUGUUGAUGCCGAUACCGAUCUUCACAUUGCUGCCAAGUCUCCCGAUGCCUUCUAUGAGUUCUCACAAUUCCAGAUCAGGGAGGCCUUCCAGAGCUAGUUCCUUCCUGGAUUAAACCCUUCACUUUGGCAUCGGCAGCAGUAAUCUGAUGCUGAGGAUCCACCGAUGCACUUCUUUUAGCUGCUUCUGAUGUCAAGACCUUGGUUUUUCCCUUAGCAUCCAACAUAUUUGUAAGGAAAGGAUGUUGAUCGAUCUUCAUUGGCUUUUGAGCUUUGGAGCUAUCGAAUUUAAUUCUCCCAGAAUCUAUAGCCGAUUGCAGCUGCUGCCUGAAAACUUUGCAUUCAUUUGUACUGGGAGAUGUCACAUUAUGCCACUUGCAGUACUUAAUCUUCUUUAAUUCCUCAGCCGAUGGAAUCACGUGAUUGGGCGACAACUUGAUUUGCCCUUCCUGAAGUAGAAAGUCAAAUAUCCUAUCGACUUUGGUAAUAUCAAAUGCAAACUUUUCUAGCUCUUUAUGCCCAAAAGGGCAAGACAUCGGCUUCUUAUUUUUUACCCACUAUGCCAAGCCGAUGACUGGUUCUUCAUCAGAAUCUGAGCUUGUUGCCUCAUCGACAAAUGACACUUUUUUAUUCCAUGCUCUAUUAGGUUCAAAAGAUUUGAUAUCUUGGUCAGAAAUCCUCUGCACUAAAUGACUCAGACUUUCGAACUCUUGAGAAGCAUACUUGUCUCUGAUAUGUGGCAGCAACCCCUGGAAAGCCAAAUUAGCUAGCUGUCGAUCGUCCAGAACCAGACUAUAGCAUUUAUUCUUAACCUCUCGCAACCUUUGCACAAAGCUUUCAACCGAUUCAUCAUUGCGUUGCUUCAGCCUGACUAAAUCGGUAAUCUUCAUCUCAUAAACUCCAGAAAAGAAGUAUUUAUGGAAUUGUUUUUCUAGAUCGGCCCAAGUAAUCACUGAAUUAGGAGGUAAUGAAAUAAACCAAGUAAAGGCCGAUCCAGACAAAGAUGAUGAGAACAAGCGAACCCUUAACUCAUCUCUGUUAGCAGCUUCUCCACACGGGAUGAUGAACCUGUUAACAUGCUCCAUGGUCGAUGUAUCAUUCUGCCCAAAGAACUUAGUGAAAUAUGGUACCUUGUACCAAUUUGGAAGUGGAAUCAAGUCAUAUGCAGGAGGAUACGGUGUCCGAUAAGAGUAAGUGUUGACUUUGGGUUUUAUCCCAAAUUGGUCUCUCAUCACUUCAGCUAUCUUAUCGGCCCAAUAAGCAUCGGCAUCUUGCCGAUGGGGUGGUUGUGGAUCUGGCACCUGCUGAUAAGCUUCCACGUGUCUCUGUGGUGCGCGAUCUUCAGGGAACAUUGGAUUAGCCAUCACCUGCUGACCACCAACUUGCUGACCAAGAUACAUCGGCUGGUUGAUCAACCCUUGAUUCUGAAACCCGGGCUGCAUCAGCCCCUGCUGAAAUCCCGUAGCCUGAUGAUUCUAGUGAGGUGCCUGUGGAAAGACAAACGGUCUUGUCCAUCCAUUAUUAAUGUUCAUCUGCGUAGGCCCUACCGAUGACUGAUAAUUGGGCGUCAUCAUUGAAUUGACGUACCCUGGUUGCGUCAUAAACCUUUGCUGCGUCGGCAUUGGAUCUGACGAUGCAUUAGGCAUCUGGAACAUUGGUACUUGAGAAUUCCCAGUAAAAGAUCUUGCGGUAGUAGUUGUAGAAUACUGGGGAUUUUGAGUCAUCGGCGAGCCUGGAGGUGCCGAUGCCAUAGGAGCCUUGCCUGUUACGUCAGCCGCUUGAGAUGUCCUAGAGCUCUUUGCCAUAAAUUCUGGAGGCAUACCAUAUCCCCACCAGUUGGGAGGAACAGAUCCUGACAUUGCCGAUGCCAAUAAAUCUGUAGCAAGUUUGAUUUGCCUGUCUGACGUUGACGGAUUAGUCGUCAUUGGUGUAGACUGCGCAUUAGUGAUCCCUAAUGUGCUUGGAGGAGAAGUAGCUUCUGUACCCGCAACGGCUGUAGUAGUCGAUGGACCAUAACCAAUGAUGAACCUGGCUGAUGAUAGGCAGGACCCACAUAAGAUGGUGGCACUUGUCAUUCUUUGAAAGUUCUAGCCACACCAUUGAAAACUAUAUUGGACAGCACACUAGAUUGAUUGAUUAGAGCACGAUUAAUAGCACUGUCAACCAUCUCUUGAAGUUUACCAGGAUUGGCUUCAAAAGUAAUUUGCCAAGGCAUCGGCAAUGCUUUCUUUUGGAUCACCUCGCCACUCCUGUUGAUGCUGAAGGAUAUCAAGCAUAGCUGCUUGUAGUCCUCCAUAGCUUUCGCCAUAGCUUGCUUCUACUCAUCUCUAAGAUUGGCUUCUGUUACAGGGAUGACGUUCUCCAAGUCGAAGUCGGUGUUCGACAUGUUGAUCUUGAUCUUGAAUAUAUGUCCCACUGGGAAUCGACAAAAGAUGUGUUGAUGCAAAAGCUGAUCUGUAGACACAAAGGGCUAAUACCCAAUUCAAACGUUAAGGCGUGCCAGCUGAUUUGACCUUGCAACCGACAAAGGUGGUAACUCGAACACUUUGGUCCUGACAACAGCGAUGCGCCCGGAUGUCACGGCCAAGAGGUGCUCACGUGGAACUCGAGAAUUCGUCGAGAUUGACUCAAAGAAUCCUUAAGAACUCGUAGUAAAAAGAAAAUAUGACAAAGUUGUCGAGAAGUAGAUGCUAGAAUAUGUGUAAAAACUUGUGUUUGAUUGAUUGAUAGAUCUCUCAUUACAUCGCCAUGGGGUCUAAAUUUGUACCUUGUCUCAAAGAGCUACAACCAGACACGACUAGGACUCGAACUCCAUAUUAAACAGAAUCCGUAUACAAAACAAACUCUAAUAACUAUGGAAAGCAUUAAAUUAUCUUCCACAACCGAUCGGUACAUCAUCACGAGUCAAUCAGCAACCCCUACGCUUUUCUUCAUAACCAUCGGCAGACCACCUUUCACAGCCAUCAGCAACCAUCAAUACUAGUCAUUGGCACAAAUCCAUCACCACUCCUGAACUUAGUCAUAUCCUACCGUUUUCCCAUCGGCACCAACCCUCAUCAGCAACUCUCCUGUAGAUUAAUCACGAUUUUUCCACCUGCCUAUCCCCAGGUGCGCAUCCAAAGAUAUGUGUCCAAAAAUGGUGUCAACACUAUGUCAUGUUGGGAUGCCUCUAAGGGCAAACCUGAUAACUUACCUCCUACAGAUGAGGUAAAGUUUAGGGCUGAUGAAAAACUCUUUCAAUGUGCACUGAUUAGCGCACUUGAUCCAAAAUUCUAGAAAAGUUACGUAAUUCUUCCAAGUGGGAAAGAAUUAUGGGAUGUUCUUGUGGCUAAGUUUAGAGUUACUAUUGCUGGUACUGAGCUGUAUCUCAUGGAGCAGUUGUAUGACUACAAGAUGGUUGAGAACCGUUCUGUAGUGGAACAAGCUCAUGAGAUUCAGGCACUAGCUAAGGAACUUGAACUUUUCCCUUGUCCCCUGCCUGACAAGUUUGUGGCUGGCGGUAUUAUCGCCAAGUUACCACCUUCUUGGAAGGAAUUUGGUACUUCUCUCAAACACAAGAGGCAAGAGUUCAAUAUUGAGGAACUCAUUGGCACUCUUGAUGUUGAGGAGAGGGCAAGAGAAAAAGUUGAUGGGAAAGGUGUUGAACCUUCUACUGCCAAUGUGGUGCAGAAGAAAUUCUACAAGUUUAACAAGAAGAAAAACCAAAAAAGAAAGAGAACAACCAUAAGCCCAAUCAGUCCACUCAAUUCAAGAAAACUACCAACAAUAACAAGAAGGGAGGCUACUUUGUUUGUGGCAGUAAGGAACAAUAGGCAAGUGAGUGCCCAGAUCGCAAGUUCUUCCAAGAGAAGAAAAUAGCUAAUGUGUAACCGCUAAGACUAUAGGAACAUCUAGGUGCAGUUAAUUUAUACCAACAUCUAACAACCCAAAAACCUAAUUAUAGGCUUUUCUGUUAGAGGUUUUGCUGUUGUGUUAAAGCCUGAUCAUUUUGAUGGUAAAAACUUCUUGAUCUGGAAAGCUAAGAUGGAACUGUGGCUCACUACUAUGUCAUGUUGGGAUGCCUCUAAGGGCAAGCCUGAUAACUUACCUCCUACGGAUGAGGUAAAGUUUAGGGCUGAUGACAACCUCUUUCGAGGUGCACUGAUUAGCACACUUGAUCCAAAAUUCUAGAAAAGUUACAUAAUUCUUCCAAGUGGGAAAGAAUUAUGAGAUGUUCUUGUGGCUAAGUUUAGAGUUACUAUUGCUGGUACUAAGCUGUAUCUCAUGGAGCAGUUGUAUGACUACAAGAUGGUUGAGAACUGUUCUGUAGUGGAACAAGCUCAUGAGAUUCAGGCACUAGCUAAGGAACUUGAACUUUUCCCUUGUCCCCUGCCUGACAAGUUUGUGGCUGGCGGUAUUAUCGCCAAGUUACCACCUUCUUGGAAGAAAUUUGGUACUUCUCUCAAACACAAGAGGCAAGAGUUCAAUAUUGAGGAACUCAUUGGCACUCUUGAUGUUGAGGAGAGGGCAAGAGAAAAAGUUGAUGGGAAAGGUGUUGAACCUUCUACUGCUAAUGUGGUGCAGAAGAAAUUCCACAAGUUUAACAAGAAGAAAAACCAAAAAAAGAAAGAGAACAACCAUAAGCCCAAUCAGUCCACUCAAUUCAAGAAAACUACCAACAAUAACAAGAAGGGAGAUUGCUUUGUUUGUGGCAGUAAGGAACAAUAGGCAAGUGAGUGCCCAGAUCGCAAGUUCUUCCAAUAGAAGAAAACAACUAAUGUUGUAACUGCUGAGACUGUAGGAACAUCUGGGUAUGGUAAUUCUUUGCCAUAUAUUGUUUUAGUUUGUAAUUCACCUGAGUGGUGGAUGGAUAGUGGUGCAAAUAUACAUGUGUGUUGAUGUUUCCUUAUUUGCCACUUACCAGGUCGAGACGUCUAGCGCCUUGUUGAUGGGAAAUGGGUCACGUGCUCAUGUUCUUGUUGUUUGUACGGUCAUUCUAAAGUUUACUUUGGGGAUGACGGUGCCACUACAUUGCAUGCAACAUCUGCCCUCCAUCAAGAAAAAUCUUGUUAGCACCACUAUGCUAUGUCGAGAUGGUUAUAGUGUUGUCCUUAAAUCGAACAACUGCGUUGUGUCAAAACAUGGAUCCAUUGUUGGUAAAGGAUAUGAUUGUGGAGGUCUGUUCCUCUUAUCUUUGCAUGAUGUGUGUAAUAAAAUGGUGAAUUCUGUUAAUAUUUCUAAUGAGUCAGAUUUAUGGCAUUCACACUUUUGUCAUGCAAGUUAUGGUUCUCUUAUGUGGUUAGCAAAUCUGAAUUUAAUUCCUAAAUUUAACUUGGUCAAAAAGUCUAAGUGCCAUGUAUGUGUUGAAUCAAAACAACCCCGCAAGCCUCACAAGGCUACUAAGGUGAGGAACUUAGCACCUCUAGAACUUAUUCAUUCCGAUUUGUACAAAAUGAAUGGUAUUUUGACUAAAGGCGAUAAAAGAUACUUUAUCACAUUUAUAGAUGACUCCACUAGAUUUUGCUAUGUGUAUCCCUUAAAAACAAAGGAUGAAGCACUCCAUUAUUUUAAGGUCUAUAAAGCUGAAGUUGAGUACCAACUAGAGAGGAAAAUAAAACAUUUAAGGUCUGAUAGAGGUGGAAAUAUUUCUCAAAUGAUUUUGAAGAAUUUUGUGUGGAACACGGUAUUAUUCAUGAGAGGAUAUUGCCAUUCUCACCACAAUCCAAUGGGAUUACUAAAAGGAAAAACCGCACUUUAACAGAGUUGGUGAAUACCAUGUUAAAUACAGCGGAACUAUCCAAGGAAUGGUGGGGUGAGGCAAUUUUGACCGCGUGUCAUGUUCUAAACAGAGUUCCCACUAAAAACAAAGAGAUCACUCCAUUCGAGGAAUGGGAAAAGAAGAGAAUAAAUCUUUCAUAUUUAUGCACCUGGGGUUGUUUGGCAAAGGUGAAUGUGGCAAUCAACAAGAAAAGUAAAUUACGACCUAAAACUGUUGAUUGUGUUUUCCUUGGUUAUGCUUUCCACAACAUUUGAUAUAGGUUCUUAAUGAUAUAGGCAACAUUCUUUGAGAAUGAGUUCCCCAUGCGGAAUACACCUAGUGAAACAAGUCACGAGACUAUAAUUCUCCAUGAACAUGAAAAAUUUACUCCGAUAGAACACAUUGAUAAAAACCGUGAGCAUAAUCUUGAGGAGGAUGACACUAUAGUCACUCGAAAGAGUAAAAGGAGAAGAAUUGCAAAGUCCUUUGGUGAUGACUACUUUGUGUACCUCUUGGAUGACACCCCAACGACCAUUGAAGAGGCAUAUUCCUCUCCUGAUGCUGACUUAUGGAAGGAAGUAGUACAGAGUGAGAUGGAUUCUAUUAUGUCUAAUGGAACUUGGGAAAUUGUUGCAUGUCCUUAUGGAUAUCAAACAAUAGGGUGCAAAUGGAUUUUCAAGAAGAAGCUUAGGCCUGAUGGUACUAUUGAGAGGUACAAGGCAAGGCUUGUAGCCAAGGGUUGUACAGAAAAAGAGGGUGAAGAUUUCUUUGACACCUGUUCACCAGUUGCUAGAUUCACUACAAUUCGCACUUUGAUAGCCGUGGCAGCCUCUUAUGGUCUUAUCAUUCAUCAGACGGAUGUUAAGACAACUUUUCAUAAUGGAGAGUUAGAAGAGGAGAUCUAUAAGGUUCAGCCAGAUGGUUUUGUUGUGAAUGGUCAAGAAAGCAUGGUGUGCAAGUUGUCGAAGUCGUUGUACGACCUGAAACAAGCACCUAAGCAGCGGCAUGAGAAGUUCGAUAAGACUUUAACAUUGCGGGCUUUGUUGUUAAUGAAGGUGAGAGAUGUGUAUACUAUCGGUAUGGUGGGGGUGAAGGAGUCAUCUUGUGCCUAUAUGUUGAUGACAUUUUAAUACUCAGGACCAAUCUUAACAUGGUUAAGGAGGUCAAAGAAUUAUUGUCCAAUCAUUUUGAGAUGAAAGAUUUGGGAGAGGCUGAUUUUAUUCUUAGCAUCAAACUCCUCAAGGAUGAAAAUGGUGGGGUGACUUUAUCACAAACUCACUAUGUGGAGAAGGUGCUAAGUCGCUUUGGGUAUAGCGAAUGCCAGCCGGCACCAACUCCGUAUGACCCUAGUGUGCUAUUGAGAAAGAAUCGUAAAAUAGCAAGGCAUCAUUUCAUAUGUUCUCGGAUUAUUGGCUCCCUCUUCUAUUUGGCUAGCGCCACAAGGCCUGAAAUCUCAUAUGCUAUAAGCAAACUGAGCCGAUUCGUGAAAAGUUUGGGAGAUAGUCACUAGCAAGCUGUUGAGAGAGUUAUGCGGUACCUGAAAGGCACAAAGAGCUAUUGCAUUAACUAUUCUAGAUACAUGAAAGUAUUUGAGGGAUAUUAUGAUGCAAACUAGAUAUCUGAUGCUGAUGAGAUGUACGCCACAGGUGGAUAUGUGUUUCUACUUGGAGGUGGUGUUGUUUCCUAGAAGUCUUGCAAGCAGACCAUCUUAACAAGGUCAACUAUGGAAGCAGAACUAAGAACAUUAGAUAUCACUGGCAUUGAGGCCGAGUGGCUUCAUGAACUCCUAAUGGAUUUACCAGUUGUUGAGAAACCUAUACCAGCUAUUUCCAUGAACUGUGAUAAUUAGACAUUGAUAAUCAAAAUGAAUAGUUCAAAGGAUAAUAUGAAGUCCACAAGACAUGUAAAGAGAUGUUUAAAAUCUGUUAGAAAACUGAGGAACUCUGGAGUUAUAACAUUGGACUAUGUCCAUACGUUGAAUAAUUUGGCAGAUCAAUUUACUAAGGGAUCGUCACGUAAUGUGAUUGAAAGUGCAUCCAGAGAAAUGGGUAUGAGACCCAUGUGAAAUCUACUAUAGUGGUAACCUGCUCUAUGUGAUCGGAGAUCUUGUGAAGUAGAGUGGUGAAACAAGCUAUGAGUAGGUUGAGAGGAAAGAUCCCUUUCUUGACUCAUUUCUGAUGCACAUCUUUCCUAUCUGUAAGGCAGAAUGGUAUUUACCUUAAUGUAUUCCAAGAGUCUUAUAAAGGUGAGAUGUUUUCCUACAAAACAUCUUUUGAGAAAUACACCUAUAUGAGUCAGACUACUGGUCACAGUCUAUGGUACUUGGGUAAUCCCUAAAUACUCAUGAAAGGCACUGAAGUAUGACUUAUAUGCUUCAAAUAGCGGAGAUGUCUUGUGCAGCCUAGUAUCAGGUAAGGACUUGAGUGGAUCAUCUCAUCUCGCACAAAACUAUCAAUUCAAGGCUUAGUCCAUUGUUCAGUUGUGAGUGGGUGAAACUCUUGUUCUAGAUGGAUGUUCAACUUAACAGUCUCCAUUGAAAAACUAGUAUAUCAAAGAACCGUGGUUUUGAUGCUUCAUCAUUACAAACCCUAGAGUUUGGUGGGGAUUGUUGGAUUUAUUAUGGGCUAGACCCAUUUAGAUUUAAUAAAUCAAAUAAACUUUAUGGUGUGUAAUUAUGGACAAUAUAUGUUGUACCAAAUUAGAAGUCCAAGAGUCCAUGACAUAACUUAUAUGGUGGGUGUUUUUCCACCUUAAAUUGUGAAGUUAAGAAAAGGACAAAGGCAUGGAGUGGAGUGUAGGCAGGUGGUGCAGGAGUUUUAACUCAGUUAUGUGUGAGUUUUGACACACUAUCUGCGGGUGUUUAGAUAGAUAACUAAGGGAGUUUCAACUCUACGUGGAAACCCUUGAGAUGUCCAUCUCCUCAGCCGCCAACAGGAAGUGCCUUCCCCUCCUCUCCUCUCCAGCCACAAGGAUAAAUAGGAGGCUCUCAUCUCUUUGGUACAAUAAGAGAGAACACUCAGAACACAGUUUCGUUGCAAAGAAGAAAUUCCCAUCACGUAACUCUGCGUGCAUGGAGGAGCGAGAGGGCAGGUGCCUCCAAAGCCCUUGCCAUUCGAGACAUUGCACGAGGGAUCGACAAUUAGGUUUUUGGGAAGCGUUGUUGUGACUGCCCAAACCACCGUUGCUGUUCGUUGUCGUCUUCGAGCGCCGUCAUCGUCUUCCUCAUGCGGACACAGGCAGAUUUCUCCUUCUCGGUGGAGAGAUCAUCCUCAUCCUCUACAUGAUGCAAGUAGGAUAGGGAUCGGGAUCCUCGGAGCGCAUGGGAGUGUAUGAUCUAUUUAUCUUUGUAUCGUGUUUCGUCUUCCAGAUCCUAUAUGUUUUAGUAGUUCUUUCAUGUUGUUUCACUAUCUAUCCUGUGUUUGUUACUGCUAUAAGAUAUAUAAUCUAUCUGCAUGUUUCGAUAGUUCUAUCAAGUCACUUCGUAUAUCGUUGCCUAUCUGUUUCAGUAGUUUUGUUUCCUCGUUUCACAUGUUGUCUCAUGUUUGUCGCUAUUAUCAGAUUUAUGUCUUGCCUUGUUGUUAUGUUUUAUAUAUCAUACUUCCAUGCUUUUAAUAAUGAUGUGCUUCACAUAUUAAUUGAUCACAUGUUCUAAAUUGCUAUGAACAUGUUUGAUAUCAUAAUUUCUAUGAUUAAUAAUCUUCUAUAUGUCAUCAUCAUAAUGUUGAUUUAUGGAAUAUAAAAUUAAAAUGAUAUAGAAUUUGUCUAUUUAUCUAACAUAUUGUGUAUACUAUUUUGAUUAAUUUUUUGAUAUAUCUCUACUCUUCAACAUCGGUAUAAGAAUCAUCAUUCUCUCUCCUUACUUACUUGCUCACCUUGCUUAGUUGUGUAGCUUGUGUAGUUUAAUCUCUUGUUUAGGAGAGUAGCUAGCUCUUGUUGUACCUUGUUGCUGUGGUUUAGUGUUUAGCCUCUUAGUAGACUUGUGUAGGUGGCUUGCUUAGCUUAGUUGUGCUAGAGCUAGAGUCUUCGCCAUUUGUUUUACUAACCAACUUGUCUAGUGGAAUUUGUAAAAAAUUUAAAUAGACUAUUCCCCUCCCCCCUUUACCAUUUAGACCUUACACUCUGAACAUAACUUAUCUGCUUGGUUUCAAGAAUGUAGCGAGUUGUUUGUGGCUAUUCCAAGAAUUACCCAGAUGUGGCCAAACAUGCAAUUUGUUGAUUGCAGUACCAAAACCGGUUCUGUUUAUACUUGGUGGAGCUGGAGUGUAUAUGUAUUGUCGAGAAUAAGCAUGAUCUGGAAAAUGUAAGGCCAUCUUCAUGCGCAGGUCAUUGUAGGCUUACUCCUUAUUCAUCAAUUUUUAUUUAUAUUUUACAAUUCAAGGCAUAUUGACGACUGCAUACAACCCUGUAGUCCUCCAAAGGCUCCAAUGGCCACUGCCCUUGAUUAGCCCACAUCGUUGCCACCAGCUCACAGCAUUGCCUGGCUGGAUUAAAGUUAUUACUGGGCCAAACGAUGACAACGGCAUGGGAAAAAAUAUAUAACAACGGGAUAAAGAGCAUUUAUCUGAUUGUUUUUUUCGUUUACUGUAUUUCAAGAAGAAUUGUGCCUAUAUUUCCUACGUCAAAGAAUUCCAAUGUUCAACUUUAGCACCCCUUUAGCAUAGCUCGGCUUUACCAAUAAAGCAGUUUAUUUUGGCUUUAACUCCAUGAGUAGCUUUACUGGUGAAGUUUUGAUAAAAUAGUAAAUCGUCUUAAAACAUGUUCUCAAAAAAUCUCACCCAAGACCCACCAAAGCGAGUUGUAGUUAGGAGAAACUAUUAUUUUUAGCUUCAUCUUACACACAUUGCCUGUGUCAAAUAGAGCUAGUCAUGUACUCUAGACUAGUGCCUUGGCUCUUUGUAUAAGAGCGUCUUCAUUAGGUAUUAUUUUCCAAAAAAAAAACUUUGCUGUAGGUAAUUGAGAAAAUAAAGUUUUAGGUUAAAGGUGAUGCUACUGUAGCAGAUUGAUUAAACUCCAUCCUUUUUAUUUAAGUGGGACCCACUUGUCAGUAAGUAAAACUCUCCUUUUUCUUUCUCACCUAAUACUCGCCCGUGCGAUCCCUAACAUGUUCUGGGCUUUAGAAUGCCGGCACUCCACACCCUCGUUGUGCGACGCCCCCAUCCGUGUGACACCCUAUUGUUGCGGCAUGGCCGGUAUGCAUCCUUAUCCGCAUGGUGCCCCACUGUGACCGGUGCCCACCCACGCCAGUGCGCCGUUUGGGCACAGUUCUGUGGCCAGCCCCACCCUUGCCUGUGCAAUGUGCCACUACAGCAAUGUGUGACAAGCCCCAGGUCUGUCUGUGGGGCACCUAAGCAUGACAACAUGGUCGGCCCUCGCUCCGGUGUAGCGGUGGUUUGCCAGCGACGAGCACCACAUCCAUUAGAUGCAUGCAUCCAACGGUUGACGCGAGUUCAGGGAAGAAAGGGGACUGACAAAAAUCUCUUAUUCUUCCCCUUUCUUUCAGCGAUUGACGACAGGAUUGAGAAAUUGGGAAAAAUUAUAGAGAAAGGGGAUCCAAAAGAAUGGUAUCUAUUAGAGCUAUUUUUUCCUACAGAAUCCCCUUUGUUAGUAGGGGAAAAGGGACUGAGUUUCUCAAUCUGGUGGAGAUGCUCUUGGAGCAUCAAUUGCCGUCUCCCAUCUAUGUAUGUGACGUGGUGCUAGUGCUAAAUAAGAUAAUUGCCCUUGCUAUUUUUUUGUGUAUAGAACUUCCUUUACAGUAUUUUCAUGUACAUUGAUUAUGAUUGCAAGCAGCCUUAUACUCUUAUGAAAUGCACUUCAUACAUCUGUUAGGAAAAUACAUUCAUGAAGCCCCUCAUUCAAGAAGGAUUAAGAAAUGAAAGUUUCAAGCCAUACUAUUUUUAUCAUAGCUACCAAAAAAAUUAUUUCGAAAGAAAAUGUCUUUGUUUUAUUUUUGGACCAGGUUCUUACUGAAAAAGCCUGAAUAGAAUCAAACACAAAAUUUAUUGUGGGCUUAUUCUCCAUGCGCUUCUCCCUCCUUUACUACGAACCAAUAAGCCCAAAAACCCAUACAGUUUUUAUAGAUUCUCUUUUCUUGCUCACUCCGCCCACCCUGUGCCGUCUAAAGAUGGUAAUUUUUACCAGAAACCCGAAACAUGAUGGGUAAUUACCUCAUUAGGGUAAGGGUAUGGCUAUGUUUUGUACCCAUGGGUAAGAUAAUGGGAAAAAAAAAACUUUACCUAGCGGGUAAAGCGGGUAAGGGUAUGGGACUGCAUUGCCCAUACCCGUUAAUCCAUGGGUAAAUUGAACCCGAUAAAUUAUACUAGAAUCAUGGAACUUAUGGAUUUUAUGACUUGUUAUCUAGUAAUGACGGAUUUACCCAUUAGAUCAUUUGAUUGUGUGUUCAUGUAGCUUGUAUAUUUGAAGAGUUUAUUAAUGAUUUAUGAUAUUUUGGCUAAAUUUGGAAGCCUGAUAUAUUAAAACAUAUAUUUUUUCAUAGCAAAUAUUCUCAAAAUCAUGUGUAAAGAUAACCCAUGGGUUACUCGUUACCCACAUGGGUAAGGGUAUGGGAAAAAACUCUUACCCGUGCACAUGUAUGGAUAAAUUAGCGGGUAAAAUAUUUUCUCGUGGGUAAGGAUAUGGGUAACAUAUACCCAGCGGGUAAUUACCCAUUGCCAUCCCUAGUGUUGUCCCACUUAUGCCUCCCUCAUCUGCCCUGCCCGUGCUGCCCUUGCCCACUCACCCCACCUGCGCGGCAUUGGUUGGUCGUCCUCCAAAAGUGUGAGGUAGCUCCUCUCUUCACCGGUCUUCCUCUUUGUCUCCAAAGUCGUGACGCCUCCUCCCACCUAUCCCUAGGUCUGAUGUGUCUUCAUCGUAGAGAUCUCGUCGUGGAAGCCACCAUGUGUGGUCAAGAAAAACCUGAUGUGUCAAAUGGUAAGUUUCUCCUGGCUUGAACUAGCCCACUAGUACAGGGAAGGGCUUUAGCCCCGGCCGUAAGAGCCUUUAGUCCCGGCUACGGAACCGGGGCUAAGGUUUCGAGACUAAAUGUCCCACCUUUAGUCCCGGUUCCACGCACUAGGACUAAAGGUCCACCUUUAGUCCCGGUUGGUAACAGCACCCGAGACUAAAAGGUGCGACAGGGUGUGCCACCUGGCCUCCACUUUUAGUCCCGGUUAUUGCUACCAACCGGGACUAAAGACUUUUUUCUUUUUUUCCUUUUCUUUUCUUUUGGUUUUUCAUUUAGAGUUUACAAUUAUGUUAUUAUUAUUUUUGAAUGCGUAUUGUUUGCUGCUUGUUUAUAGAACACGGACCUAUAAUUUAUAUAAUUUAAAGCAUUACAUAUAAAUAUACUAUAAAACACUAUAUAUAUAUAUAUAUUAUGUAUCUAUAGGUCCAUAAUAUAAUAUUUACACAUAUGCUUCACGGACAAAGUAUUUACAACACAAUUUAUUUCCGCCACUCAAGCAUCGUACAAAUGAUCAUCGUGAUUUGGUUUCAUCGGCUCCUCAGGGUUGAAGUAGCACUCGCCGCCGGGAUUCAGGACUUGGUCAUUAAGAAAUCCUACGAUUGUCUCGUGAAUUCCUUUUAGGCGGACCGCAUCCAACACCUGCUCCUUCAACCACAUCUCCUUUAAUAGACAUUAAAGAAAAAAGUUAGAGGUAUGAAUAGGAUUUAUUAAAUAGCAACAAAUAAAUGAAAUAAACUUAUUAUAUAUACAUGUUACAUACUUUUAGGUGCUCAAGAUUAGUUCUUUUGGCAUAGACCGGCAUAGACUCGCACACAUAGUAGUCACACAAAUUAUUGCCCGGUGUCUACUGUAGAACCCACUGAAGUAAGAUAGGCUUUGAAAGUGCUGCAUUCAACUCUAGUCGGUGUUUCUGCACGAACCCAGCCCAAACCUAGCAAUAAAACGAUCAUUAUUAAUUAUAUAUUACCGAGUUAAAAGAGUAGAAUUUAAUAUAUAGAGAUCGGAGUUACCCUUUCGAUAAUAUCUAUCAUUUCUUGGUAAUCGUCCUGUGGUUUUCUCAACGAGUCAUAGAUUACCAAUUGACAUUGCCAGAGAUCAAUCACAAUUAGUAUCCAAUGAAAGCUGCAUUUGUGUGCAUGUAGGCAAAAUUAGUAUAUAUCUUCAUACUGAUCUGAUUAAUUAGUGAAAUAGAAUGUACACACGAUAACGACACUUACUUAAAGUUGUAUGGAAAGAGUAUUAUCUUUUAUUUUUUUGGUUGAUCAAGAACGUCCGUAGAUUUCUCUCCAUUUGAGUUCUCCAUAAGACAUACGGGGUCUUCUUGUCUUUGAAUAUAACAUUUGGAUCCACAAAUCUAUUCUCCUUGUCAUUUCUAACUCUGAGGUCCCUCAUCAUGUUUCUGCAUAUGUAUAGCAGGUUUCUAUAAUUAGUUAUAUAUAUACAUGAUAAGUUACAGUGAUAUUAUUGAAAGAAAGAAUCACUUAACUUUAGAGAUUUGUCAAGAGCGUCCAUGUUGCAUAGUUGGUGUAGCUCAUUAAAUAGAACAUAAAUAAUAUCAUCACCACGGAAGUAAUGAUAGUUUCUAAUUCGGACACAAAGAUAGUCAUCUGCUUUUCUGACACACACUGCCAUGUACCAUUUGUUUAGCAUGUACAUUUGCGUUCCAAGUUUGUUGAGGGCCACAGGGUUGUAUAGACUCUUGCCAUAUGUAUAUUCCUUCCGCCAAUUAUCAAAAUCUGGAGCACUUUCAAUUGGUGCCCCACCUAUCAUUUGGGCUAAGCUAAGACCAGUUUCCGCAAAAACUUUUUCAAGCUCAUCAAAUUUUAAAUAUGUCGGUAUCUGCUGGUCUAGCACAUCGAUAUUUGAACCAUAUUCAUUUCCAAUUACUAGCGGGAGCACUGAUUGCUUUGUUUGCUCCCCGAGCUGUGCUACACCCUUGCGUGCUCUUUUCUCUUUCUUCUUCUCUUCUUCUAUCGAUUUCUUUAAAGUGUGAUCAUAGUUCGAUAAAGAUGAUGAUUCUUUCUGAGCUUCACGCCUCUUUUUUUGUUGAGCCUCCCUUUGUCAUAGAUCUUCUGGCCGUAAUAAGAGAUAUGGCUUCUCAGGAUUUCGCUUGGCUUCUCUUUCAGUCUUAAGUUUCUUGAAGAAACUAUCCACAUCUGAUUUUACCGAAGCAUCUAGUUCCACAUCAGUCUUCUCAUAGGACAGCUUUUUAGGAAUCAUAGCUUGUUUCUUUUUGGAGGUUUUCUUUUUUGGCGGCGGGGCGACCGACACAUUUGAUUGUAUGGCCGGCCUCUUCUUUCAUGUCGGAGCCACGUGUGGAGGCGAUGGGGCGGCCGGUGGCGGUGUUGGAGCCCUAGGUGGUGGUGUUGGAGCCCGAGGUGGCGGUGUUGGAGCCCGAGGUGGUGGUGUUGGAGCCCUAAGUGGUGCCGUUGGAGCCCUAGGUGGCGGUGUUGGAGCCCGAGGUGGUGGCGUUGGAUCCUGAGGUGGUGGCUUUGGAGACCGAGGCGAUGCAGCCGUGUCUUGCACUCCCUCGUCAUCACCCGCAGCACUAUAACAUGUUGGUGACCACCUGUGAAACCAAAAGGUAUAUGAGUAAACCGCUAACUAAGAGAAUGCAAAAUAAAGUUAGUGAACAAAUGUAUAGUCCAUUUUCAUCCACACCUAGGAUUAGAUUCAUGACGCGGAGGUGGUGGUAGACUACUAGGUCAUGCCCCAGGAAUAAUGAUGUAGCGCUUGCGCCAACAAAUAAAAGUCUUCUCUGCUUCUCCUAGAGUCUUCUCUCCAUCACCUCCUUCUAUCUCAAGCUGCACAUUACUGAAGCCUUCGACAACUCUAUCCAUCGAGACACUAGCAUAUCCAGGUGGAACUAUCGCCCCAUGGAUUCUUGGUGUAUUCGUAGGGUCGACAGGAGUUACAACACCGACAGCAACCAUGACUGUGGCAGUCCCCUGUGGAAUGUGCAGCUCACAUUUUGUCAGAGGUUCAGUGAUGUCAUCCACCAGAAAGUGCAGCCCCACGUCGUCUUGAAUAGUUGGCAUCUCUGUGGAAGCGCAACUGCUUUUCAACGGACCGGGGGGCUAAUGUUGACUCCAGGCUCUGAUGCAGUUUGCCUUUAUAUAGAACUUACUGCCAUCUACACUUGUCUUUUGAUCUCCUCGUUCAUUCUCUCUUCAAGCGCUUUCUCUCGUGCUAUCGCUUCACGAGCUGCUUCGUGUGACUCCAUCACCAUUGCCUCUAACCUACGCAACCGCUCUGCUUCCUCUUACUUCUUUCUUUGGUGGCUUCUAUAAGUUGGUCUAUCUUUAGGGAAGCCAUGCUCCCACGAUACCUCCCCAUAGCCUCUUGUUCGCCCACCAUGUUCAGCAGUCUCCAGGGCAUAUGUCAGCUCAUCCUUCUCUCUAUUUGGCUGCCAGGUGCCACUUUCAACUAAUCCUCUAGCAUAGGUCAUUCUUUGUUCUACUCUCUGGAGCUUUUCGCCGUACACUACCUUUCCGGUCUCUAGGUCUAUGGUUCCCCCAUGACCGAAGAACCAAUACUUGGCGUGCUCAGACCAGUGCAGUGAUUCUGGUUCGAUCCCUCUCUCAAGAAUCUCCUGUUCCAUCUUUUGCCACUUAGGAAUAGCAGUCCUGUAGCCUCCUGAACCCAAGUGAUGGUGGUAUUGCUUUUGUUUAGCAUUUUCCUGAUUGUUGAUCAGCCAUGCCUGACCCUCUUCUGAGUUCUUAAAAUCUACGAACUCAUCCCAAAAAGGCCUCAACUUGACGUAGGCCUUGUUGGUGAAAUCCGGUGUCCGGCCAUGUGCAACAAUAGUCUUGUAUAAUGUCUUCUUCCAAGCUUGAAAUUGUUUGGCCAUCGUCUGCAUAGCCCAGAUUUUAACCUUCUCCUUCAAAGCUUCAUCUUGUGUAUCGAGCGUGAAAUGUUGAAGGAUAUCUAGCCAAAUCAAUUCCUUGUCACGAUCUGAGACAAAACUAAUAUUAGGGUUAUCUUUUCGUUGCCUCCAUUCACGAGCACUGACCAGGAGCCUAUCCCUUACAAGGUACCCAUAGUGCGCAACAAUUUUUUUAGAAUUGGUCCCAAGUACUUGUCCUGUACCCUCAUCGAAUUCUGACAGAAUAUACGGACCCUCCAACGGCUUCUUCGAGCCGUGCACUUUUCUACUCUUCUCAGAAGUUGUCGCCGAUAUAUAUACAAGAUUAUUGAUAGACCUUAUUAGGAUUGUCUCCCACAAGUUCUUCAUAAUCAGCAAAGUACUGACUCCCAUCAUCUUCGCCUUGGGGAUCUGGAUUGGCGCCGCUGUUGAUUAGGUCCAUCAUUGCAUCAUCCAUGUUGUCAUUCGGAUUGGCCAUUUCUGCAAGUUUAAUCAAGAGUUAAAAGUUAUUUAUCAAAUCCUGUACUUAAUAUGUCCAACGCAAAAGUAUUUGGAUAGGCUAAACUUAGAUAAUAUUUGGAUACAAGAACUAAUUACUAGUUAGCUAAAAAUUAGAUAAAAUUAGCUAUACUGCAUAGAGGGCUAAAUAUUUAUAUGUAUUAAAGUUUUUAUCCACACAUUUUGGGAUUUUUAUUAUAAAGAUAAAGAUAGCUUUUGAGUGGCUUAAGAGGGUUUUUUUAUUUAGAUUAGGAUUCCUAUAAAAUAUUAUAUAUGAGUUAGAUGCUUUUGAGUGGCUUUAAGUCACCAUGGCAAAGCCAUUCGGCCCGUCGCACCGCCAGUUCACCAUGCUACAGGUCGCGGGCCUCAUGGAGUGGCCAUGGGUGUCUGCUUAAAAUGACAUCACACAUAGCAAAAUGGAGUCAUCGUCACGCGCCUCAAGCCUACACGUCCUGGUUUUGACAGUCGAAACUCGAGAGCUUUAACACCAGGACUCACCAUCCUUGCACUCAGGGCGGCCGUAGAUCCCUUAACCCAUAGGACCUACCGCGUAGCAAGGGACUAGGAUACGGGACAUAUGCUUAUGUCCUGCUAUGCGUCACGAAAAGAAGUAGGGCCCCGAUACCAUGCGUUAGUGUGCUCGAGUGCUCAUAGACAUGUGAAAAUGCUCUAGUAAUUUAUGGCAAGUUGACCCCGAAUAAGGUGUUAUGAGAAAUAUAGUGCCUUUUAUUUUGUUCUACGAAGGUAUAGAAAAGUCAACAAAUUCAACCGUAAUAGUCUUUGUCCAUUAUGUGUGUAAUAAUUAUUUUUCUCUGGUUGUAACAAAUGAAUAUAUUUGCUAGUUAUUACUCAAUUGGCCUGAAAAAACUUAGCUCUAGCUUCUGCCUUAAGUUAUAUAUAAGUCACUUAGACAAAUUUCAUUAAACUAUGAGAGAAAACAUAUAUAGCUUGAGAUAGACAAAUUUCAUCAAGUUGAUACAAUAAUUAUGAAUCUAUUUUCGGUUUCUGCAAAAGCACACAACCUAAAAACAAAAAAAUCUUGACAGCCUAAUCUAUAUCUCUUAUAAAGCUAAUGCCCACUACAAGUUCUAUCUUAACAUGCCGCCUUAUAUCUUUUAUAGAAAUGUAUUUGAUUUCUAACAAAGCGAAUUGCAUUAGGUUUAAAUAUAUCAAUUCAUCAAUAAUAUCUAUAAUGAAACUAUAAAUAAUAAUAAAAUAAUACAUAAGUAAAUGGAUAAAUUGAAGUAUUAGAUAAUUUACAACAACAAAUAUAUUAGGUUUAAUCUAAAUUAGAAAAUAUUUCUGACCGGCUCCGUACGGUGCUCCGCGGCCGGGGACGAGGGUCGGGGACGAGGGCGUCGGUGCCGGGGACGAGGGUCGGGGACGAGCUUUCGUCGCUGCCGGAGAAGGAGAGCUCGGCGCGGUGCUCCGUACGGUGCCGGAGAAGAAGACGGUGCCGGGGACGAUGGUUGGCGGCGGCGGCGGCGGCGGCGCUCCUGUUGAUAUUUGUUAACGCCAUCAGAAAAUGAUCCGCAAGCGCACGGAUAUCGGUGAGCACUUCUCCGGCACCGUAUAUCGUAUUUAUAUUUUUACCAUUGGGAGAAAGUGUGCAUCUAACUAACCAAAUCUAUUGCUACUACCCUUUAUGCUACAAACAAUGUGAUUUGAUGUCAGCGAUGUAUAGAGAAAACAACAAGUGUACCCUCGUUCUAACCUUGGUAAGGAUGAUCUACUGUUCUAUUGGGGAGGCUUACGAAAUCUAGACAACACAAAGGAUGUUCGACCCGCUCCUAUAAACCCUAUCGAUCCUGCUAACGGGAUUAUGGGCUACAAAGGUAACUCAGAAAUGUCACGUUCCUCGCUACUACCGCGGUCCGGCUAGACAGGGGAUAUCUAUGAGUAUCCUAGCCCAAACACCACAUUUACGCUAGAGAUGAUUACUCUAAACUCUACGCGAAGAGAUCAAAGUAAACUCAUAAACCAAAGAACAAUAAAACAAAGAACUUACUAGAAUUUAGAAGUCGAAAUAUUUAAGAAUCCUAGGAGCAAGCCUCGGGUUAGGAGACUUAAUCCCGCGGGUACAACCUCGGAGUAGACACCGACAGACCGGGCUUCCUCCGAUCUACACCUCCACUCUAUCUCUCUCAAUCUAGUAGAACUAAUUCUACUCUCACAUUGGAUGCUAAGCCUUAUGAGGUUGGAACCCUAAAGGAACCUCUCUCUGAAUCCUCUCUGAAAAAUAUGCUAAUGAAUAAUGGGGAUUGCCCUCCUCCAGGGGCCAGGGCGCCUGCUUAUAUAGCCCCUCCAAAUGAACGUGGGCCGUCGGAUCAAACCGACCUUAAUCGUACGGUUUUCCUUAAUCCUUUAGGUCGGUGGAGCAUAAUAAGCGAGGUGGAGCCUGAUUGGCUGAGACACUUGGGCGGGCGCCCAAGGGGGGAGGGCGGGCACCUUGCCGUCGGUAUUUUUGGUAUGAGGCAUAGUAAUAUUACCUUCUCUCUCACCCUACUCUAAUAAGGUUUUGAUUUCUGGAGCUCAUAGGUGGAAGAUAAAGCAUACAUACUUACAAGACAUUUACUGCAUAGUCAAACCAUGGAUCCAGAGAAACAAGCCAAUAAGUCAAAUCAAUAUGUGCAUGUGUGGCGAAUGAAUGGUGUAUGGUGAUAACAAUGGUGAAAGUCUAAUUCUACUUUUGCUCUUUUAAGGGGAUACAUACCUUUCUUGCACUUUGAAGCUUUUUGAGGAGAAUGAGAUGCUCUAUAUUUUCUUUUUCUUUUCUCUCAGGUAGAUAUCUUGUACCCCUAAUUCUACUGUCGGACACUUGUCCAUUUGUACCUCUCGUCUCACUUUUUCUUUUCUUCGAGGUUCCGGACACUUGCCCCUUUUUAUUUCCUCGUAUUUUCCCUUUUUUUCAGAGCACUCACCCUCCUAGAAUAAUGUAGCAAGUGGUAGUAACCAAAAUAUCUCGAGCAUUUAUUUCACAGAGAAUAACAGGGAUAGGAAAAAGUUUUUGGCUAUUCUCCUCCGGAUUUGGAGUAGAAUACUUUUGGGUGGCUCUGGAGAUGGAAAUGAGUGGAUAUAUGUGGAUGCGUACUUCCGGAGUAGAAGCAGCAUGUGUGAGUGAACGUGCAAGUGAAUCUUGAUUUUAACCGCAUGACAAACUUCUAAGGGUCUACACAGCUUGACCACACUCAAUGCUCAUAAGCAGUAAAAAGUAAAUGUAUGGUUCUUAGUCUAAUAAUCAUGUAUGUAUGGCUGUGGUAGGAAUUUAAACACUUAUCAUAUAGGAACUCAUCAUGUGUUAUUUUAAAGAUUUUUAAAGAUAAAAUUCUCCAGAAUUCUAGCAUCUCUAGGAACACAUAAACAGUAGCUCAACCUUCCCAUAUCAUAUCCGUUAACAACUUAGACUUCAGAUCAAGUUAUUUUCCCACAAGUUCAGGUUUAGAGCAGGUUUAAAUUAUAACAGUUAUGCCUAAACUUGAGAGAGAGCUCAAACUUGAAAACUAGGUACGUGGCAGAGCAAUUAUUUAUCAUAUCCAUGUUAGAGUUUAUCUUUUAAGUUCAGUUUGGCCUAGACACUUUAUUUAUUUAUUUAGCAAACUAAGCAAAGAUAUAUAAGCACAAAAAUAUUUAUUUGAUUUUUUCAUGGUUAUGUAUAUUUUUUUUAUUUUAAUACAGUAUAAGUAUAAAUGUGGAUAGAAAUACUUAGCGGGAUAAAUAGGGGUGCUUUCCCCAAACUGGAUUUUGACGUAAUUUCUUCUGAUGUAGCAGGCAGGUGGUGGAGGUGUAUUUGAAUGUCGGCAGCACCCCGACAACGAUUAGAAUGUCCUCCGUCUGCUAGUCUUCUUGAUCUUUGAAUUCUGUGGAGCUCAAAUAGACAACAAAGCUUUGUGGAACUGGUUAAGUGUUAGCAUAAAAUCUCUUAGCCUUUAUCAUAUUGAGAUUCCUCCUAAUAAAUUUUAUUUAUUUAGUAGGAUCAUGCACUUAUUCUUUUUAUAUUUUUAUUGUAAGAUGAAAACAUAUUUAUUUUAUGCCACCACAGUCAAUAUACCUAUGGGUUUUAAACCAUAAGUCUACUCACAUGGGGCUUUAGAUUUUAUGAUGCAGUGCAAUUAACAAAUAUUUUUCUUUUCUUUUCUAAUGUUAAUAUGGAAAAGUAAAUUUGCUAAUGCAAGUGAUGAAAUAAAAAGGAAAAGGAAUGCAGAAAAUAUAAAUAUGGAUAAAUACCGAUUUUACCUUCCGGCAAGGAUCCAAUGUUUUAAGUCUUCUGGACAAGACUUCUCACCGUGUUUAUCCUUUAGGUGCAUCAUUGAUUAGGUGUGGGCCUUGACAUCUGUACCUCUUGAUACAGUGUCACCCAUGUUCUUCGUUUGUCCAGCAGUUCGAGGUGCGGCAUUGGCAGCAUCCUGCUCAGUGUGUUUGUGCUCGUAGAUCCAAGUCCUUCACUUGGUGGAAUCUGGGAGUUGUAAAACUCCUUCAGGUUUUGCUCGAAGUGUACCUGCUCAUAGAGACAAGGCAGAGAUCAAGUGCAUGGGCCCUGUUGGUAAAAAACACCAACAGAACCAAAAGUGUAUUUGUUCUUCUCUAACCUUAAGCAUAGUGAGCAAGACAAAGUUGAUGGAUAAUAAGAUCAUGAGUGUAGCAUUUAAAACAUUUGUCAGAUCAGGUCGCUCGUCCUAAUGGAAAGAUAAUCUAUCUAUAUUUAUGUUUUUUUAUAUCUUCCAAAGAUUGAAUGUGUAACAUUUUAGCUUAUAUGAUUAGGAGUGUGGGAUCACGAAGGUAGUACUAAGAACAAAGAUUAAAGGACUAAACAUGUUGAAUUAAUUGGGUUGGUUAAUUUAUGUUUAUCUCUUUAUUCAUGUGAACGCCAGAACCAAGGAAAAGCUUAUAAGAGUGAUAGUCAAGUACCUUAAGAUGUUACCUUACUUGAAGAGUGAUGGUACAGUAUCACCUUGUGGAAGCUUUCCUUUCUUAGCGGUUGUGCACCGUGUUUGUGGCACUCUUUGUCUCGUUCCAUGGAUUAUCUCUCUAUGAUGAAUGACCUAUGUCUUCCUUGUGCAAAUCGUUAAACUUCAUGUGUCUCCUUUGUCUCCAAUGUGAGUUUGUAUCUCAGGACUUCCCAGGUUGAUAUUGAAAGUAGUCCGACAAAAUAUACCAAUGUCUACACAAACAGUUUUUAGUUCAGUAACCAAAGUAGACUCCAUGUCUAAUCACAUUAAGGAAGGCUAUUUAACCUAAGCACCACGCUUAAUUUAAAUGCCAAUGGAAGUAUAUCGAGUACUUCCAAACCAACACUUGCUUGUGAAUAGACAAAGGUAGCAUGACAGCAUUUAUAGAGAUCUACUCAGGUGGAGAUGAAAAAUAAGUUUAGUGUUUAGAAAAAUUGAGCAUGCCUCAAUAGUAGGGACAACCAACAUAGCAACAUGGCAAAGGAUAUUCUUAUGUAUGGUCUUUCCCCCAAGCUUGAAUUUUGCAAAAUUCAAGAUUGGAUGAAUUUAAUUCAAUGUUGCAUGAUGAUUGGUUGGGCAUACCUUGCGCUUGUCAUUCCCCGGAUCUUCUUGCUCCAAUCCUAGAAAGGUUAGUGACACGAAUACCCGAAGGAAUAUUUCCACAAUUAUCUUUAUAUGCUCAAUACACAAGGCAAUGUUGCAAAUAAUUAAAAGUUCAUGUUACGAUCUGAUAAGUGCUUGUUUUAGGACACUAAGCUUGUCCUUGGGAAACCAUCAAAUUAUGUUGGUGAAGUGGUUUCCCCUCCAACACCAACCUAAGCGAGGCUUACAUCGGUGGUGUGCCUUACUUUAAAAUGCUUUCGUUUCUUUCUAACUGGGUGAUUCAUAGAAAGAAAUCGACGAUACCCAAGGUACACGACCUUUCUGCAUUUUUUCAAAUAUAUGCUAUCAAGGUCAUCAAAAUAGUGUGUGCAUGCAUUAUAUCCCUUGUUUGUCAGCCCUGAAAGAUUACUUAGAGCAGGCCAAUCAUUGAUUGUCACAAACAACAGUGGUCGCAGGUCGAAGUGUUCCUGUUUGUACCCAUCCCACACACGAACACCUGUUUCAUUCUAUAAAAGAAGGACAUUGUACAUCCAAUGACGUGUCAUUGUCUGUAUUGCAACAUAAAGUAUUAUAAGUUUCUAAUUUUUUAUACAGAAAUUAAUUAAAGUAACAAAUAACCUAAAAUUCUCUAUUUCUAAUUUUUCUAAACCAGCAAAAUUUAAAAGACAUAAAAGUUCUCUAUUUUUCUAACUAAUCAUGAAAUGUGGCAUGCAUACUAGUUAUAAUUAACUAAUUAACCGUGUCAUAAAUUGCAAAUUAAAGAAAUAUAAGUUUCUAAUUUUUAAUAGAGAAAUUAAAGUAACAAAAAACCUAAAAUUCUCUAUUUCUAAUUUUUCCAAACAAGCAAAAUUAAAGAAGCACAAAAGUUCUCUAUUUUUAUAACUAAUCAUGAAAUGUGGUAAUGCAUACUAGUUAUAAUUAACUAAUUAACCUUGUCAUAAAUUGAAAAUUAAAGUAUUAUAAGUUUCUAAUUUUUUAUACAUAAAUUAAAGUAACAUAAAACCUAAAAUUCUCUAUUUCCAAUUUCUCUAAACAAGCAAAAUUAAAAAAACACAAAAAUUCUUUAUUUUUCUAAAUAAUCAUGAAAUGUGGUAUGCAUACUAGUUAUAAUUAACUAAUUAACUCGGUCAAAAAUUGCAAAUUAAAGUAUUAUAUGUUUUAAUUUUUUUCUUAACUAACUAAAAUAAAAAAACAUAGAAUCACUAUUUUUCUAAAAAAAUGCGUCGAUGUUGAGAAGACGAUGAAGCUAGUGACCUCUUAAAAAAACCAUAAAAUAAAAAACAACAUACAUAACACUAGGAAACGACAUAUGCCGCUGCUAAAUGUUGAGAAGAUGAACCUAGUGACCUCUUAACAAGUCGAUGACGGCGUAGAAAUUAUGAAAUGAAUCAAUAGCCGAAGAUGAGAGCAAGAACAAGCAACUGCAAAUGAAGAAUACAGCAAAAGAGUGAAGAUCGAUGGGCUCGACCAGGGGAAGAAGAAGAGUUCAAAUAUGGAGAAGGACAUUUAGUCCCGGUUCCAUUUAACAAUCGGGACUAAAGUCCAACAUUAGUCCCGGCCGGUGAGACAGACCGAGACAACAACUUUUAAUCCCGGUUGGUGUUACCAACAGGGACUAAAGGCUGGGCUUUAAUCCUGGUUGGGGAUACCAACCAUUACUAAAGGUCCCUUCUGCUGAUCUCUGACACCAUAAUCGUUGGGCAGGGGACUUUUAGUCCCGGUUGUUCUCACCAAUCGGAAGUAAAGUUAUUUUUAUCCCGGACGCUGAUUGGGCCGAGGUUAUUGUUCACUUUGUUCAAGUGACGAAAGACCUGUUCUGUAGUAGUGGCCUCUUCUAUGCUAAGUGGCUAGCUCUUCUGGUGUAGCUGGAGAAAAGAUGGUUUAUCCUAAAAUGUUGCUCCAAGUAGGACUACUGGAGCUAGGUAAUAUACGAGUCUCGCACUACCAAAAUGUUAGAGUGCUCCUAGUACUUUUGAGUAUUAAUAAAAUAAUAUAAUAACUAGUCAUAGCACAUGAAAAUCCUCACUAGGAGGCAUUUUGUGAGGAAAGUUUAUGCUAAAUGUUGAAUGCCUAAACACAAGAAGAAAUCCACAUCAUUAGAAAGAAAUUGCAGAUUUUAGUACAUUCAUGUUAUCGUCAUGCAUAUAUGCACUAUAUUAUAUGUAUACACUCGUUGGUACUGACAAUGUAGAUUUAAACUGUGCGCGGAUGCAGCUAGUAGGUGCUGUUACAAGCUGAGCACUACGGAAGUCACAGUCAAUCUCUCACAGAGCUAGGACGUCCGUCCGACGGUUUCACCAACUGCCAUGCAGGUCGUAAGACAGUUUCACCUACUGCGUGUACCGGCGUACGUUCCCCGGCGCUCACCUCUCGAACACACUGGGUCAGUGCCACUGCCAUGCAUGUGCUCCGUAGCUAUGUUUCACAAGUUUGACCCCUUCGUGCUUGCGCAUGCACCGGCUUAGCUGCUCAGCCUGCCAACUCCAGCCAUGCACGUACCUGGCAAUCAUUCACAGAGUGGCGCCCUAACAUCAUCGUUUUCGUAAGUAACGUUGUUCCCAGUAUCUGCGACCAGGUCAUGGAUGCCAUGCAUGCAUGCAUUUUCUGAAUUCUGAUCGGCUAUACACACAGGAGAAAGUUAGCAGGUCACAUGUUCCCCGAAACACGCCCACAAUUCUGACAGCGGAAACAGUAUGACACGUAUAUGUACACAUGCAUCCAACUCCAACAAUGUACAGCAGGACACCACACAUGUGGCCCUUUAAGUAAAGCCAAAAAAAAACAGCUUUCUCUGUUGCUUCAUCACACGACAGAGACGAUCUCCUGUUGGCCUAUAUAAAGGUGGUCAUGGACGAACCCAUAAGGUCAACAAAAACUCUCCCUAUCUCUACCACAAAAACAGCGAGCACUGACGGCUUAUAUAUAGCUCUAGCUCUUUUGCGUCGAUCAGUGCCUCAUCAGCACCCUGACAUUGCAUGCCAUGGCUCACUCCACCACCUUGGCCCUGCACCUGCUGGUCGUCGUCGUGAUGGCGCUCAUCUUUGUUGCCUCGGCCAGUGUCUCCGCUCCCGUCAACAAGUCGUGCGUCACCGGUAGCGCCGGCGCCAGUGUGAGCAUUGGCUACGGCGGGGCAAGGGCCAGCGCCGGCGCUGGCGUGUCCCUUGGUGCCGACGCGUACAGGACCACCUGCCCCCGCGCCGAGGAGGUCGUCCGUGCGGCCGUUGAGUGGGCCGUCGCUGCCGACCCACGCAUGGCUGCGUCUCUCCUGCGCCUCCAUUUCCACGACUGCUUCGUCAACGUAAUAGGAGUUGAUCAAGCGAUCGAGCUAGCUCCUCCAACUCGAAACCACACACACAUGGUCGAUCGAUCUGCAUGCUUUAUAUAUAUAUUUCUGUGACUUGGCUGCCUGCUGUUUUAAUCUGUUGUCAGGGUUGUGAUGGCUCCGUUCUUCUGGACGACAAGCCGUUUCUCGUUGGCGAGAAGACGGCUGUGCCCAACGCCAACUCGCUCAGGGGCUUCGAGGUCAUUGACGCCAUCAAGGCCGAGCUGGAGCGGGAGUGCCCAGAGACAGUCUCCUGUGCCGACCUCCUUGCCAUCGCUGCCCGUGAUUCCGUCGUCGUGGUAAGGACGACGUAGCAUACAUAUGCAUUGAUCGGUCAUACUGUACAUCUUUUCAAGUCGCAUCUUUUUUCCUACUGUAUAUAUAUAGUGAGUGAUCAUCGUUUGUUGCAUCAUCAUCAUUAAAUUGUCCGGCGGCCGGUGGAUCAGUCGGGCGGGCCGAGCUGGGAGGUAGAGGUCGGCCGGAAGGACAGCCGCACCGCCAGCCUGCAGGGUGCCAACACCAACCUACCAGCACCGACGUCUGGCGUCGCCACCCUCGUGCAGAAGUUCAGGAACGUCGGUCUUUCUGCCAAGGACAUGGUCGCACUCUCCGGUAAGUAUAUAUUACACAUCAUAUAUACACGCUCUCUCUUCACGAAUCUCUGCAUACAUGCAUACUCGGCCGGCACACGUACAUGUAUACGUACGUGCAGACUAAAUAAAUACUAAUUUACAUUAAUACUAAUUCACAUGAAUGUAUACACAGGCGCGCACACGAUCGGGAAAGCGCGGUGCACUUCGUUCAGUGCGCGCCUUGCGGGCGUCGGCGGCGUCUCGGAAGGCGGCGUCGGCGCAUUCAAGGACCUAACCUUCCUGCAGUCGCUGCAGCAGCUGUGCACGGGGUCGGCUGGAUCGGCGCUGGCGCACCUGGACCUCACCACCCCAGCGACCUUCGACAACCAGUACUACAUCAACCUGCUCUCCGGCGACGGCCUGCUGCCGUCAGACCAGGCACUAGCGUCGUCGUCGGGUGUCGCGCCGGGGGUUGAGGCGGACGUCGCCAGCCUCGUCGCCAUCUAUGCCUUCGACGCCUCUGUAUUCUUCCAGGACUUCGCAGAGUCCAUGCUGCGGAUGGGGAGGCUUGCACCAGGCGCGGGCACCAGUGGCGAGGUCCGCCGGAACUGCCGGGUGGUGAACAUCUCCGGCUAGCUAGAUCCAGUCACCAAUGCAAGUUUCCUAAUAAAAGCCAUGCAUGCUCACGUUCAACUCUCUAGUCCAUGCGGCUUGGAUUAUUGCUCCUAUGUUAUAUCAGCUAAUUCAGUCCAAUAAGUUUGUUUUGUUUCAAUUAAUUUUAGUUUCUGCUUUGAGUUUAUUUGGCAUGAGAAUUAUGGUGGGGAUCGUUUAAAUAGUUACUAGUCGGUCUGUGUGAUGUACUUUCACCGUCUAUGUGAUGUACUCUCUCGUUUCAAAAUAAUUAAUAAUGUUCCGAGGUUUACAAUCUGUCAAUUAACAUUUCACAUAAACAUGGCACACUGCCUUCUAUGUGGAUGCUAAUACGGAUGCAUGCCCAAAUCUAUGAGAUAUCCUUUUUGUGAUUAGGAAAGAAUGUGAUGCUGGUUAUAUAUAUGUGCGCCUUUUGUCAACGUUCUUAAUUGAUAUGAAAAUGUUGACAAAGUUCAUUAUUUUGAGAUGGAGUAAUGAUGUAUGCAAGCCGUCUUGGAAAGUACCAAAAGUUUAAUAAUUAAUCUGGAGGUACUAAGUUUGAAUGAAUUUUAGAAAGAAUCCUUUUUGCUCAAGCAUUCUAAUUCUCUCUCACGAAAGAUAGAAAUAGGAGGAACUUGCUAUUGAUAAAGUGAACUCGGAUCAAAUUGAGUGUGUUGAAAUAUCAUGUGAGAUGUGUGAGGGGCGACGAUCUAUUCCAUUCAAUUUUUUUUGAAAGGAUCAAGAUACCCAAGAGGGGGGUGAAUUGGGCUUCUCUAAAAGUUUAAGCAACCUAUAAGCUCCAAUUCAACCCCUUGUGCCUAGUGUGACCUAGAGAGAUUCCGGAUAAAAGUUUUGCAACCUAGUUCCAAUCCUAUUCUAGCAAGACAAUUCUAAGAAUGUAAAAGCACAAAGUAAGUGCUAGAAUGUAAAGGAGUAGUGGAAGAAAAUGCUCGGCGAUGUUUUUCCGAGGUAUCAGACAGUCGCCACUCUUCACUAGUCCUCGUUGGAGCACCCGCGCAAGGGUCUUGCUCCCUCUUGGUCCGCGCAAGGACCAAGUGCUCUCUACGGGCUGAUUCUUCGACACUCCGUCGCGGUGAAUCGCCCAAAACCGCUCACAAGCUUGACACGAGCCACCCACAAGAACUCCAGGCGGUCUUCGUGUCUCCAAUCACCACCGAACCGUCUAGGUGAUGGCGAUCACCAAGAGUAAAAAGCAAAGAACUCUCACUUGACCCAAACAAGGCUCUAGAGAGUGGUGGAUGCACACUUGACUCUUGGAACUCACUAGAGAAGGAUUCUCUCAAGAAAUCACUCAAAUCUCAAUCCUCUCUAGGCUCUUCCUACUCUCUUUCUCCACAACAAGUUUCUCAGAUGUUCAAAUGGGCAAGAGACCUCUCAUGGACGAGGUGGAGUAUAAAUAGUACCCACGAAAUCCAAAGGUCAGCCAACCGUUCUCCACUGAAAACAGGGUCACCGGACGCUCUUUAUGUUGCACUCGACGCUCUGCAUCGAGCGUCCGGUGCUCCAUAACGGCUAACUGUACUUGCGUCUGGCAGGUCACCGGACGCUAACUCUCAGCGUCCGGUGGCACCGUCCGGUGCUCCGGGGAGUUUUACAUGCUCCCUGCGCAUGGGACCGGACGCUACCCGGUGCGUCCGGUGCUAGCGUCCGGUGCUCAGGGCAGGUUUACAACCUCCCUGGGUAUGGGACCGGACGCUGCCCGGUGAGUCCGGUGCCAGCGUCCGGUGCUUAACCCUAAGCACCGAGAACUCCCAACGGCUAAAGACCUCACCGGACGCACUCACAGAGCGUCCGGUGCAGCGUCCGGUCCCCCCUUGGGCACCCUAACUUCGUCGAAACACGAUUGCUCCAAAAUGAAGUUUGUUCCUCUCGAUCUAAGGACUGUCUCUGAGCUGCCUAGUGCUAGAUUUACCAUGUGUGCACCACACCUAAACCUAAAGCCUUGCCUAAGUCAAGCUACUAGAUCAAAGCCCCUCUUAAUAGUACGGUCAAAGGAAAACAAAGUCCUAAACUACUCUAAGUGCCCUUCUUCACCAUAUGGCACUUAGACCUAGUCUAGUCUUGACGAUGUCCAUCCAUCAUUUGAAAACCGAAACGAUUUCCACUAUUAAGUAGGCAUAUACGUCCCUGUCCAUCGAGUACCUAUUCCCAUGACCUUACCUAUGACUUUGCCUCUGCAAAACACACGUUAGUCAUAGUAAUCAAUAUUGUCAAUAAUCAUCGAAAUCACUAGGGGCCUAGAUGCUCUUUCAAUCUCUCCCUUUUUGGUGAUUGAUGACAAUAACCUCGAGUAUGAAAGAGUUGACGUUUUCACAUGACUUGGUUUCAGUAAGCAUGAUACAAUAAGAACAAAGGGAUUAGGCAUGCUUAUAUCAACCAAGUCCAACAUCCUGCAUCCAAAUAUGUGAGUGAAGCACAACAGGAUAAAAACACAAGGCUCAUAAGCAUAUCGAAGUAAAACGCGGAAGCAAAAGUAAUAUGAGCCAAAACACAUGACAUUAAGAUAUCACAAUUAAGCACAAGUCAUAUCUCACAACCAUAGUGUAUCUCACACAAAUGCAAUGCAUAAAGAAAAACGUGAUGCAUGAUGGAGUAGCACACAAAAGAGUAUAUCAAAAGAAUAAAAGCCCUCUCUAGCUCUCUAGCUCCCCCUAACUCUCAUACUCACAACCCUCUCUCCCCCUUUGGCAUCAAGCGCCAAAAACCUAAGAAGACGGUGGAGGAGGCGGAGCAGUGGAGUCCCUCGGCACGGCCUCAAAGCGAGCUGCAUCGUCUGAACCGUCGGCCGUCGAGGCGGAGGAGGUAGAGUGACCCUCUGAAGCUGCACGAGCUGGCGAAGCGGUCUGGGUCUGCUCUGGAGGCACUGAAGCUAUCACCGGCUGUACGGGCUGCUCGAGUCCUACUGACGAAGCUGGCACGGACUCGGUCGCUGUAGCUGACGUCUCGGGCACGGUAGAAGACGUUGCAAGGUGCUCGGACGACGCUACAGACGACGACAGAUGCUCUAUGGUGGUAACUGGCGCCGUAAAUGCUACAGGAGCCUAUAGAGGUGGAGGCGUAGGGUCACCAGUUAGAGCACUGUAGGUGAAGCUGAGGUGCGGGUCUGUCGACGAGUCCAACACAAGCUGUGACGCUGUCGCUGACUGAGGUGUAAAGCCUGAGCGGAGAGGCGUGAACUGGGGUACCUGCUCAAAGCCAGAGGAGAUAGCACCCUGGGAGACCUAGUGCUGAGGCUUCGAAAAUGGCUGACUCUGAGCAGGAAGCUGUGGAGGCUGCUGUGACUGACUCUGUGGAGCUGGAGUAGACGGCCUGACAGACGAUGUGCCUAGAAGCUGAAUCUGUGGAAGCUGAAUCCCUGAGGCGGCCAUAAGAGCGGCCAUCAUCGCUGUCUGCUGAGCCUGAAAGGCUAGGAACUGCCGCUAAAGCUCAUCCUGACGAGCCUGAAUCACUGCAUUUAUCGCAGCCUGAUCCCUGUCCCUCCCGGCCUGCUCCUCAGCUGCUCUGCGCUGGUCAGCUCUCAUCCCCUCUAGUAUGGCGAGCAGAGCAGGGUCCGUAGCACUCGAGGAACCGCCUGCCUCGUGGUCGUGUGCCCUCGGGGGAAGGUCUGACACUGGAGGAUGAUAGUCAUCGUCCGAGCUGUCCGAAGCGAAGUCAAACUCUCCUUCAACCUCAGCAUCUGCAAAAGCUCCAAUGGCUAUGUCCUGCUGCUCCUCAGUCUCUGGAACUGCUCCUAAACUGCGAGUGCCCCUAGGAGAAGGUGGGGGCAUAGGGCCACGUGGUGCACGAGGAGGUUGAGUAGCACGGAGGUCGUGGUGUGCUCGCAGCAUCUGCCAGGGGUCGUAGUGAGGGAAGACGGUGUCCGAGUCUGUCAGCUCUCUCUGUAGGUGAGCCGGAAGAGGUACUGGCCUAGCACGAAGAAUAAGCAAGGUCAUCCAAUGUGCAUACAGCAGCUGACGCCGUCCCCUGAAGCUCUCUGAGAUAGUGUCCUCGAUCUCUGAGACUAUCAAGUCCCACAAGUCAAACGGUGUCUGUGAGAUGAGGUGAGCUACGAGCCACUCCUGGAUACGAGUGAAGCCAUCUCUAUAGCCUGUACUGGGGAGGAGUGUCUUCCUCAGCACGAAGUCGUGGAUCCUGGCUGGGCGUGUCAAGUCUCCCACUGUCCGCCUGGAGCCCUCUCCAAAAGGUGGACGGAAACAAGGAGCCACAAAGUCAACCGGUGGUAUCUCACCACCAUGAGGACGUCGAGGGGGCUCGAAGUUCCCGUAGCACAGUUGGUGAAUCCUAGUGGAGUAAGCUCUCAAGCCAAGCACCUCUCUGGCCCUCUGUGCUGUCACUCUAUAACCUGUCCCUACCAGUGCAUAGUGGAUAUAACUGUGAUCUAGAGAAACCCACACUGAAGCAUAGAACUCUCUGACCCACUGCUCACAGUAAGUGCCAGGUAAAGCUAGUAACUCCGAGAGACCCUGGAGGUAUAUGAAAUACUGACGGAUCACUCUGUGCUCCCUGAACUGAGACUGUGAGCGAACCAGUGCCUCGUAGAUGUCCUCCUGUACCACUGUGUAGAACUUGGCACCGACUCGUGGAUCCCUAGCAGUUGGAAACCAAGUGGGAAAGGGAACGAACCGCAGCUGCUGGAUCUCUCUAGCUGACACGAGAGUGAGAUCCCUGUGAAUCCUGACUGGUCCCUGACGAGGAGCUGGUGUGCCUCUAGCUGGUGUAGCACGAGCAGCGGAGGUAGACUGGCCCUGCGUACCAGUCCGAGGAGUGGCCUGAGUACGAGUGCGGGUCGACCUCCUGAGGGGCUGCUCCUGCUCCUGUGCCUCUACUAGACCCUCUGCCUGGGCCUCUGCCUCUGUGUCUAUGUCUGGGUCCUCCUGAGCUGGAUCUCUGACAUUUAUCCUGACACGCUGCCCUCCUAUCAUGAUGGUGCCUGGAGGUGAUCCAUGACGAGCCUUGGCCUCAAGAACGGCACGCCUCUGACGUGGCGUGAGAUCAGCCCCUAUCCUCAAAGCACCUGACCGUCCACCCCUCUCAGCUGCCUCUGCUGCUGCUGCAACUGCCUCGGCCACCUCUGGCUCUCUGUCGCUGGCCUUGCGCUUCUUGGUGGCUAGCUUCUUGCCCUUGCCCUUCUCUACCGCUGACAGGCGACGGGGAGGAUCACCUCCACCAUCACCUCCUGGAGAACCUCUGCUGGACCGCUGACGUUCUUGCAACGUGCCAUUGUAAGAAUAGCUGACUGAACGAACUGCCGACAAAUAGCCAACUAACAAAGGAGAUCAACACGGAUCCAAGGACGAGAUGCGUUCCGGAUGAGAUGUCACGAUCGAAGACUGUCGGAGAACAUGAAUCAUCUCCUCAAGGUGCCAAACCCUAACCACCCCACAGGAAAGAAAUCCCUGCACGAGGAGAGGGAAAGGAGGAGGCCUGGAAGAGGAUCUGCGCGAGGGUGAAGCUUCGAGGUCACCGGAGAAAACGUGAAUCAUGGCGGCGGCGGCGAGCUAGGGCACGGGGCGCCUGGACGAGAUCACGAGAGGAGAAGAAAAACUACCGAUCCAAACACCCCGGCCGCGGGUUAUAUGCGGCCUCCAUGGGGUCACCGGACGCACUUAAAGUGGCAUGCGUGGUGAGCACCGGACGCACAUCACCGGACGCUGUAGGGACACUGUUCCUGCGUCCGGUGAGUGCAGUCUGGCACACUCACCGCACCGGACGCACGGAGACAUCGUCCGAUGCAUCGUCCGGUGCACCUCUGAGUCCUGUUUCAUCUUAGCACUACGUCCGAAUUUUGACCCAACCAAUUUCCAUCUUCAAAAACACACAGAUGAACACCAAAUGGAACUGGUAUGAGUUACUUCUCUCAAACCCUCAAUUUUUCACAAAUAUUUAGCCAUAGGCUUAGUAGUUUUUAUGAAAAUAAUUUGAGAAAUCACCAAGGAGCAUCAUAUGGCCAUAAAGCUAGGGGUUUUAAUCACAAUGAGCUUUGAAUGCUCCCCCUAUCUAUGGACGAACAUAAUGGAUGCUCAAAGAAUAACCGAAAAGAAACGGUCAACUAACAAGCAUGCAUAUGAUAUGAGGUGAAAUGCAAUACUUGAAAGUAAACUAAUGCUUGUCAAGUUUGAUCCAAGGUUAAGCUUUUUCACACACACAAGGGGGUUAUCUUAACUAUGUUAGACAAGCCCUACAUGCAAGUUUGGUAUUUUAGUUUUAGUAUGCAUGAUAUGCAAAGCAAAAGCUAUUUACAAGUUUCAACACACAACUUUAUAUUUUAGUGAAGUUAGAGAGAUCAAGCACAUUUAGUUCAUUUCUCAACAUACAAAACCUAGCUUCAUCUAGGGGUUUUGUGAAGAUAUCCGCCAAUUGAUUUUCCAUUCCUACAUUCUCUAGAGAUAUGUCACCUUUAGCAACAUGAUCCCUAAGGAAGUGGUGGCGGAUGUCAAUGUGUUUUGUGCGGGUGUGUUCAACCGGGUUGUUUGCAAGUUUUACGGCACUUUCGUUGUCACACAACAAAGGUACUUUGUCUAGUACUACUUCAUAGUCUAGCAAAGUUUGUUUCAUGUAGAGUAUUUGUGCACAACAAGCACCAGCGGCAAUGUAUUCCGCCUUGGCCGUUGACAAGGCAACACUAUUUUGUUUCUUUAACAUCCAAGAGACAAGUGAUCUACCUAGGAAAUGGCACCCUCCGGAUGUGCUUUUUAUAUCAAUCCGGCACCCGGCAUAAUCCGAAUUGGAAUAGCCUACAAGUUGGAAUCUUGCACCUUUGGGAUACCACAAACCUAGGCAAGGUGUGUAUUUUAGAUACCGAAGAUUCUCUUGACCGCAAUAAAGUGAGAUUCCAUAGGCAUUGCUUGAUAUCUUGCACACAUACACACACUAAACAUGAUAUCGGGCCUAGAUGCGGUGAGGUAGAGUAGACUUCCUAUCAUGGAGAGAUAGAGAGUCUUGUCAAUUGGGUUACCUCCCUCAUCCAAAUCGAGAUGCCCAUUUGAUGCCAUGGGAGUCUUGAUUGGCUUGCAAUCCAUCAUCUUGAACCUCUUGAGAAGAUCUUGAGUGUACUUCUCUUGAGAGAUAAAGACUCCUUCCUUCAUUUGCUUGACUUGAAAUCCUAGGAAGAAGGAUAGCUCACCAAUCAUGGACAUCUCAAACUCCUUGGACAUGAAAUCACCAAAUUCCUUGCAAAAAUCUUCGUUAGUAGAGCCAAAAAUAAUAUCAUCAACAUAAACUUGGCAAAUGAAGAUUUCCCCAUUCAUUUUGUUGGUGAAGAGUGUGGUGUCAACUUUCCCAAUCUUGAAGCCCUUCUCAAUGAGGAAGUCCCUAAGCCUCUCAUACCAAGCUCUAGGAGCUUGGUUGAGACCAUAGAGAGCCUUGGACAAUCGGUAGACAUGCUUGGGGUACCUAGGGUCUUCAAAACCGGGGGUUGCUCAACAUAGACAAGCUCAUUAAUAUAUCCAUUCAAAAAAAGCACUUUUCACAUCCAUUUGAAAUAACUUGAUAUCAUGACUAGAUGCAUAUGCAAGUAGGAUACGUAUUGCUUCAAGUCUUGCCACCGGUGCAAAGGUUUCACCGAAGUCAAGACCUUCCACUUGUGAAAAGCCUUUUGCCACGAGCCUUGCCUUGCUGCGCACCACUUUGCCUUGAUCAUCCUUCUUGUUCCAGAAGACCCACUUUGUUCCAAUCACUCUUGCAUCUUUGGGUCGCUCUUCAAGUGUCCAUACUUGGUUGCGAGAGAAGUUGUUCAACUCCUGUUCCAUGGCCAUGAUCCAAUCCGCAUCACGAAGAGCUUCCUCUAUAGUCUUUGGUUCAUCUUCAAGGGACACAAAAGCGUGAUGUUCAAUAAAUAAAGCAUAUCUAGAACGAGUAGUUACACCACGUGAUGGACUCCCGAUGAUGAGAUCUUGAGAGUGAUCUUGGAGGAGAUGUGAUGUUCUUCUUGGCGCCACUUGAGGGGUUGGUUGGGGAGCAUCAACAUCUUGUGCUUGUGCCACCGCUUGUUCAUGAGUGACUUGAGUGUCUUCAUGAGCAUAUCUCACAUCCUUGUCUUCAUCUUGUGGAACAUGUGAGGUGGAUGGUGGCUCAAUAAUUUGCACAUCAGCAUCAUCUUCUUUUGGAUUGAUGUUCUUUUGCAUCAAUAAUUUGCACAUCACAUUCUUUUGCAUCAAUAAUUUGCAAAUCAGCAUGUUCUUCACGGCAUCCCUCAAUGGUUCACCACCUACAUCAUCAAGAUUAUCACUUGCUCCUUGGGAGCCGUUAGUUUCAUCAAAUUCAACAUCAAAUGUUUCUUCAACCAUGUUUGUGGCAUGCUUAAAGACCCUAUAUGCCUUGGACUUUGAUGAAUAGCCAACCAAGUAGCCAAUGUCACAUCUUCUUUGGAACUUUCCCAAGUGUUGACGCUUCUUGUAGAUGUAGCAUUUGCAUCCAAACACUCUAAAGAAUGAGACAUCGGGCUUCUUCCCAUUGAGCAACUCAUAUGGUGUCUUCUCUAGGAACUUGUGUGGAAAGAGCCGGUUUGAAGCAUAGCAUGCGGUGUUGAUUGCCUCGGCCCACAUCUUCUCCGAAGUGUUGUACUCAUCUAGCAUUGCUCUUGCCAAGGUGAUCAAUGUCCGGUUCUUUAUUUCUACAACCCCAUUUUGUUGUGGUGUGUAUGUUGAGGAGAACUCAUGUUUGAUUCCCACUUCAUCACAAUACUCUUCAAUGUUGGUGUUGUCAAAUUCUUUACCAUUGUCACUUCUAAUUUUCUUGAUCUUGACUUCAAAUUGAUUUUGAGCAUUCUUUGCAAACUUCUUGAAUAUGGAUGCAACUUCGGCCUUAUCUUGCAAGAAGAAUGUCCAAGUGUACCGGGAGAAAUCAUCAACUAUGACCAAGCAAUAUUUGUUGCCUCCAAGACUAGCAUAUGUGGUUGGUCCAAAUAAAUCCAUGUGAAGUAGCUCAAGCACUCUUGAAGUAGAGAGAUAGGCCUUGGUUGGAUGAGUGUUUGCAACUUGCUUGACAGCUUGACAUGCACUACAAAGCUUGUCCUUCUCAAAUGUCACAUCCUUCAAGCCUCUAAUCAAUUCUUUCUUCAUCAACUUCUUGAGUGUGCCCAUUCCAACAUGUGCUAACCUUCUAUGCCACAACCACCCAAGCGAAGUCUUAGUGAAUAAACAAGUCUUGAUAAGAACUUUAUCGGAUGAGAAAUCAACUACAUAUAGAUUGUUGUGUCGGAAGCCUUUGAAUAUCACUUCAUUGUCAUCUUCCUUGGUCACUAUCACUUCCUUCUUUUUGAAUAGGCAUUCAAAUCCAAGAUCACAAAGUUGUCCAACCGAGAGCAAGUUGAAACUCAAGGAUUGCACAUAGAGCACAUUGGUGAUGGAGUUGUCAUUUGAUAUAGCAACCUUUCCUAGUCCCUUGACCUUGCCUUUUGAAUUGUCACCAAAUGUGAUCUUCUCUUGGUUGUCAACAUCUUCAUCAAGAGAGGUGAACAUCCAGGGAUCUCCGGUCAUAUGUUGAGUGCAACCACUAUCAAUUACCCAAUGUGAUCCACCGGUCUUGUAGUUCACCUACACACAAGACAUCAAGCUUGAGAUUUAGGGACCCACACUUGUUUAGGGCCCUUGAUCUUCUCUACUAGUUGCUUUGGCACCCAAAUCUUCUUUGGCCUUUGCUUGUUGGGCGGCCCCAUGAAGCUAACCUUGACCUUGCCACUCUUGUCUUUCCUUACAAUAUAGUGAGCAUUGAAGGCAAAUGGUCUUGCAUGCUUGGGCAAGGGUGGUGGUAGUGGUGCCUUACACUCAUGAGCAAAGUGUCCUUCUUGACCACACUCAAAGCAUCUCUUUGGCUUUGGCUUGCUUGGUUGAUCAUGAGUGGCUAGUGACUUGAUGAGCUUUGUUUGAUGAGCCUUGUAGCCAAUCCCACUCUUGUCCAUCUUCAUGACGGUGUUCAUGAAAAGCUCACUUUGAAGGUCCUUCCCCUUUGUGAACUUUGCUAACCCCAUGGUUAGAUGUUCCUUCUCUUUCUUGAGCUUGUUGUUCUCUUGAGUUAGCUUCUUGAUGAUUGGGUCAUUGUUGCUAGCUAACUCAUCCAAGAUGAAUGUUUCAUCUUCUUCUUGCUUGUCAUAUAUCAAACCAAGCUUGAGAUAUUGAUUUUCUUCCUUGAGUAACUUGUUCUCAUAUGCAAGCUUCUUGUCUUGAUCAAGUGACUCAAUCACAAUGGUCUUGUGCUUGGCUUGUUCUUGCAACUCUUUCUUGAGCAUGACAAUUUCAUCCUUGAGCUUGAUAGUGUCCUCAUAGCUCUCAGCCACUACCACUUUCUUGCCCUUGCAAUCAACACAUUUGCUUAUGCUCUCCACAAGUAAGUCAUCACAAGAUGUGGCUACAUCAAGCUUAGCAACAUUGUUAGUAGCAACAUGUGUUUCAUCAAUUGCAAGUUCAUAGGCAAUUUCAAGUUUGUCAUAGUUUGCUUUUAGAGUUGUUAGCUCUUCUUCUAUAUCUAGUGAUAAGCUCAUCAUGAACACUCUCAAGUUUAUCAUGUUUUUCUUUGAGCUCUUUUAAAGAGAGUUCGAGCUCCUUGAGCUUAGUGGUCAUGAUCUCAUUUUGGUCUCUAAGCUCAUCACUAGACUUAAGCUUUGCUAGAAGUGUUUCAUUUUCAAGUUCAAGCUUUUCAUUUUCACUUCUAGAUUUUCUUAUGACUUUUGUGUACUUGUUAAGCAAUUUUACAAGUUCAUCAUAAGAUGGUGGUUCAAAUUCACUAUCACUUUCACUACUCUCAUCCUCACUUUGUACCUUCCGGUCACCCUUAGCCAUGAGGCAUAGGUGUGUAGAGGAUGUAGAUGGUGGUUAAGAUGAUGGUGAGGAAGCAUCGAUGGCAAUGGCGGCAACCUUCUCAUCAUCACUCUCAUUGCCGAAGGAGUCACCACUUGAGCUCUCAAUGUCAGUGAGCCAAUCACCAACAAUGUAGGCCUUGCCAUUCUUCUUCUUGUAGUGCUCCUUCUUCUUGCCACCUUUCUUCUUGUAUUGCUUCUUGUCAUUUUUGUCAUCAUCACUUGAGUCAUCUUGCUCUUUGUUCUUCUUCUUGUAUUUAUCCUUCUUGGGCUUUGGACAUUGGUGAGCAAGAUGGCCAAGCUCACCACAAUUUUAGCAAUCCAUCUCGGAGAUGGGCUUUCUCUUGCUACUUGUGAAGAACUUCUUCUUCUUGGAGUCAAAGUUGACUCCAUUCUUGUUGAGCUUCUUCAACAUCUUUGUGGUUCUUCUCACCAUGAGGGCAAUAGAUGCAUUAUCAUCACUUGAAGUUGAUGACUCAACUUCAAUCUUCUUGGCCUUGCCCUUGUGAGAAGCUUUGAGGGCCAAGUCCUUCUUCUCCUUCUUGGCCGAUGAGGAGCCAUCUUGCGGGUUCAUGUGCAUGUACAUCCCAUGAGCAUUGAUCUUCCCCAAUAUGGCGGUUGGUGUAGCGGUGGAAAGAUCGCCUUGAUGAAGCACCGUUACUAUGUGCCCAUAUUUCUCAAUGGGAAGCACACAUAGUAUCUUCCUUGCUACAUCCGCCACACUCAUUUGAGUGAGCCCAAGUCCAUUUAGCUCCUCUACAAUGACAUUCAAGCGAGAAUACAUUUCAUUAGCAUUUUCUUUAGGAAGCAUCUCAAAUGUAUUAAGCUUGUUCAUCACUAAGUGAUAGCGUUCCUCGCGUUCACUCUUUGUUCCCUCAUGGAGCGCACAAAGUUCCUUCCAAAGAGCAUUGGCGGUUUUGUGGCUCCUAAUGCGGUUGAACACCUCUUUGCAAAGGCCUCUAAAGAUGUGGUUUCUGGCCUUCGCAUUCCACUUCUCAUUUUCUUACUCUUGUGGAGUAAGAGCGGUGUCUUUUGCCGGAGGGGUAAACCCUUCGGUCGUGGCUUUUAGGCACAUUACAUCGCAUGCCUCAAGGUAUGACGCCAUCCGUAUUCUCCAAUACGGGAAGUCAUCCCCAUUGAACAUGGGUGGCGGUCCAUCCCCGUUAGACAUCUUUCUCUAGGCGGUGAAGCCUAAAUAAUGAGCACUAGGCUCCGAUACCAAUUGAAAGGAUCAAGAUGCCCAAGAGGGGGGGGUGAAUUGGGCUUCUCUAAAAGUUUAAGCAACCUAUAAGCUCCAAUUCAACCCCUUGUGCCUAGUGUGACCUAGAGAGCUACCGGAUAAAAGUUUUGUAACCUAGUUCCAAUCCUAUUCUAGCAAGGCAAUUCUAAGAAUGUAAAAGCACAAAGUAAAUGCUAGAAUGUAAAGGAGUAGUAAAAUAAAAUGCUCAGCGAUGUUUUGCUGAGGUAUCAGAGAGUCGCCACUCUCCACUAGUCCUCGUUGGAGCACCCGCGCAAGGGUCUUGCUCCCCCUUGGUCCGUGCAAGGACCAAGUGCUCUCUACGGGCUGAUUCUUCGACACUCCAUCGCGGUGAAUUGCCCAAAACCGCUCACAAGCUUGACACGAGCCACCCACAAUAACUCCAGGCGGUCUUCGUGCCUCCAAUCACCACCGAACCGUCUAGGUGAUGGCGAUCACCAAGAGUAACAAGCAAAGAACUCUCACUUGACCCAAACAAGGCUCUAGAGAGUGCUGGAUGCACACUUGACUCUUGGAACUCACUAGAGAAGGAUUCUCUCAAGAAAUCACUCAAAUCUCAAUCCUCUCUAGGCUCUUGCUACUCUCUUGCUCCACAACAAGUUUCUCAGAUGUUCAAAUGGGCAAGAGACCUCUCAUGGACGAGGUGGAGGAGUAUAAAUACUACCCACGAAGUCCAAAGGUCAGCCAACCAUUUUCCACUGAAAACGGGGUCACCGGACGCUCUUUAUGUUGCACCGGACGCUCUGCACCGAGCGUCCGGUGCUCCAUAACGGCUAACUGUACUUGCGUCUGACAGGUCACCGGACGCUAACUCUCAGCAUCCGGUGGCACCGUCCGGUGCUCCGAGGAGUUUUACAUGCUCCCUGUGCAUGGGACCAGACGCUACCCGGUGCGUCCGGUGCUAGCGUCCGGUGCUCGGGGCAGGUUUACAACCUCCCUAGGUAUGGGACCGGACGCUGCCCGGUGAGUCCGGUGCCAGCGUCUGGUGCUUAACCCUAAGCACCGAGAACUCCCAAUGGCUAAAGACCUCACCGGACGCACUCACGGAGCGUCCGGUGCAGCGUCCGUUGUCCCCUUGGGCACCCUGACUUCGUCGAAACGCGAUCGCUCCAAAACGAAGUUUGUUCCUCUCGAUCUAAGGACUGUCUCCGAGCUGCCUAGUGCUAGGUUUACCAAGUGUGCACCACACCUAAACCUAAUGCCUUGCCUAAGUCAAGCUACUAGAUCAAAGCCCCUCUUAAUAGUAUGGUCAAAGGAAAACAAAGUCCUAAACUACUCUAAGUGCCCUUCUUCACCAUAUGGCACUUAGACCUAGUCUAGUCUUGACGAUGUCCAUCCAUCCUUUGAAAACCGAAACGAUUUCCACUAUUAAGUAGGCAUGUAUGUCCCUGUCCAUCGAGUACCUAUUACCAUGACCUUACCUAUGACUUUGCCUCUGCAAAACACACGUUAGUCAUAGUAAUCAAUAUUGUUAAUAAUCACCGAAAUCACUAGGGGCCUAGAUGCUCUUUCAUUUUGGAAACAAACAAAAGUGAUUUCUUGAAGGAAAACUGACGAACAUUCAAGCGUUUCUAGAUGAUUUCUAUGCGUUAGAUGUGUUUUUUAGAGUUCGAGGGCCAUCGCCCCGGUCUUUCAUUAACAUAAAAGACCACAGAUCAUUCGGUUACAACAUAGAGUUUAGAGUCUAUCACACCCUAGCCCCCACCAAAGCUAGGGAAAAGCUUACAAAGAACACAUCAAAGAUGACAACCCAAAGUUAAGCAAAGUUCAGAAAACGAAAACACCAGCUCCUUCUCAAGAAAAGAAUCACGCCGCAUCGUCCAACACUUCAUUGAGUGACCUCCACCAGGGUCCCAGAACCACUUGCCCAAUUUUCCACCAGAUGUAUGUUCUUCCACUUAGUACAUCUUGGAUCACCAUCAUUGUGGCUUUUUGUCAGCUUCCCCAUGGUACGGUAACAAGAGAACCUCUCCAGCUGAUGCUUUGAUCUUGUUUGUGAAAUCCAUCAAUUGAUCUCUUCAUUCUUGUGGACAUAGAAUUGACAAGCUUUGUAAGGUCCUAGCUAUCCUGUGAAGUAGUAUUUCUAUAUUCUUCCAACGAACCCUCUAAAUGCAAAUAUCAUUUCUAAGUUUCCAAAAUUUCCAUAAAACUGCAGAAGUGACCAUAGAAUAAGGUUCCAUAUGAUUCGGCAAUUGGUUCCAUCAUGUAUGCCAUGAUAUGUACUCGCCAAGAUGUCUCAUAUACUCUAUGUGUUGUGAGCAGGUACAAAGCUAAACCACAUGAAAGUCGCAGGACACUUUCUAAAACAAUUCUUAAGUAUUUGAGAUGGACUGAAGAUAUGUUCAUAAUCUAUUGAGGUGAGUAGAAGCUCAUUGUAAAUGGUUACACCAACACUAGCUUCCAAACUGACAUAGAUGAUUCACAAUCUCAAUCAGAUUUUGUGGUCAUAAUAAAUGGUGGUGCAAUUAGCUGGAAAAGUUCCAAGCAGGCAACGAUGUCUGAUUCUACAACAGAGGCCAAGUACAUCAUAGCUUCUGAAUCUGUAAAGGAAGGUGUUUGGAUGAGGAGGUUCCUCAUUAAACUUGGUGUGUUGCCAAAUGCGUCGAGCCCAUUGAAUCUACAUUGGGACAACAAUGAGGCGAUUGUGCAAGCUAAGGAGCCUAGGAAUCACCAAAAGAACAAACAUGUGCUACAGAAGUUUCAUCUCAUUCAAGAGUUAGUUAGGCGAGGUGAAAUCAAGGUGUGUAAGAUACAUACGGAUUUGAAUAUUGCAGAUCCUUUAACAAAGGCUCUUCUAUAGCGUAAGCAUGAGGCACACUUGAGGUUUAUGGGUAUUAGAUAUCAUAGAUAUUAACUCUAGCGCAAGUGGGAGACUAUUAGUAAUAUGCCCUAGAGGUAAUCAUGGUGAUAAUGAUAUUGUAUCCAUGACAUAUAUUAUGAGUUCAAUGAAUAUCUGUUAUAGACAAACUUGUAUCAAUUGAUAAUUAUGUGAAUUGUUUGUGAAACUGUUUUACUUGUAUGGUUAUUCUAAAGUUGUCCCUGAUCAGAGUUCAUGUGAGGACACACAUGAAUAUUAGAUUAGCACAGGUAUUAGUUGAUGACUAUGUUACACAAGUCAUAGACAUAGAGAUAUCAAACUAAAAAUGUGGGCACAUGUGUGACAUGGAGCUGGACAGACCCAACCUAAGCUGUUCUUAUUAUCUCUUUAUGCAUCAUGUACGUUAUCUUCUUAGACCUAAGAUUGUUGUAUGUUCUCACGAUGUGAAAUGACCUACUUAGAGACUAUUAAACGCUACUCCGUAAUAGGGUAGUUAUAAGGGUGGUCUUCGGGUUUGUCGGGAAACAUGCUGUGGGACAUAGAUAAUCAAGAUGGAACUUGCCCCUCUCUAUGAGAGUGAGAUAUUACUAGAUCAUUCAAGUGAUUGGAUCAACAAAUGCAUGGACGUGCUUGGGUUAAGUGUUAACCUAGGAGUUGGACCAAAUAUCGUGUGGCAAGGUAAUAACAUGUAUGUGUUUGUAGUGGUUCGUUUGAUAUGAUCUUGGCAUAUGUAUAGGAGUUGUCACGCCUUGCUAGAGGCCACUGUGAACUAUGGGGCGGGUAGGAGUACUUGGCUCUUGUCUAUAUGUAUGUGAACCCAUAGGGUCACACACUUAAGGUGCUGGAAGCCUAACCCGGGUUGGACACAAAUUAGAAAUGAAUUAGGGUUUUCUAAUUGGUCCUCCACCUCAGCGCUGAUUGGGGAUGCCUAUAAGGAUUGGGGUGGCUAGGGUUUCUUAUGCCAUUUGGCAGCAACUGUCGCUCACCCAAGCCCACGCAUGUUGCUCCUAGCGGACCUAGUAGUUCGGAGGUGUGACACUUCUUCCUUGUACAUGUGGGAUACCUUGGAGGUGCUGCAUCUGAAGCACAAGUGACAUGACCAUGCCAGCAAGCAAUAUGUCACAAGCUCCAAGUCAAGCUAUAACCACUCAUGUUUUACCUAGACCGACACCAGCCCAAGUCAUUGAUGGACCGAUUAUACAUAGUCGUGCAAAGAAGCUACAACAAGAGGUCCACGCGCUACUUUGUGAGAUUCAUUUUAACAUUAAUGAGAAUUAUAUACUACCUAAGUGUUAUACCUUGAUUGUACUCAGGUAUAUAGAAGAAAAGAAGGAUGAGUCACACCCUAAAGAACGGACCAGUGCAAGUCCCAGAAGACACUAGCAAAAUGGACCAGAAGAGUCAAAAACGGACCAGUGGAAGUCAAGAAUGGAACAGUGCAAAGAAAUCUUCAUAACUUUUUACUCACAAAAGCUAUGAAGGCCCAAGAGAACUUGUUGGAAAGCUUGUAGAGUCUACUUUCCAAUUUAUCUAGUGGCGAUCAGUUAGAAACUCCAUAUUACCUGCAGACCAGAAUUAGUACAGACUGCUCAGAAAGUCAACAGUUUGUCGUGACAGAAUAUUGAUAUAAAUUGCCAAAUAAAACUCUACCAAUCUACAAAGUUUCGUGCUGGUUGCCAUACAUUGUUGGAAAGCCCUUUGAGUCUAGUUUCACACCCAAGAAGCGGUUCAUCAUUUGGACUUCCCAAUAAGAAGUUAUUGUCAGUUUAUUGGAAACUACUCUGGAGACCAACAGUCACGCGAAGCCAGUUCGGGAAUCCAUUCCGAGGGGACCUUUCACAUUGCCUUCCCUCAGAAGCUCUAUUUUGUUUCAUACCUAUCUAGGAGGGUUGUUCCUAGUAUAAAUAUUUCCUACCUCUAAGCUAUUAGGGACCUUUGAUCAUUUUGAUAAACUACAUGAUAUUGCAGUCGUGCUGCUGAGUGCCUUACUCAACCUUUAUUCUUCCUUGUUCUUCUUGGAGAUGUGAAUUGAAUCCUCUGGGUUCCCCUACUUCGUGCUCUACGGCUGCGCCGUAUUGUGUGGAUUAGUUCUAGAUUGUGGUUCUGCGGUCAUUCGGAGAUCGAGUCGAAGUCUUCGUGGUUUUGGUGCCUCUCUUCCGGUCGCUUGGUCACAUCCAACCUUUGUCAGGUACAAAGCUAGUUACCCACUGUUCGCAGCAAGUUAUCCUUGUUCUUUUUGAUCUACUGUCGUGAAGAUCGGGCCACCCUCGUACCGAUUUAGAUCGGUAACCUAUCAAUUGGUAUCAAUGCUUUCGUUGUCACGGUAGGUCUCACAAUAAUCCACAUAUCUAUCUUUAGUUUAUCUAUCAUUUUCUACUGUUUUGUUCAUCACCUACAGUCCACUAAAAAAGCCACAAAAAAAAAUUCUAAAGCCCUUUGAUGGUACUGUUAUGUUGUGUUUUUAUGUUCAUCAUGUUGCUAGUCACCCUCUUUAUAUAUAUUGUGUUCUGUUUUAUUUGUUAUCCGCACCCCUAUUAGUAUAAAAAAAGUUCAAAAAAAUAUUAGAGAAAAAAAUCAGAGAAAAGAAAAAAGAACAGAAAGAUCCAAAAGAAAAGUAAAAGAAGAGGAGAGGGGUUGUAUUUUGGUUUGCUUACUGUAAAAUUCAGUUUACAUAUUUAGAUUCAUGGGGAUUUAUAUACCAGUAACAUUAUAUCAUUUGAGCACAUCAAACCACUUGAAUUUUAGUACUAUAGCCUCCCUUGUUUAGCCACCUAUAGCUCCACCAAAAAAAACUGAAACUAGGACAUUCGACUCGUAAUCCUUGCGAUCUCAGAAUCACUUCUAUUGAGCUGCUACACUAGCACAAUUUACUGUCUUUGAGACAGGAUAGAGCAUUGGUAAGUAAGAGGUGAGGUUGUGUGAUUCCACAAAUUUACCCAUCCAGUAUAUUUUGCUUUAGUGCUAACAUGACAGGAUCCAACUCAAGUAUACGUGGUGAUCGUCAUGGAGAAGAAUUCCCUGUUGCAUGGGCUGAGUUACACCAAAUGGCAGACUCACUCUUGCAGGCCAUGGAGAGGAUGCUUGAUGCACGCAUACCUGCAGAUGGGCAGAGGGCUCCUCAGCAUCAAUAUGAUGAAUCCGGUGCUCAAAAUUCUGAUGCAGGACAUGACCGUUUCAGAGAUGGUCAUGUUGGUGGCAGGCGGGCUGCUCAUCAUGGCCAAGAUGGAGGACGAGCUCAUGGACGUGGUCAUGGCCACCAUGUUCAUUUUGAUGAUGAAGAAUUUUAUAAUUUUGAUCAUGAAGAGAGGUCUGAUGAGAAUCUCUUUUCAAAUGAUGGGCUACAUAGGCGACGCCAUGAUCAUCAGUAGCAUGCUGAUCAUGGAGACAGAGAGCAUCAUCAUGGUCGUUGUAAUAGGAAAGAUCCAGACAGCAUUGCUCGUGUCAAGUUGAGUAUCCCAAAAUUCACCGGAAGAGAGGAUGCAGAUGCAUAUCUUGAGUGGGCUGAGCAGUGUGAUCAAAUUUUUAGAGUGCAUAAUCUCUUUGAUCAGAGGCGUGUUAAUCUUGCUUCAGUGGAAUUAUGUGGUUAUGCUCUGACUUGGUGGAAUCUGAUACAAGAGAAUCAACUUGUGUUGGGCCAUGAACAUAUCAACACAUGGGAAGAGAUGAAGCAAGUGAUGAGAAGGCAAUAUGUACCGUCAAGCUAUCAGCGUGACCUUCGCAAUGGGUUACAAAGGUUGAAGCAAGGAAAAAGAUCGGUUGAUGAGUAUUAUAAGGAGAUGGAGCUACUGUUAGUGCGGACUGGAAUUAGAGAGGAUCUAGAGUUAAAAAUGGCUAUUUUUUGGGUGGUCUCAAUGAGGAAAUUGCUGGUUUUGUUGAGAUAUUUCCAUACCAUACUUUGCAAAACCUUGUUGAUCAAGCUAUGUGUAUUGAAAGAAAAUUCAGCAAGAGACACGUGGAAAAUCUUAUGCAAGUCAUUCUAUUGCAGCCCCAUGACGCAAGCAGCAGUCCAGCAGUUCUUUCGGUGGGGGACGGUCCCAAGGUGCUCCAGCUAGGCCAUCUUUAUCUAAUGCUCCUUCAAAGAUGGCAGUUUCUACAUCAUCAUCUCCUAGAAAUCAGUUGCGUCCUGCUACAAGUGUAGCAGCCCCAACUGUUGCUCCUUCAGCUACUACUUCCUCUGCACGUAAUAGAGAAAUUGUGUGCCACAAGUGUCAUGGUCGUGGACAUAUUGCUGCAUAAUGUACCAGUAGGAGGACCAUGAUUGUGAAUGAGUAUAAUGAAUGGGAAUCUGAAAGUGAUCAUGAGGAAGAAUGUCUAAGAUAUGAUGAGGAUCAUGAAAACAUUGAUAAUGAGAUCGAACCCGAUGAAGGUGAUAACAACUGCUUUAUUUCUCUUCAUGUGCUUAGUUUUACUGCUGCAAAGGAAGAGAAUGGGCAGCGCCACAAUCUUUUCUACACUCGAGGCAUGAUUAAAGAAAAGUUGUGUAGAAUUAUUGUUGACAAUGGCAGCUGUAACAAUACUACUAGCCAAGAAUUGGUUGAUAGAAUGGAGCUAGAACAAAGGCGUCAUCCUAAUCCAUGCAAGAUGCAUUGGCUAAAUGAUUGUGGUGCGCUGCGUGUGAGCCAUGUUGUGACAGUUCCUUUCUCUGUUUUGAGGUAUAUUGAUCAUGUGGAGUGUGAUGUGUUGCCUAUGCAAGCAUGCCAACUGCUGCUAGGAAUACCAUGGUUAUAUGAUCGUGAUGUUCAGAUCUUUGGAAGAACCAACAAGCUGGCUUUCAUGUACAAAGGAGAGCAAAUUUCUUUGCUCCCUUUGACAUCGGAGGAGAUUUUGAAGGAUAUUCUAAAAUGAAAAUAGUGAGAGAGCGAGAACCACUUGCGAGUGACCCACAAAAAUAGUGAGGGAGUGUUUCCAAAGCGAAAUAAAACCCCACAACCGCAAACAACCAAGACAAAGGGAAAAGAGGGAUUAGUUAUGAUGGCUAGGAUGGGGGAUUUAAAACAAUUGAGUGAACCCAAUGCCACAUUCUUUGUACUCCUGUACAAGAAAAAUUUUCUUUCCACUAACAACUUAUCCUCUACAUUGCCAAGUGUUAUUUUUAAUGUGUUAUAGUAAUAUGAGGAUGUCUUUCCAGAGGAGGUACCACCGGGGCUGCCGCCUAAGAGAGGAAUUGAACAUCAAAUUGACCUUGUUCCUGGUGCUUCACUUCCAAACCGAGUUGCAUACCGCACCAAUCCGGAGGAAACAAAAAAAAUUCAGCAACAAGUGGAAGAAUUGAUGAGAAAAGGGUAUGUGCAGGAAAGUCUUUCACCUUGUGCAGUCCCUGUUCUUUUAGCUCCUAAGAAAGAUGGCUCAAGGAGAAUGUGUGUUGACUGUAGAGCUAUUAAUAACAUCACAGUAAGAUAUAGGCAUCCCAUUCCUAGACUUGAUGAUAUGCUUGAUGAACUUAGUGGUGCAAUAAUUUUCACUAAACUUGACUUGAGAAGUGGCUAUCACCAAAUAAGAAUGAGAGAAGGAGAUGAGUGGAAAACAGCUUUUAAAACCAAGUUUGGGUCGUAUGAAUGGUUGGUAAUGCCCUUUGGAUUGACUAAUGCACCAAGUACCUUUAUGAGAUUGAUGAAUCAUGUGCUUAGAUCUUUCAUUGGCAAGUUUGUUGUGGUUUACUUUGAUGAUAUAUUAAUUUAUAGCAAAGUCUCUUGUGGAACAUGUUGAGCAUAUCCAAAGUGUGCUUGCUGUCCUACAUGAGCAAAAAUUGUAUGCUAACCUUGACAAGUGCACAUUUUGCACUGACAAGAUAGUCUUUUUUGGCUUUGUUGUUUCAGGACAUGGUGUGGAGGUGGAUGAGGAUAAGAUCAAAGCUGUUUGUGAAUGGAUGCCUCCACAAAAUGCAAGCCAAGUGCUUAGCUUCCUUGGAGUUGCUGGUUUCUACCGACGCUUUGUGAAAGAUUUUAGCACCAUUGCUGCUCCAAUCAAUGAGUUGACAAAGAAAGAAGUGCCUUUAAAUAGGGAGAAGCACAAGAGAAGUCAUUUGAAGAACUUAAAAUGAAGUUGACAAUAGCCCCACUUCUUGCACUUCCAGAUUUCGGUAAGAUAUUUGAAAUUGAAUGUGAUGCAAGUGGUGUAGGAAUUGGUGGCAUUCUCAUGCAAGAAAGGAGGUCGAUUGCAUACUUCAGUGAAAAGCUAAGUGGUCCAACUCUGAAUUACUCAGUUUAUGAUAAAGAAUUAUAUGAUAUUGUUAGGAGUUUGGAAACUUGGCAACACUACCUUUUGCCUAAAGAAUUUGUGAUACAUUUAGACCAUGAAUCUUUGAAACAUCUUAAAGGCCAACUAAAACUGAACAGAAGGCAUGCAAAAUGGAGUGAGUUCAUUUAGUCUUUUCCUUAUGUUGUCAAAUACAAGAAAGGGAAAGAUAACAUUGUAGCUGACGCUUUGUCUCGACGUCAUACUUUGCUUUCACGACUUGAUACUAAAAUUCUUGGAUUAGAAAGCAUAAAAGAAUUAUAUGUUAAUGAUUCAUAUGUUGCUGAACCAUAUUCCAAGUGUUGUGGCAGCAAGGGAUGGGAAAAAUUCCAUUUGCAUGAUGGUUUUUUAUUUCAAGCUAAUAAACUUUGCAUUCUAGAUUGCUCUGUUCACAUUUUGCUAGUGCAGGAAGCUCAUGCAGGAGGACUUAUGGGCCAUUUUGGUGCAAAGAAAAUAGAACAAGUGCUGAUAGACCAUUUCUUUUUGCCUAAGAUGAGAAGAGAUGUGGAGAGGCAUGUUCUUCGCUGUGAAACCUGCCACAAAGCUAAGUCCCGUUUGAACCCUCAUGGUUUAUACACUCCUCUACCUAUUUCUAGUGUACCUUUGGAGGACAUUUCUAUGGACUUUGUCAUUGGUUUACCAUGAACCAAGAGGGGAAAGGAUUCCAUAUUUGUUGUGGUUGAUAGAUUUAGCAAAAUGGUACACUUUAUUCCCUGUCAUAAGAGCGAUGAUGCCUCACAUAUUGCUGAAUUGCUUUUCAGAGAAAUUGUGCAUCUACAUGGAGUGCCACGUACCAUCGUGUCUGAUCAUGAUACCAAGUUUUUGAGCUACUUUUGGUAAACCUUGUGGGGAAAACAGGGGACAAGGCUACUGUUCUCCACAACGUGUCAUCCUCAAAUGGAUGGACAAACCGAAGUUGUGAACCACAUGUUGUCAACAUUGCUGCGAGCUAUCCUAAAGAAGAAUCUAAAUUUGUGGGAAGAAAGCUUGCCUCAUGUGGAGUUUUGUUGACACUUGCUAACACCACUUGAAUACUAGGUUGUCAUCCCCAGCAUGGCACUAGAGUGUACUAUGGUAUUUAUACACACACAGAUAAAUCCGCAAGCCCACGGAUACCGUUGUAGCUUUUACCCGGUUAAAGGUUUUAUCGUAUCCACAAGGGAACGGGAGAACCAACUACGCUAUAACUUAACCAAGAUAGAUAGAUGUAAAUAGGAAAGAUGGUAAAAUUGAAUAAGCACAAUAUUAAAGGUACAAUGAUAAUGGGGGAAUAUAGAGUAGAGCAAUCUAAUAUAUGGGCGAUAAUAGGUGAAUAGAGGGGAUAACUAGGGUUUCUCUACUUCAAAGGGGUAUGUCUGUCUGUGGCGUACCAUAAGUAUAAAACAACAUAGAGGAUGCUUAUACCUAAGGUUGAGGACUCCUACCAGUCCUGCUAAUGGGAGGUGGACUACAGAGGACUACGUAGCUGUCACCUAUGCGGCCUACCACGCGAUCCGGCUAACAGGGGAUAUCCACAAGUAAUCUAGGUCUAAGCACCAUGCUUACACCUAUACUACAACUCUCACGUAUAACGUCCUAUAGAUUAGAAGUACUCAAAAGAGUUGUGAACCAGAACAUAUAUGAUUAGUAAUUGCAUAAUGAAUUAGAAGUAGAUUACCAGAGUCAUCCCAUGAGCAAGCUUGAUUAGAGGUUGAUCAUGGCGAAGUACAAUCGGAGGAAGAACCGACAGGCCGGCCUCUCCUCCAAUCCUCCCUCGCUCUCCAUCUCGCUACUAUCUAGAUCUAUUGUAGUUUAGAGAUGAGAGGAGAGCUCUCAUCUCCAAAACCUAGCUUUUGCUCUGUCUAUGAAUAAUGAAUAGGGAUCAAGGGGUGCCUCCUCCAGGGGCCAGGGGGUCUGCUUAUAUACUCCCCUCUAGUGAAUCUGGGCCGUCGGAUCAAACCGACAUUGAUUGAACGGUUAUUCUGGAUCCUUUAGGUCGGUGGAGCAUAAUCCCUGAAGAGAGUCCUGAUUGGACUCUGGGACAGGGCGGGCGCCCUGCCCACGAGCCCGCUCGGCCUCCCGUUCAUUCCCGUGGCUUCUGGAGUCUUCUAGAUGAUAGAAAAUUGCGCGGCACAUUCAUAUCUCUAUGUAAACCCGACAUGUGGGCCUUUCCUUCAUAUUUCCUGAUAACCCCCUGCAGAAAUAGACAAACACCAAAACUCGUGGAAUUCUGUCAGAUAAAACCCUAAGUUUAGGUGUUGGUUGUAUUUGGAUCCUUUUCUUUGUUUAUUUGCUGAUUAUAUUUGGUACAUAAGGACCGUCAACAACUCCCCCAAGCUUACCACUUGCUGGUCCCUAAGCAAGGAUGGACUCAAGAGUUUCUGCAGUGGUUUUAUGCCUUAAAGGUAGACAUGCAUUUAAACAAGAUCUCAUCUCUAGGUUAAGGUAAACUGUUAAGAUUUAAACUUACUCAUAUUACCUUCCACCAUGGGGCUUGCAACCGUCACUUGUGUCUUGAGCAGUUAAAAGAUAGAACGGUCAAGUCAAGCACUGUGUCUCUUGUUCUUUGAUCAACUAUAGCUCUGGAGUUUUUGCAGAUUUUCAAAUAAAACUCAGAGAUUCCUUGUAUGACUCUCUCUAGUCUCUCUUUUGUGGUAUUUCUGGAUCCUUACCAAGGCAGUGAUGAUAUAUGUCUUCUCUCAAAGUAUGUGGUAUUUGUGGUAUGAGGCAUAAUGAUAUUGCCUUCUCUCUCACCCUACUCUAACAAGGUUUUGAUAUCUGGAGCUCAUAGGUGGGAGACAGCUAAUACAUACUUACAAGACAUUUAUUGCAUAGUCAAACCAUGGAUCCAGAGAAACAAGUCAAUAAGUCAAAUCAAGAUGUGCAUGUGUGGUGGAUGAAUGGUGUAUGGUGAUGCUAGUGAUAAUGGUGAAAAUAAUGGUGAAAGUCUAAUUCUACUUUUGCUCUUUUGAGGGAAUACAUACCUUUUUUUUGCACUUUGAAGCUUUUUGAGGGGAAUAAGAUACUCUAUAUUUUCUUUUCGUUUUUUCUUUUCUCUCAGGUGGGUAUUUUGUACCCCCAAUUCUACUGUCGGACACUUGUCCAUUUUUACCUCCCGUCUCACUUUUUCUUUUCNNNNNNNNNNNNNNNNNNNNNNNNNNNNNNNNNNNNNNNNNNNNNNNNNNNNNNNNNNNNNNNNNNNNNNNNNNNNNNNNNNNNNNNNNNNNNNNNNNNNAAAAAGGGUUAGAGCCGUCGCGGAGACGGAGGCAGCUGCAUGCUGCAGUCGAUCUAAGAUCCCUUGACAGUGCACAUUUGACUGACAAGAUAGUCUUUCUUGGCUUUGUUGUUUCAGGACAUGGUGUGGAGGUGGAUGAGGAUAAGAUCAAAGCUGUUUGUGAAUGGAUGCCUCCACAAAAUGCAAGCCAAGUGCUUAGCUUCCUUGGACUUGCUGGUUUCUACCGGCGCUUUGUGAAAGAUUUUAGCACCAUUGCUGCUCCAAUCAAUGAGUUGACAAAGAAAGAAGUGCCUUUAAAUAGGGAGAAGCACAAGAGAAGUCAUUUGAAGAACUUAAAAUGAAGUUGACAAUAGCCCCACUUCUUGCAAUUCCAGAUUUCGGUAAGAUAUUUGAAAUUGAAUGUGAUGCAAGUGGUGUAGGAAUUGGUGGCAUUCUCAUGCAUGAAAGGAGGUCGAUUGCAUACUUCAGUGAAAAGCUAAGUGGUCCAACUCUGAAUUACUCAGUUUAUGAUAAAGAAUUAUAUGAUAUUGUUAGGAGUUUGGAAACUUGGCAACACUACCUUUUGCCUAAAGAAUUUGUGAUACAUUUAGACCAUGAAUCUUUGAAACAUCUUAAAGGCCAACUAAAACUGAACAGAAGGCAUGCAAAAUGGAGUGAGUUCAUUUAGUCUUUUCCUUAUGUUGUCAAAUACAAGAAAGGGAAAGAUAACAUUGUAGCUGACGCUUUGUCUCGACGUCAUACUUUGCUUUCACGACUUGAUACUAAAAUUCUUGGAUUAGAAAGCAUAAAAGAAUUAUAUGUUAAUGAUUCAUAUGUUGCUGAACCAUAUUCCAAGUGUUGUGGCAGCAAGGGAUGGGAAAAAUUCCAUUUGCAUGAUGGUUUUUUAUUUCAAGCUAAUAAACUUUGCAUUCUAGAUUGCUCUGUUCACAUUUUGCUAGUGCAGGAAGCUCAUGCAGGAGGACUUAUGGGCCAUUUUGGUGCAAAGAAAAUAGAACAAGUGCUGAUAGACCAUUUCUUUUUGCCUAAGAUGAGAAGAGAUGUGGAGAGGCAUGUUCUUCGCUGUGAAACCUGCCACAAAGCUAAGUCCCGUUUGAACCCUCAUGGUUUAUACACUCCUCUACCUAUUUCUAGUGUACCUUUGGAGGACAUUUCUAUGGACUUUGUCAUUGGUUUACCAUGAACCAAGAGGGGAAAGGAUUCCAUAUUUGUUGUGGUUGAUAGAUUUAGCAAAAUGGUACACUUUAUUCCCUGUCAUAAGAGCGAUGAUGCCUCACAUAUUGCUGAAUUGCUUUUCAGAGAAAUUGUGCAUCUACAUGGAGUGCCACGUACCAUCGUGUCUGAUCAUGAUACCAAGUUUUUGAGCUACUUUUGGUAAACCUUGUGGGGAAAACAGGGGACAAGGCUACUGUUCUCCACAACGUGUCAUCCUCAAAUGGAUGGACAAACCGAAGUUGUGAACCACAUGUUGUCAACAUUGCUGCGAGCUAUCCUAAAGAAGAAUCUAAAUUUGUGGGAAGAAAGCUUGCCUCAUGUGGAGUUUUGUUGACACUUGCUAACACCACUUGAAUACUAGGUUGUCAUCCCCAGCAUGGCACUAGAGUGUACUAUGGUAUUUAUACACACACAGAUAAAUCCGCAAGCCCACGGAUACCGUUGUAGCUUUUACCCGGUUAAAGGUUUUAUCGUAUCCACAAGGGAACGGGAGAACCAACUACGCUAUAACUUAACCAAGAUAGAUAGAUGUAAAUAGGAAAGAUGGUAAAAUUGAAUAAGCACAAUAUUAAAGGUACAAUGAUAAUGGGGGAAUAUAGAGUAGAGCAAUCUAAUAUAUGGGCGAUAAUAGGUGAAUAGAGGGGAUAACUAGGGUUUCUCUACUUCAAAGGGGUAUGUCUGUCUGUGGCGUACCAUAAGUAUAAAACAACAUAGAGGAUGCUUAUACCUAAGGUUGAGGACUCCUACCAGUCCUGCUAAUGGGAGGUGGACUACAGAGGACUACGUAGCUGUCACCUAUGCGGCCUACCACGCGAUCCGGCUAACAGGGGAUAUCCACAAGUAAUCUAGGUCUAAGCACCAUGCUUACACCUAUACUACAACUCUCACGUAUAACGUCCUAUAGAUUAGAAGUACUCAAAAGAGUUGUGAACCAGAACAUAUAUGAUUAGUAAUUGCAUAAUGAAUUAGAAGUAGAUUACCAGAGUCAUCCCAUGAGCAAGCUUGAUUAGAGGUUGAUCAUGGCGANNNNNNNNNNNNNNNNNNNNNNNNNNNNNNNNNNNNNNNNNNNNNNNNNNNNNNNNNNNNNNNNNNNNNNNNNNNNNNNNNNNNNNNNNNNNNNNNNNNNNNNNNNNNNNNNNNNNNNNNNNNNNNNNNNNNNNNNNNNNNNNNNNNNNNNNNNNNNNNNNNNNNNNNNNNNNNNNNNNNNNNNNNNNNNNNNNNNNNNNNNNNNNNNNNNNNNNNNNNNNNNNNNNNNNNNNNNNNNNNNNNNNNNNNNNNNNNNNNNNNNNNNNNNNNNNNNNNNNNNNNNNNNNNNNNNNNNNNNNNNNNNNNNNNNNNNNNNNNNNNNNNNNNNNNNNNNNNNNNNNNNNNNNNNNNNNNNNNNNNNNNNNNNNNNNNNNNNNNNNNNNNNNNNNNNNNNNNNNNNNNNNNNNNNNNNNNNNNNNNNNNNNNNNNNNNNNNNNNNNNNNNNNNNNNNNNNNNNNNNNNNNNNNNNNNNNNNNNNNNNNNNNNNNNNNNNNNNNNNNNNNNNNNNNNNNNNNNNNNNNNNNNNNNNNNNNNNNNNNNNNNNNNNNNNNNNNNNNNNNNNNNNNNNNNNNNNNNNNNNNNNNNNNNNNNNNNNNNNNNNNNNNNNNNNNNNNNNNNNNNNNNNNNNNNNNNNNNNNNNNNNNNNNNNNNNNNNNNNNNNNNNNNNNNNNNNNNNNNNNNNNNNNNNNNNNNNNNNNNNNNNNNNNNNNNNNNNNNNNNNNNNNNNNNNNNNNNNNNNNNNNNNNNNNNNNNNNNNNNNNNNNNNNNNNNNNNNNNNNNNNNNNNNNNNNNNNNNNNNNNNNNNNNNNNNNNNNNNNNNNNNNNNNNNAUAAAACCCUAAGUUUAGGUGUUGGUUGUAUUUGGAUCCUUUUCUUUGUUUAUUUGCUGAUUAUAUUUGGUACAUAAGGACCGUCAACAACUCCCCCAAGCUUACCACUUGCUGGUCCCUAAGCAAGGAUGGACUCAAGAGUUUCUGCAGUGGUUUUAUGCCUUAAAGGUAGACAUGCAUUUAAACAAGAUCUCAUCUCUAGGUUAAGGUAAACUGUUAAGAUUUAAACUUACUCAUAUUACCUUCCACCAUGGGGCUUGCAACCGUCACUUGUGUCUUGAGCAGUUAAAAGAUAGAACGGUCAAGUCAAGCACUGUGUCUCUUGUUCUUUGAUCAACUAUAGCUCUGGAGUUUUUGCAGAUUUUCAAAUAAAACUCAGAGAUUCCUUGUAUGACUCUCUCUAGUCUCUCUUUUGUGGUAUUUCUGGAUCCUUACCAAGGCAGUGAUGAUAUAUGUCUUCUCUCAAAGUAUGUGGUAUUUGUGGUAUGAGGCAUAAUGAUAUUGCCUUCUCUCUCACCCUACUCUAACAAGGUUUUGAUAUCUGGAGCUCAUAGGUGGGAGACAGCUAAUACAUACUUACAAGACAUUUAUUGCAUAGUCAAACCAUGGAUCCAGAGAAACAAGUCAAUAAGUCAAAUCAAGAUGUGCAUGUGUGGUGGAUGAAUGGUGUAUGGUGAUGCUAGUGAUAAUGGUGAAAAUAAUGGUGAAAGUCUAAUUCUACUUUUGCUCUUUUGAGGGAAUACAUACCUUUUUUUUGCACUUUGAAGCUUUUUGAGGGGAAUAAGAUACUCUAUAUUUUCUUUUCGUUUUUNNNNNNNNNNNNNNNNNNNNNNNNNNNNNNNNNNNNNNNNNNNNNNNNNNNNNNNNNNNNNNNNNNNNNNNNNNNNNNNNNNNNNNNNNNNNNNNNNNNNGUAGAAUAAUUUUGGGUGAAUCUGGAGAUGGAAAUGAGUGGAUGUAUGUGGAUGCGUACUUCCAGAGUAGAAGUAGCAUGUAUGAGUGAACGUGCAAGUGAAUCUUGAUUUUAACCGCAUGACAUGCUCCUAAGGGUCUACACAGCUUGACCACACUCAAGGCUCAUAAGCAGUAAAUGUAUGGUUCAUAGUCUACUAAUCAUGUAUAUAAGGCUGUGGUAGGAUUUUAAAGUCUCAUCAUACAGGAACUCAUCAUGCAACAUUUUAAAUAUUUUCAAAGAUAAAAUUCUCCAAAAUUCUAGUAUCUCUUCCCACAAGUUCAGGUUUAGAGCAAAUCUUAAUUCAUAACAGUCAUGCCUAAACUUGAGAGAGAAUUCAAUUUUGAGAACUAGUCAUGGCAGAGCAACUAUUCAUCAUUUCCAUGUGAGGGCUUAUUACGAGGGUGCAUAGCAAACUUUAUUUAUUUAUUUAUUUAGCAAACGAAUCAAAGAUAUAUAUAUAUAAGCAUAAAAUCUUUAUGCGGGUUUUUUAUGAUUAUGCAUCUUUUUAUUAUUUAAGUAAAGUAUAAACGCGAGCACAAACACUUAGCUGGAUAAAUGGGGGUGCUCUCCCCCAAGCUAGAUUUUGACGUAAUUUCUUCUGAUGUAGCUAGCAGGUGGUGGAGGUGUAUUUGAAUGUCGGCAGCACCCUGACAGUGAUUAGAAUGUCCUCCGUCUGCUAGUCUUCUUUGAUCCUUGAAUUUUGUGGGGCUCAAAUAGACAACAAAGCUUUGUGGAACUGGUUAAGUGUUAGCAUAAAAAUCUCUUUGCCUUUAUCAUGUUGAGCUUACUCUAAUAAAUAUUACUCUCUUUGGUAGGUGUUGACGGUCCUUAAGUACUAAAUAUAACCAUCAAAUAAAUAAAGAAAAGGAUCCAAAUACAACCAACACUUAAACUUAGGGUUUUAUCUGACAGAAUUCCACGAGUUUUGGUGUUUGUCUAUUUCUGCAGGGGGUUAUCAGGAAAUAUGGAGGAAAGGCCCACAUGUCGGGUUUACAUAGAGAUAUGAACGUGCCGCGCAAUUUUCUAUCAUAUAGAAGACUCCAGAAGCCACGGGAACGAACGGGAGGCCGAGCGGGCUCGGGGCAGGGCGCCCGCCAUAUCCCAGAGUCCAAUCAGGACUCUCUUCGGGGAUUACGCUCCACCGACCUAAAGGAUCAAGAAUAACCGUUCAAUCAAUGUCGGUUUGAUCCGACGGCCCAGAUUCACUUGAGGGGACUAUAUAAGCAGACCCCCUGGCCCCUGGAGGAGGCACCCCUUGAUCCAUAUUCAUUAUUCAUAGACAGAGCAAAAGCUAGGGUUUAGAGAUGAGAGCUCUCCUCUCUUCUCUAAACUAGAGUAGAUCUAGAUAGUAGCGAGAUGGAGAGCAAGGGAGGAUUGGAGGAGAGUCCGGCCUGUCGUUCUUCCUCCGGUUGUACUUCGCCAUGAUCAAGCUCUAAUCAAGCUUGCUCAUGGGAUGACUCUAGUAAUCUACUUCUAAUUCGUUAUGCAAUUACUAAUCAUAUAUGUCCUGGUUCACAACUCUUUUGAGUACUUCUAAUCUAUAGGACCCUAUAGGUUAGAGUUGUAGUAUAGGUGUUCAUGGAGAUUGGAAGGAGUUACAUAAUAGUUUUUUCUUUUAAAAUAUUUUCCAAUCUCUAAAGUGGCGGAACUUCAGCGUGAGAUUAUUUCUUUUAGACAACUGGAAGAAGAAUCUCUUGGCAAAUCAUGGGACCGCUUUAUUAACCUUACUCUCACUGGUCCAAAGCUUUCUAUUCCAGAAGAAGUUCUUCUAAUUCACUUUUUUGAGGGCCUUAGUAUGGAAAAUAAGCAAACCUUGAAUACAGCCUCUAGAGGAUCCUUCUGUCACCUACCUGCUAGUGAAGCUAGGGAUUUAAUUGAUUCAUUGAGUGGAAAGUUUCCUAGCAUUUAUAUCCCUGCGAAAGAGAAAGAACCAGUUCCUAGACAAGAAGAAGAAGUUUUGAUAGCCAGAUCACAACCACUUCAAUCCCAAACUUUAGCUAUUGAUCCUAAACCAUCAAUACCCCAAAAUUCUCCAAGGGAGGAAGGAAUUUCGACCUUAAAUCUUUCAGAUACUGAUGGUUUAGACUUCUGGUUCCAUAAGAGACCUUCAAGCAGGGUUAAUUCAAAUCCUUGCAAUAAUGUUUCUCUUAGAGAAUGUCCUGGUUCCUAUUAUGAAGUAGUCGAGGAUGACAUAUCAAGUGAAGGAGAGCUAAGCCAUAUAGAAAACUUUAUCUGCUCCCCUUCCAUGUUCACAAGUUCUAAAUCCAUCCUUGACCUUAGAGACCCCUCUUAUCCAUCUCCUUUUAAGUCUCAUGAUGAUCCUAGCAAUCCAUCAAGAUGACCAAACCAUAGGAGUCAUAAAGACCAUAAGGAUGGUAUGUCAAGUAAUGCCAUAGAAGGAGAGCUAAGCCAUAGAGAAGAUACUAUCAGCUCCCCUGUCUUGAUCACAAGUUCUAAAUGGCAGGAAUGUGUAGAAUGGAUGGAUAAGGAACAAGCCUUAAUGAAUUUUGACUUUGGCUCAAUUUCAAAUGGUGAGUUCUUAACUCCCUUUGAAAAUGGGAUUCAUCCAACUAUAGAAGAGGACAUGCUCAAUUUGUUAAAUACUAAUCACACUACUUCAUCUCCACUUGAGUAGAUCUCUAGAAAUGCCAUCACGCUACCUUUGUUUAUCCUAGUAAGUGUUAGUUUGGAAGUACUGCACAUACUUCUAUUGGCUUUUAAAUUAAGCAUGGUGCUUAGGUUAAACAGCCUUCCUUAAUCUAAUUAGACAUGGAGUCUAGUUCGGUUAUUGAACUAAAAACUGCUUGUGUAGACAUUGGUAUAUUUUGUCGGACUAACCCCAGCAGAAAAACUUUCAAUAUCAAUUUAGGAAGUCCUGAGAUAAACUCACAUCAGAAAUGAAGAGAGAGACACAUGAAGUUUAACAACUUACACCAGGAAGACACCGCUCAUAAGAGAUGAUCCAUGGAGGGUGCUAUAAACACGAUGCACAACCGCUAAGAAAGGAAAGCUUCCACAAAGUGAUACUUUACCAUCACUCUUCAAGCAAGGUAACAUCUUAAGGUACUUGACUAUCAAUUUUAUAAGCUUCUCCUUAGUUCUGGCGUUCAUAAGAAUAAAAGAGACAAACAUGUAUGAUUUAUAGCUCUAGAUGAACCAACAAAACUGAUUCAGCAUGUUUAGUCCUUUAAUCUUUGUUCCUAGUACUACCUCAAUGAUCCCAGACUCCUAAUCAUAUGAGCUAAAAUGUUACACAUUCAAUCUUUCAGGGAUAUAAAGAAAAAGACAUAUACAUAGAUAGAUUAUCUUUCCAUAAGGUUGAGCGAUCUGAUCUGACAAAUGUUAUAAGUACUACACUCAUGAACUUAUCAUCCAUCAACUUUGUCUUGCUUACUAUGCUUAAGGUUAGAGAAGAACAAAUACACUUUUGGUUCUGUUGGUGUUUUCCACCAACAGGACCCAUGCACUUGAUCUCUGCCUUGUCUCUAUGAGUAGGUACACUUCAAGCAAAAGAUGGAGGAGUUUUACAACUCUCAGACUCUACCAAGUGAAGGACCUGGAUCUACGAGCACAAACACACUGAGCAGGAUACUGCCAACGCCGCACUUCGAACUACUGGGCAAACGAAGAACAUGGGUGACACCGUAUCAAGAGGAGCAGACAUCAAGGUCCGCACCUGAAUCAAAUGACGCACCUGAAGAAUGAACACAGUGAGAAGUCUUGUUCAGAAGACUUAAAACAUUGAACCCUCGCUGAAAGGUAAAAUCGGUAGUUAUCCAUAUUUAUACUUUCUGCAUUCCCUUUUCCCUUAAAUUAUUUACUUUCCUUAAAUGGCUUGUUAGUUAAUCAUGCUAUCUUGAAAAGAAAUUAAAAAUGUUAAAAACAGUAAGCCCCAUGUGAGUAUGCUCGUGGCAUAAAACCCAUAAGUACAUUCAUUGUGGUGGCGUAAAAAUAAAAAUAUUCCUGUCCUAUAAAAAUGAAAAUGUAAAAAUUUAUGAUCCUACCAAAGAGAGUAAUAUUUAUUAGAGGAAGCUCAACAUGAUGACGGCUAAGAGAUUUUAUGCUAACACUUAACCAGUUCCACAAAGCUUUGUUGUCUAUUUGAGCUCCACACAAUUCAAGGAUCAAAGAAGACUAGCAGACAAAGGACAUCCUAAUCGCUGUCAGGGUGCUGCCGACAUUCAAAUACACCUCUGUCACCUCCUAGCUCCAUCAAAAGAAAUUACAUCAAAAUCCAACUUGGGGGAGAGCACCCCAUUUAUCCAGCUAAGUGCUUCUAUCUACGUUUAUACUUAUAUUUUUUUAAAAUAAUAAAAAGAUGCAUAAUCAUAAAAACCCAAAUAAAGAUUUUGUGCUUAUAUCUUUGCUUAGUUUGCUAAAUAAAUAAAUAAAGUGUUUAUGCCAAAUUGAACUCUAAUGAUAAACUCAUACAUGGAUAUGAUGAAUAGUUGCUCUGCCAAGUACCUAGUUUUCAAAUUUGAGCUCUCUCUCUCCCAAGUUUAUACAUAACUGUUAUAAUUUAAAGAUUGCUCUAAACCUAAACUCGUGGGAAGAGAACUUGAUCUAAAGUCUAAGUCAUUAAUUUAUAUGAUAUGGGAAGGUUGAGCUGCUGCUUAUCUGUUCCUAGAGAUGCUAGAACUCUGGAGAGUUUUAUCUUUGCAAAUCUUUAAAAUGUUGCAUGAUGAGUUCCUGUAUGAUGAGAGUUUAAAAUCCUACCAUAGCCAUAUAUACAUGCUUAUUAGACUAUGAACCAUACAUUUACUUUUUACUGCUUAUGAGCUUUGAGUGUGGUCAAGCUAUGUAGACCCUUAGGAGCUUGUCAUGCGGUUAAAAUCAAGAUUCACUUGCAAGUUCACUCAUACAUGCUACUUCUACUCCGAAAGUAUGCAUCCACAUACAUCCACUCAUUUCCAUCUCCACAUUCACCCGAAAUUAUUCUACUCCUAUCCAGGAUAGAAUAGCCAAAAACAUUAUCCUAUCCCUGUUAUUCCCUGUAAAAUAAAUGCUCGAGUUAUCUUGGUUACUACCACUUGCUAUGUUAUUCUAGGAGGAUGAGUGCUCUGAAAAAAAAUAUGAAUAUGAGGAAAUAAAAAGGGGCAAGUGCCUGAAACCUUGAAAAAAGAAAAAGUGAGACGAGAGGUAAAAAUGGAUAAGUGUCCGACAGUAGAAUUAGGGGUACAAGAUACCCACCUGAGAGAAAAGAAAAAUAAAAUAUAGAGCAUCUCAUUUCCCUCAAAAGACUCAAGUGCAAGGAAGGUAUGUACCACCUCAAAAGAACAAAAGUAGAAUUAGACUUUCACCAUUAUCACCAUUCAUUCGCCACACAUGCACAUCUUGAUUUGACUUAUUGACUUGUUUCUCUGGAUCCAUGGUUUGACUAUGCAAUAAAUGUCUUGUAAUUAUGUAUACUCUAUCUCCCACCUAUGAGCUUCAGAUAUCAAAACCUUAUUAGAGUAGGGUGAGAGAGAAGGCAAUGUCAGUAUGCCUCGUACCACAAAUACCACAUACUUUGAGAGAAGGCAUAUACCAUCACUGCCUUGGUAAGGAUCCAGAAAUACCACAAAAGAGAGAUUUGAGAGAGUCAUACAAGGAAUCUCUGAGUUUUAUUUUGAAAAUCUGCAGAAACUCUAGAGCUAUAGCUAAUCAAGAAUAAGAGACAUGGCACUUGACUAGACUGUUCUAUCUUUUAACUACUCAAGACACAAGUGACGGUUAUAAGCCCCAUGGUGAAAGGUAAAUGAGUAAGUUUUAUGUCUUAACAAUUUACUCUAACUCAGAGAUAAGACCUUGAUUGAAAGCAUGUGUACCGUCAACUUUCUAAGGCAUUGCAGCAAUUUCUGAUAAAUCACUAAGUCUAUCAUUUCUCAGGGAUGAGCAAGAGGUAAGCUUGGGGGAGUUUGCUAACGGUCCUUAAGUAUCAAAUUUAAUCAUCAAAUAAAUAAAGAAAAGGAUCCAAAUGCAUCCAACACCCAGACUUAGGGUUUUAUCUGACAGAAUUCCACAAGUUUUGGUGUUUGUCUAUUUUUACAGGGGGUUAUCAGUAAAUAUAGAGGAAAGGCCGACACGACAGGUUUACAGAGAUAUUAACGUGUGCGCCAAUUUUCUAUCAUCUAGAAUACUCCAGAAGCCACAGGAACGAACGAGAGGCCGAGCAGGCCUAGGGGCAGGGUGCCCGCCCUUCCCCCUAGGGCACUUGCCCUGUCAUCUGGACCAAUUGAAUACUAGGUUGUCAUCCCCAGCAUGGCACUAGAGUGUACUAUGGUAUUUAUACACACACAGAUAAUCCGCAAGCGCACGGAUACCAUUGAAGCUUUUUACUCAGUUAAAGGUUUUAUCGUAUCCACAGGGAAACGGGAGAACAAACUGCGCUCUAACUUAACUAAGAUAGAUAGAUAGGUAUAAAUAGGAAAGAUGGUAGAAUUGAAUAAGAACAAUAUUAAAGCUAAAAUAAUAAUGGGGGAAUAUAGAGUAGAGCAAUCUAAUAUAUGGAUAAUAAUAGGAGAAUAGAGAGGAUAACUAGGGUUUGUCUACUUCAAAGGGGUAUGUCUAUCUGUGGCGUACCAUAAGUAUAAAACAACAUAGAGGAUGCUUAUACCUAAGGUCGAGGACUCCUACCAGUCCUGCUAAUGGGAGGUGGACUACAGAGGACCAUCGUAGCUGUCACCUACGCGGCCUACCACGCGAUCUAGCUAACAGUGGAUAUCCACAUGUAAUCUAGGUCUAAGCACCACGCUUACACCUAUACUACAACUCUCACCUAUAGCGUCCUAUAGAUUAAAGUACUCAAAAGAGAGUUGUGAACUAGAACAUACAUGGAUAGUAAUUGCAUAAUGAAAUAGAAGUAGAUUACCAGAGUCAUCCCAUGAGUAAGCUUGAUUAGAGCUUGAUCAUGGCAAAGUACAACUGGAGGAAGAACCAACAGGCCGGCCUCUCCUUCAAUCCUCCCUCGCUCUCCAUCUCGCUACUAUCUAGAUCUACUCUAGUUUAGAGAUGAGAGGAGAGCUAUCAUCUCCAAACCCUAGCUUUUGCUCUGUCUAUGAAUAAUGAAUAGGGAUGGAGAGGUUUUUUCUCCAAGGGCCAGGGAGCCUGCUUAUAUAGCCCUUCCAAAUGAAUGUGGGCCGUCGGAUCAAACCGACCUUAAUCGCACGGUUUUCCUUCAUCCAUUAGGCCGGUGGAUCAAAAUCCAAGAGGCGGAGCCUGAUUGGUUCCUGUAGCAGGGUGGGCGCCCUGUCCCCGGGCCCGCUCAACCUCCCGUUCGUUCCCGUGGCUUCUGGAGUCUUCUAGAUGAUAGAAAAUUACCGCGCACAUUAAUAUCUAUAUGUAAACCCGACGUGUGGGCCUUUCCUCCAUAUUUCCUGAUAACCCCCUGCAGAAAUAGACAAACACGAAAAGUCGUGGAAUUUUGUCAGAUAAAACCCUAAGUCUGGGUGUUGGUUGCAUUUGGAUCCUUUUCUUUAUUUAUUUGAUAAUUAAAUUUUGUACUUAAGCAUCGUCAACAACUCCCCCAAGCUUACCUCUUGCUCGUUCCUGAGCAAGGAUGGACUCAAGAGUUUCUACAGUGGUUCCAUGCCUUAAAGGUACACAUGCGUUCAAAUAAGAUCUCAUCUCUGGGUUAGGGUAAACUGUUAAGAUUUAAACUUACUCAUAUUACGUUCCAUCAUGGGACUUUUAACCGUCACUCGUGUCUUGAGUAGUAAAAGGAUAGAACGGUCAAGUCAAGCGGCAUGUCUCUUGUUCUUGAUCAACUAUAGCCCUAGAGUUUUUGUAGAUUUUCAAAAUAAAACUCAGAGAUUCCUUGUAUGACUCUCUCAAUUCUCUCUUUUGUGGUAUUUCUAGAUUCUUAUCAAGGCAGUGAUGGUUGUUGACGGUCCUUAAGUACCAAAUAUAAUCAUCUAAUAAAUAAAGAAAAGGAUCCAAAUGCAACCGACACCCAGACUUAGGGUUUUAUCUGACAGAAUUCCACGAGUUUUGGUGUUUGUCUAUUUCCGCAGGGGGUUAUCAGGAAUUAUAGAAGAAAGGCCCACACGUCGGGUUUACAUAGAGAUAUUAACGUGCUGCGCAAUUUUCUAUCAUCUAGAGGACUCCAGACGCCACGGGAACGAACGGGAAGGCGAUCGAGCCCGGGGGCAGGGCGCCCGCCCUACCCCCUAGGGCGCCUGCCCUGGUGCAGAGUCCAAUUAGGACCCGUCUCGCGGAUUACGCUACACCGACCUAAAGAAUCAAGGAUAACCGUUCAAUCAAUGUCGGUUUGAUCCGACGGCCCAGAUUCACUUGAGGGGACUAUAUAAGCAGACCCCCUGGCCCCUGGAGGAGAACAAGUUCAUCAUAGAGUUGAGAGGUGCCUUCAAAGGAUAACAUUUCCUCUAAAUAGACUUAGGGCUUAGCAUCCAAUGUGAGAGUAGACUAGUUCUACUAGAUUGAGAGAGAUAGAGUGGAGGUAUAGAUCGAAGGAAGCCCGGCCUGUCGGUGUCUACUCUGAGGUUGUACCUACGGGAUCAAGUUCUCCUAACCCGAGGCUUGCUCCUAGGAUUCUUCAGUAAUUUGACUUCUAAAUUAUAGUAAGUUCUUGUUUUAUUGUUCUUUGGUUUAUGAGUUUACUUUACUCACUUCCGGUUGAGUUUAGAGUAAUCAUUGCUAGCGUAAACGUGGUGUUUGGGCUAUGGUACUCAUAGAUAUCCCCUGACUAUCUGGACCGUGGUAGUAGCGAGGAACGUGACAUUUCUGAGUUACCUUUGCAGCCCACAUCUCGUUAGCAAGAUGGGUAGGGUUUAUAGGUGUGGGUCGAACAUCCUCUAUGGUGUCUAGAUUCUGUGAGCCUCCCCAAUAGAAAAGUAGAUCAUCCUUACCAAGGUUAGAACGAGACUAUGGUUGUAGUCUUCUCUAUACAUCUCUCACAUUGAGUCACAUUCUUUGUAGCCUAAAGGGUAGUAGCAAUAGAUUUGGUUAGUCAGAUGCACACUUUCUCCCAGUGGUAAAAAUAUAAAUACGAUACUCUGGAUAACCUCCCGGGUGAAGUUCUCACCGAUAUCCGUGCGCUUGCGGAUCAUUUCCUGAUGUUGUUAACAAAUAUCAACAAGCAUUUCUGGCGCCGUUGCGAAGAAAGACAGUUUGCUGAGAUAACUUUGAGUCUUGCUAUUAUCUUAUAUUAUACUUUUAUUCUUUUAUCUUUUUAUUUUUUCCAUCUUUAUGGAUAACUUAAAUUCCACACCUAUUAUUGAAUUCUUUGCACCUUCGGAGACCAGCCAUAGACCAUCGGAGUCAACAAGUCCUUUCUUUGCACCUAAUUAUGAUUUGUGUCCGGAGUUGAUUGCAAUAGGUCAAAACCAACCCUUUUCUAUAGCCGAGGUCCUAUCUUUUAAUCAAAAAGAUAAUGAACUUUUAGCAACAUCUAGGGCAUGUGUUAAUCUUUCUAUAGAUUCUAGUUUAAAUCUAGCCCUACAAGACCAUGUUUUUCCUCGUUAUUUGCACAUUGGUCUUAAUCAUAUACCCUUUGGUAGAGUUUUUCUUUCUUUAUCUGUUAGUAAAGCAAGGUAUGUCUUCAUUCAUGGACAUCCUUCUUGUACUAGUCUUCAUAGAAAAAUCUUAGAGAUAGAGAAGGAAUCAUCUCCCAGACGAGGAAAGGAAGUUUCAAUAGCCAAUUUCCAAACAUUUCAAUCCCAUGAUUCGGCUAUCCAACCCAUCCUUGAGCUUAAUAAUUUCUACUAUGCUCUUUCUCUUGAACCUCCCGAUAAUCCUAUGAAUCUCUCUGGACAUCCGAUCCAUAAGAGUCACCAAUGUGACAGAACCGCCCAAUUUAUACAAGUUUAAGUACGACUGUCCCCGUUUAACACAUUGACAAGCCCAUACUCUCACUUAUAUAAACCCGGUAGUCUGCCGAGUGUCACGAAGGACCUCGGUAAAUCAACCUUACACCAAGAUCGCAAGAUUAAGCAAAUACACAUCACAUACACGGAGAUUUGCAGCGGAAAUAAUAUUACAAAAGAGUUCACAAAUAAUAGGACAAGUUUGGAUUUUCCCAAUUGAUUAGAAAACAACAUAGCUUUCAAAUGAUUACAAUAACAUAAGUUCCAAAUACAUUGCUAGCAUAAGUGACAUCCUCCGACAAAAGCUUGUAGAUGAGAACACUAUAUAGAAUCACCGAGCCCACCGGCGGUUAGCCACCAUCUUUAGCAGACUGAAGACUUCACCUGCAACAUGGUGGGAUAAACCCUGAGUACUCGAAUGUACUCAGCUAGACUUACCCGACAGGAGAGAAAAUAAAAGACUCUCAAGGAUAUGCCAGACUUUUUGGUGGAGUUGGUUGGAUAGCAUAACUUUGCCAAAAAGAGCAUUACUAUCAUGAGUCCUUACUUUCAACCUUUUAGUUAGUAUUUUAGCAUCAAGUUCAGUUAAGCUACCAUAGCUAGAUUUUGCACCUAUUCUAUAGCAAUCACUUGAUUAAUAAGCAUCACAUUAAUAACUAUAUCCGGUUUAUCAUAUAGCCAUCAUCGUCAUCAUAACCAUUAAGUUUCAUUUAGUUUAUCUACGUUGCCGCUGCUCGAGUCAAGUUCUCACUAUCCGGGAGAGACGGCGAUUCGAAUCGAUUCCUAUCCAGCUAGAGGGGUAUUCCUAGCACUCACCCAAGCAUACCUCGCAAGGGCAGCUCGGAUCACCUUUAGCACAACUCCGGACCAAGUCGCGGGUCCGUCCAGCGCCGCACCCCCAGGGACCGCCAAUCUGCCAGGGCAGGACUCUAACCUGACACCUUGGGCUUACGCCAUUGACUCCCCGCACAUCCGGGGUGCGCACUCAUACAAAAUAGGAUAUCCGGCCUGAGUUGCACUCGUAGGCUUCGCGGUUGGAACGACUUAUCCAGCCAACUAAGUGUUAGGCAUGCGUUCAACAUGACACGAGGACGUACAGCGAUUCGGUCCUUAACCGACACAGACGGGGAUAGAUUCACACCCAAGACCUCAAUGCCUUGUUGCUGCACUAUCGUUAUCCCGCCCGGUCUCAAAUUCAUUAUUAGCACAAGGUUAUUUCUACGAUAGCAAAUAUAGCCAACCGUGAUCAAGUAUCCACCUAUCUCUCGCAGGUGACAGGAAAUCACCAGGCUUCUACCGAGCUAAGCACAACUAAGCAUAGAACGUCUUCCUUAUACCAGUAAGGGUUCAGGUAGUUUCAUAUAGUGGACAAGGUAGGAAUAUAUGCACCAACGGUUUCAUUCAACUCCUAUCACCUAAUGCAUCAUAUAAAGUUAUACUCUUGUGCUUUUAUAAAAAGAGAGGUAGGAGACUUAGAAUGCUCCGGGGCUUGCCUGGAAUCCGACACAAGUAAGUAAGUUAGCUUGCACCGUCUUGACGACAUCUAAGGUGACAACACUUGUGCAGUCCUUCCACCAUCCCGAUAGGUCCACCAUCACGUCCUUCAUGUGGUUCAUCUAGCGUACCUAAAUGAGAUGCAAGAUGCAAGUGUAUGAACACAUAGAAGUGCAAUAGACAAAGCAUCACACACAAGAAGCAUGGCAAGAGCAUGGUUACACUAAACAUACUUAAGCACAUCUCACUGCUCACUUAAUGAUUACACAACCAACAUGCUAAGUCAACAAAGAAUGCAACACUAAACAUAUUAGACAUGGCAUACAUGUUUCACAAGGUCUCAGGUAUAUUAACUUGGCCAUUACCAAGGACAUGAGUCAUACAUAGCAAUAUACCAAGCAAGAACAAUAAAAGGAAUCUGUCAUUUUUAGGACUGUUAACAGCAGCUGAGAAAAUAAAUCAUAACUGGAGUUACACAACUCUAAAAUACAUGCAAGAAGACAUUCUGGAAAGCUUAAGAAAUUAUCUACAUUUGAUAUUUAGACAUCAAAGCAUGAUUGUCAACUUAAUCUGGUCGAAAUUACAAAUUUCCAGAAUCGGUCCCUGACAAACAGAGAGCAGCCGCUUUCUGGAUCCAACUUUGAACAGAUAUAACUCACAAACCACAAAACCAAAGACUACCAAAUUUUGACAGAAGCUAGAUAAAUGAAUUAUCUACAACUUUGCUAUAAACAAGAUUCCCAGAAAACAUCAUUUACAAAUUGUAAUCCAAACAGUUGCAGAAACUGUCCAGAAACAACAAUUGCAAACAAUUAAUUAUUAACUUAUGUUUCAAACAUGCAUUUGAGCAAAACCAUUGUUACCAACAGUUUGCAUAUAUCUAAAGAACACCAGAAAACAUAGUGGUCAUUACCAAAUAAAUUUAUUUAUUGCAUUUCUUAAUUUAUUUGGAUAACAAGGUGAAUCAAAGAACAUAUACCAAACAUGCACAGUAAUUUAUACAAAAAUUACAGUAGCCUCUGAAUACUAUGAAUAGACUGCUGUAUAAAUUUCACAAUAUUUGAAUAAGCACAGCAAAAUCUAUGAAAAAGACAAAUUGCUAUUGCAAUUAACUAUGUGAGAGCAAGAUAAAUGCACAAAUCAUAUUUUCUUCAAACACAUGGCCAUGUCAUACAUAAACAUGAUACAACAAUAUCAUAGGAUUGUAUUGGAGCAACAUUUUCCAUUUUCACAUUUUUAUUUAUAAUUAUAAACCAUUUAUCAAGCCCUAUGCAAGUUAAAUCAAUAGCUCAACCAUACUGCAACCAAAAAUCAUGAAACCUUUACCAUUCAUCAAGCAUCACAAGAAUAGCAUGCCACAAAAGUUUCACUUCAAUUGGACCUAUACAGAAACAGUUAUAAAAAAGACAAACUCAACUAGUAUUAAAAACCUAGCUGCAUAAAUCAUUUUCUACAGCUAAAUCUUUAAACUAAAACAUAGCAUAUUAUAGAUCUACUGCAUAGAGAAUUUCACAACGAUUCCAAAAAGUACAUAUUUGCUAAUUCACGAUUUUUCUAUGAUUUUAUAUGGAUUUUCAAAGUUCCAGGAUUUCUCCAAAACAAAUAGGUCCUCGGAGUACUAUUCAUCUGAGUCCAUGACAGUGCAGAAAACAUCCUGGAUUUAGUCAAAUUUACAACCGAGGUCCUUGGUCGCGAGGAAAAUAUAGGAACUCGUCGGAGCUCCCUGUUCCGGCCGGCUGAGGCCUCAUCGGCGGCGAUGGAGGGGUGGGGAAGCACCAGGGGUGUCUUGCGAACUCGCUGAGCCACCUUCCUCGACCCAAGACGGUCCAUGGCGGUCUGCCCACGGAAGCAGGUGGCGGCCACCGCGGUGGUGCCCGCACGGCGGCGCUUCGGCAGCGGAUUUGGGCAGCGAAUACGAGCACCGUGUGCAUGAGAUGGAGGCGAAGCCGAUGGCGGUGCUUGCGGGAAGCGAGAAGGCGCGGAGCCGCGAGAAUACGGGCGGCGUCGAGCUCGGCCCGCCGGCCAUGGCGGAUAUGGCUGCGUUCUUGCGGUGUCGGGCGAGGGCAAGGCGAGGGAGUGGCAGAGGGAGUGUGGAGAGGGUGCUCAGGGCUCUCCACAUCAGUAGCGAGCGCGGACACGCGGAGGGCACGCGGCAAGAUGAGGAGGCGCAAGCUCUGCAUGGCUGUCCAUGCGUUCUCCCUUUGACGCAUUUUGCCGAACAGCUAGCGGGCGACGGUGUGGCCAGUGUGGGACGUGUUUUUGGGCUCCUUCCGCGCAGAUAUGGACAUUGGGCCGAAAACAAGAAUUGCUCUACUCGGCCCACUCUACAAUUUUGGUUUAAGGGUCAUGGUCAUUAGUCUUGUAGAUUAGCAGAUAAUUUGAUGCCAACCUUUGAGUGUCAUGAAUUAAUAAUGAUUAACAAAACUCAAAAUUGGUGACCAAAACAAAGUUAAACUGGUGUCAUCUUUCGGUAUGCUCUAGCCCACAAUAUGUACUCCAACUUUUAUUUUGGGACCCAAGGAAGUUGUUUAGUAAAAUUUGGAGAACGCGGAAUGCCAACGUGAUGAACUGCAAACCUAGACUUAGAAACUCUAAGUGCUGGAAAUUAUAGCAGAUUCAAUUUUGUGACUAUUAUUUGACAUGCUUAGAAGAUGAUUCAGACUUAGUAACUUUAAUAAAGAUUGUAGUAUGCAAACUAUACUACAACGUUUACAAAAGGACCUUUUACUGGUUCAGUAUUAUUUGGAAGAUACAAGGCUCCCAACUAGGGUACCCGAAACUGAGCACCUCAGGACUUGGCCAAAAUUCUGGAGUUCCAAAACAGCACUGCAUCGAAUCUUGUCAAGUCAAUUUGACUAGGUUACGGACCAAACUAGCUCUUGACCGUUAAACAAAGUUUGUUCUACAGAAUCUAAAGUACAACUUUCAUUUAAGGUCAAACCUCAGAACUAGUAUAGAAGUCAAAAUUUCACUUUGGUCAAUGCAGCAACUUGAUAAAGCUCAAACUAAGGUUUUAGGCUAAUUGAAGCACUUUCUGGGCACAAGCUCAUCAUGAACCCUUCAUGACUUUUGUUGUAGAGUUCAUCUAGAGUCAUUUGGGCAAGGUUGCAAGGAUUGGUUGAUGACCUAUGGUUCUAUUCGCUUAAUGAGGUCAUUCCAACAAGCAUGUAACUUAUCAUUUCAUGUGACCUUUUGAUUCCAACUUCAUGAAACUUUUUGAGUGAUCACUAUAGGUCGUGAUGGAUGUGGGACACAUGAAAGAGAUUCCAUAAACAUCACCUAAGCAUGAACUUUGAAAAGGUACUAUAUGUAAGCAAGGGUGCAUUCUCUAAGUUUAACUUCAGGCUCACUUUCAUGGAUUAACUUUAACAUGAUCAUCACCACUUAUCAUGACAUGUUUGAGCUCAAAACCUAAAGUCUAACUCGUGGCAAACACCUGGGGUGUUACAACCCUCCCCCCUUAAGAGAAUCUCGUCCCGAGAUUCAGGACAAAAUACUUCUAAGGGUAGAGAAGUAUGUUAUUCACUUCUAACAUUGGGGAUAACUGUCAACUACUUAUCCCCGAGCAUCAGAGAGGCUAAUUUGGUCAGGAUACUUUCUGAUACUGGUUCUUCAUAGUGAACUUUUGUUUAAAGAUUUUUCUUCAUUGACUUCCACGAUGUAUGGUUACUUCGGGAGGAAUUCAAGACAACAUAGUUAUUCAUUCCUAAUGUAUGAUGGAUAAUUCAGAGCACAGUAAACUACUCAUUACAAUGUUUCCAUCUAUGUUCACAAGGCUCGAAAAGCAGUCCUCUACCAAAAUGGCUUGAGUACAACCUUCCGUAGGGGAUGAGAUCAUGAACUAGAUAAAACAUCCUUUGAGGUUAUGAGAAACCAACUAACCAACAAACAAUGUCUAUUUUGGUCAUAAGGUCUAAUCACUCAGAUGCCCAUCAAUGGAAAGCUACAUAAGGUUCCACGUGUGCAGUUCUCUUUCACUGAUAUCAACACUUUAUUUUCCAAGUCUAUCGAGUUAGUGUUGACCAUUCAAUGAAUUUAAUGGCUCCAAGUGUUAACAGUGGUCUAGGUCAUAUCACAUACAACCUCUUAGGUAAAAAGGAACAUAGAAAACACCAAACGCAUGUUACCAUUAGAUAAGCAUUGCUAAGGAUGGAUGAUAGCAAGGUAUAGAGGACAACAAAAUAUUCAAGUAUUCACCAAGCUAGGGAAACAAGCUACUACCAAGCAAGUCAACUAUGAAUUUUCCCAUCACUAAGUAGUUGCUUAGUAAGUUGGGUCGGUUUGCACAGCAGCAAAAUAGCUUGGUGAAACUACUUUCGACAUUGAGGAUUCCUUUCUAGGAUCAAACAACAGCUCUAAGAUAAUAAUUCUAAGAUUUGUUGCUUAAUACCCUUCCAAUUAUUUUGACUUGUAGAACUCCUAGAUUGCUCAUCUAUCGGUUGAUGUGAUAGGGGAACAGCUAGGUGUCCAAGGGUGAAAGGAGUCUUUAUAGGUCAUCCUAAGGUUUAUCUUGGUUCAAUUCACACCGCGCAAACUAGCUUCAUUAUGCAUGAAUUGCUAGUGUGUAUAGAGAUCCAAGAGUCUUAUGAUCAUUAACCAAAAUUCAACUCAAGCAAACACCAUAUGGCAACCAAACAAAACAAAACCUUUGAUAGCACCACACAUAUUAUGAUGCUAACGGAGACUAGGGGUGUGCUUUUCUCUAGCGUGUGACUUAGAUAUAGCAUUUGGUACCAUCUAUGUGAUUGUCCGAGAUUGAAUUGACUCGACAAAGGGCCUAGAGAAGGAAAUAGUAUUUACAUCGUUGAUCCACUUAUUGUUUUCUUUGCAUGACACUAUUUUAUGAGACGUAGCCUUCAGGGAUAUCAUGGAGUCAUUUCCAAGGUAGUGAUUAAACUUCUAACUAAUAACUAAUCAGUUGUCUCUAGACACUAAAAAGUUCCAAAACUUUCUUCUUUGGUGGCAACAAUUGUAGUCGACGCAUUUUUAGGCAGUCAAGAUCAAAGUCAGCCAAAAAGAGAUCACAAUAGAGAUGGCUGAUUAUGACUGUGUGAUCACCAUGAUCAAGAUUUGGAUCAAUUCUUGUCUGACUGAUAACUUGUCCAACUUUAAGUGUUGUGUGCCCUUUGGAUUCAACAGUGGACGACAGAAGUUACUCACCAAACAACUGAUACCGUUACAUGGGUAACAAAUAGAGUCUCUUAUCUACCACCCCUUGCAGUCUGCUAAGGUUUAUGUCGGUAACCUAUUCUUCAAAGGUUAUCUUCUUAGCAACUUCAGAAGGUAGUUCUACUACAUAAAUAUGAUAUAGACCUUCUGAUUGGACAUAAGGAAUGAUAACCAAGGAAAAAACUCACAAUGAGAUGACACAUCAGUGUAGUUUCAUAAUAGAUCAUGGCUAGCAACCACGAUACCAGCGCGUGCCGAGCAGCACAGUCUUGUGUGUGCACCCACAAGAGGCUCUCUGUUUCGUCAUGGCACCAUUAGUCUUCAAUCACGACGCUAUUACCGAUCUUACAACCAACAUGAAAUCUCACAUGACAUAGGUAGGUCUUGCAUGUACAAGGAUCAUGUGCAAGACAAAAUUAAGCAAGCAAAGAUGACAACAAGAUUUGGAGGUAACAACUAGAAGGUCAAAGGAUAAGAACAAGACGCAAGACAUAAAUGGAUACGCCUUAUGCCCAUUAAGGUCAUUACCCAUUGAUUAAUUUAUGAGAUGCGGUCAUGUUGGGUAGGAACAUGAGAUCAAAGCUGAUAAGCAUCUCAAGACCUAGGGAGGUUGGAGGUGAAUUAAGAAAACUCCAAAGGUAAAAUCAUUACAUCGAUGAGAGAUUGAGUUGAUAAGGAGCUACAUGAUUUGUAACCAAAGAAUUAGAGAUCGGCAAUAAGAGAUUGCAUUACACAAGCUAAGCUUUGGGAGAUACAACCGGGAGGUCCAACAUGGAUUUGGUAUGGUCUCCGUAGCCAGCAAGAAUAACCGUAGUCGAAAGCUUUCUGUAGUGAGAACUUAUCCUAGGCUAGUUGGCUAGACAAGGAUAUUUGCAAACGCGUGCAAGACAACCAUGGUAUAUGCAAGCAUUUGAGGGUCUGGACAUUGGUUUACGUAUCAAGCACAGGCACGGAUGCUCCAACAUUCAAAAACUAACAGUCAAGUCUAUAAGCUCGGCUCCUAAGAAAGGAAGCUAAUCUGAUACAACCAGCACACAAUCAACCUAAUUUGAGUGCCAUUCUAAGAUAAAGCUAUUUAACACUCGUGCUUGUCGAGGACAAAACAAGAAACAACCAAGGCACGAUCUAGAUAACCAACAUCCACACAACAUAAUAGUUUUAAGCAAGUACUUGAGAAAACUCAAACAAUCACGCUUAAACAACCAUUACUAAGCACAAGGCUUACACAUAACAAGCAUCUAUCUACAGCAAUACAACACAUUUAUCCCACAUACAAGGAUUAUGAUACAAGACGUGCUACAAAGCAAGUGGACACGAUUCAGUCUUUUAGGGAGAAUAUGACUUGGAGAUAGGUAGUGAAAGGGCUCCAAAAGAUUUUGGCAUGGCUGCACUAUCAUGCAAAUGGACAUACCACAAGCAAGAGUUUAGCAUUUAGGAAAACUCAGCGGGAAAAGAUUAUUAAACCUAUAGAGCUAAUUCAAAACUUAACAUGGUUGAAAAGAAUAGCAAUCAGCUCUGCCUAAACUAGGAUAGAGAACAUGAUAUGAGUUUUAGAAAAUGAUAACUAAAGUUCCAUUGAUCGAACAAACAUGAUCUUUAAUCUUAUGGAAACUUAUCAAGUUAUCUAUAAUUUUAUCAUUAUCAUCUUAAGGUGCUUCUACAGCUAACAAGCACAAACAAUACAAAGAAGGCAUAUCUAUUCAGAUUUUUGACAGAUUCUGUCGUUCUACUUCAUAGGCUCAUAACAGAAGAUUUAAACCACCAAAAGUAGUGAUCUAAGACAUUUUGGAAACCUUAACAAAAGUACUACACUUCUUCUAUUAACUUCAAGACAUGAUUCUGUAGGCACACUAGUCAAACAAACUGAACAUUCAAUUCUGUUCAGAACACGAUCAGGAUCUGACAACAAACUUCGAAAGUUCAUAACUCCUAAACCAUCAGGCCUAUGGUCAUGAAAUUUUAGGAUAAACUAGAUAUGGAGGUUGGCUACAACUUUGGUUUUUACUGUAAUUACAGAAAACACCAUUAUUGUCAUGAAAACACCACUAGAAUACACACUGCUCUAGCAGCCAAAAUUCAACACACAUAUCAAGCAAUGUUUCCCUUGUUCUAUUAACAAGAGAGCACACACAUGUAUAACUCCAGUAGCUACAAACAUUUUUACAUAGACAACAACAAUUUAUCUUGGUGACAAGGAGGGAUUGACAUAAGAAUCACAAUUGCUUAAGUGAGGUUAAAGCAUUUGCAAACUCUUGCAUGAACGGCAUAUUCACCACUUGGCUAAACAAGCUGACACCUACAAAUUCAAGCAUAUAGCCUUAACUAUUUCUAUUAUGGGUAGGCCAUACUUUUAGUUAGUUAAUUAACAUUAGAGGAUUCAUUGGAACACAUUCACAUACAUGUUCACCGACAAGCUUUAGUUUUCAAAGGAUUGUAGUUUCUACUACUACUAAUUUAGCAUUCCUAUAGAAGAAAACAUUUCAAGGCUAGACACAUCGCACACUACUUUCAAGCAAAACUAUUCAAGUAGCAUGGACUAAGGCAAUUUUUGUAUGGCUUCACACACGGAAAAGAGUAACAUCACAUCACUCACAAGUUACUAAUUAUUGGAACAAAGGUGGGAGAAGCAUAGUCAUGCAUAAUGCAACAAUCAUGACGAUGCAUGCUUCGUCUUAUUCGUCCUCACAAAAUUGCCAGCCUAUGGUGGCAAUCACGUUCUAUGUCGGUGGCAUAACACAUACUCUCUCGACAUAUAGCUAGUCGUCAACUACGUUCAAUCUAUGUAUUCGUGGUUAGUGUACCUGCAGAAGAAUUUCAUUUCAGCCCAACCCAACAAUAAUAUAUGUGCAGAAAUGAAAGUCUGGUCUCUAAAUUGAAAGCUAAGUACUCCAAUAUAUAUUCCCGAAUAUAUAUUGCAGCAUACUACCCAUGUGAAGCACGCCCAUGUAUACACAGAGACAUGUAUACACUGUCAUACCAACUAACCCACAAUUAAGUACCUUCAUAUAGACAUGUGUGUAACAUAUAAAUAUUCUAGUAACCACAUCUAACUCUCCCCUAGACCGACGGUUGGACGGUCAUGCUCUCACAACUCACAUUCUUACCUUGUGCGUCGAGGCAUAUAGAUCCAUACAUUACCACUCAAGCAAGUGGCAUCCAUACAAUUUCACGCCUUAUGGACGACGAAAGGAAAAUAUUGCUUACCGUGGCGUAGAGGUAUAUGAUUAAUUCAUUACCACUUAAGUAAGUGGUAUCCAUACUAUUGCACGCCGUAUGGAUGACGAAAGUAAAAGUUGCAAUAAAGUAAACCCCCCAUAGUUAGUAUCAGUUUACAUAAAGCCACCUAGUACUCCUUAAUUGGCAUAACUGGAGGUUGUCGGUAGCAUAGUUUUUGUAAAUUAGUUUUGACAAGUUCUGCCUGUAGCUAAAGUUUUAGUCAAAAUAAAUUUUUAAAAUCAAAACUUUGUUUUUAAAACAGUGUACCUGAUAGUAUUAUACUUAAUCUUGCUUUGAUACCAGCUGUGACAGAACCGCCCAAUUUAUACAAGUUUAAGUACGACUGUCCCCGUUUAACACGUUGACAAGCCCAUACUCUCACUUAUAUAAACCCGGUAGUCUGCCGAGUGUCACGAAAGACCUCGGUAAAUCAACCUUACACCAAGAUCGCAAGAUUAAGCAAAUACACAUCACAUACACGGAGAUUUGCAGCGGAAAUAAUAUUACAAAAGAGUUCACAAAUAAUAGGACAAGUAAUUAUUUUCCCAAUUGAUUAGAAAACAACAUAGCUUUCAAAUGAUUACAAUAACAUAAGUUCCAAAUACAUUGCUAGCAUAAGUGACAUCCUCCGACAAAAGCGUGUAGAUGAGAACACUAUAUAGAAUCACCGAGCCCACCGGCGAUUAGCCACCAUCUUUAGCAGACUGAAGACUUCACCUGCAACAUGGUGGGAUAAACCCUGAGUACUCGAAUGUACUCAGCUAGACUUACCCGACAGGAGAGAAAAUAAAAGACUCUCAAGGAUAUGCCAGACUUUUUGGUGGAGUUGGUUGGAUAGCAUAACUUUGCCAAAAAGAGCAUUACUAUCACGAGUCCUUACUUUCAACCUUUUAGUCAAUAUUUUAGCAUCAAGUUCAGUUAAGCUACCAUAGCUAGAUUUUGCACCUAUUCUAUAGCAAUCACUUGAUUAAUAAGCAUCACAUUAAUAACCAUAUCCGGUUUAUCAUAUAGCCAUCAUCGUCAUCAUAACCAUUAAGUUUCAUUUAGUUUAUCUACGUUGCCACUGCUCGAGUCAAGUUCUCACUAUCCGGGAGAGACGGCGAUUCGAAUCGAUUCCUAUCCAGCUGGAGGGGUAUUCCUAGCACUCACCCAAGCAUACCUCACGAGGGCAGCUCGGAUCACCUUUAGCACAACUCCGGACCAAGUCGCAGGUCCGUCCAGCGCCGCACCCCCAGGGACCGCCAAUCUGCCAGGGCAGGACUCUAACCUGACACCUUGGGCUUACGCCAUUGACUCCCCACACAUCCUUGCUACCAACCGGGGUGCGCACUCAGAACGGGGUAUCCGGCCUGAGUUGCACUCGUAGGCUUCGUGGUUGGAACGACUUAUCCGGCCAACUAAGUGUUAGGCAUGCGUUCAACAUGACACGAGGACGUACAGCGAUUCGGUCCUUAACCGACACAGACGGGGAUAGAUUCACACCCAAGACCUCCAUGCCUUGUUGCUGCACUAUCGUUAUCCCGCCCGGUCUAAAAUUCAUUAUUAGCACAAGGUUAUUUCCACGUAGCAAAUAUAGCCAACCGUGAUCAAGUAUCCACCUAUCUCUCACAGGUGACAGGAAAUCACCAGGCUUCUACCGAGCUAAGCACAACUAAGCAUAGAACGUCUUCCUUAUACUAGUAAGGGUUCAGGUAGUUUCAUAUAGUGGACAAGGUAGGAAUAUAUGCACCAACGGUUUCAUUCAACUCCUAUCACCUAAUGCAUCAUAUAAAGUUAUACUCUUGUGCUUUUAUAAAAAGAGAGGUAGGAGACUUAGAAUGCUCCGGGGCUUGCCUGGAAUUCGACACAAGUCAGUAAGUUAGCUUGCACCGUCUUGACGACAUGUAAGGUGACAACACUUGUGCAGUCCUUCCACCAUCCCGAUAGGUCCACCAUCACGUCCUUCAUGUGGUUCAUCUAGCGUACCUAAAUGAGAUGCAAGAUGCAAGUGUAUGAACACAUAGAAGUGAAAUAGACAAAGCAUCAUACACAAGAAGCAUGGCAAGAGCAUGGUUACACUAAACAUACUUAAGCACAUCUCACUGCUCACUUAAUGAUUACACAACCAACAUGCUAAGUCAACAAAGAAUGCAACACUAAACAUAUUAGACAUGGCAUACAUGUUUCACAAGGUCUCACGUAUAUUAACUUGGCCAUUACCAAGGACAUGAGUCAUACAUAGCAAUAUACCAAGCAAGAACAAUAAAAGGAAUCUGUCAUUUUUAGGACUGUUAACACCAGCUGAGAAAAUAAAUCAUAACUGGAGUUACACAACUCCAAAAGACAUGCAAGAAGACAUUCUGGAAAUCUUAAGAAAUUAUCUACAUUUUAUAUUUAGACAUCAAAGCAUGAUUCUCAACUUAAGCUGGUCGAAAUUACAAAUUUCCAGAAUCGGUCCCUGACAAACAGAGAGCAGCCCCUUUCUGGAUCCAACUUUGAACAGAUAUAACUCACAAACCACAUAACCAAAGACUACCAAAUUUUGACAGCAGCUAGAUAAAUGAAUUAUCUACAACUUUCCUAUAAACAAGAUUCCCAGAAAACAUCAUUUACACAUUGUAAUCCAAACAGUUCCAGAAACUGUCCAGAAACAACAAUUGCAAACAAUUAAUUAUUAACUUAUGUUUCAAACAUGCAUUUGAGCAAAACCAUUGUUACCAACAGUUUGCAUAUAUCUAAAGAACACCAGAAAACAUAGUGGUCAUUACCAAAUAAAUUUAUUUAUUGCAUUUCUUAAUUUAUUUGGAUAACAAGGUGAAUCAAAGAACAUAUACCAAACAUGCACAGUAAUUUAUACAAAAAUUACAGUAGCCUCUGAAUACCAUGACUAGACUGCUGUAUAAAUUUCACAAUAUUUGAAUAAGCACAGCAACAUCUAUGAAAAAGACAAAUUGCUAUUGCAAUUAACUAUGUGAGAGCAAGAUAAAUGCACAAAUCAUAUUUUCUUCAAACACAUGGCCAUAUCAUACAUAAACAUGAUACAACAAUAUCAUAGGAUUGUAUUGGAGCAACAUUUUCCAUUUUCACAUUUUUAUUUAUAAUUAUAAACCAUUUAUGAAGCCCUAUGCAAGUUAAAUCAAUAGCUCAACCAUACUGCAACCAAAAAUCAUGACACUUUUACCAUUGAUCAAGCAUCACAAGAAUAGCAUGCCACAAAAGUUUCACUUCAAUUGGACCUAUACAGAAACAGUUAUAAAAAAGACAAACUCAACUAGUAUUAAAAACCUAGCUGCAUAAAUCAUUUUCUACAGCUAAAACUUUAAACUAAAACAUAGAAUAUUAUAGAUCUACUGCAUAGAUAAUUUCACAAGGAUUCCAAAAAGUCCACAUUUGCUAAUUUACGAUAUUUCUAUGAUUUUAUAUGGAUUUUCAAAGUUCCAGCAUUUCUCCAAAACAAAUAGGUCCUCGGAGUACUAUUCAUCUGAGUCGAUGACAGUGCAGAAAACACCCUGGAUUUAGUCGAAUUUACAACCGAGGUCCUUGGUCGCGAGGAAAAUAGAGGAACUCGUCGGAGCUCCCUGUUCCGGCCGGCUGAGGCCUCGUCGGCGGCGAUGGAGGGGUGGGGAAGCACCAGGGGUGUCUUGCGAACUCGCUGAGCCACCUUUCUCGACCCAAGACGGUCCAUGGCGGCCUGGCCACGGAAGCAGGUGGCGGCCACCGCGGUGGUGCCCGCACGGCGGCGCUUCGGCAGCGGAUUUGGGCAGCGAAUACGAGCACCGUGUGCAUGAGAUGGAGGCGAAGCCGAUGGCGGUGCUUGCGGGAAGCGAGAAGGCGCGGAGCCGCGAGAAUGCGGGCGACGUCGAGCUCGGCCCGCCGGCCAUGGCGGAUAUGGCUGCGUUCUCGCGGUGUCGAGCGAGGGCAAGGCGAGGGAGUGGCAGAGGGAGUGUGGAGAGGGUGCUCGGGGCUCUCCACAGCAGUAGCGAGCGCGGACACGCGGAGGGCACGCGGCAAGACGAGGAGGCGCAAGCUCUGCAUGGCUGUCCACACGUCCUCCCAUUGAUGCAUUUUGCCGAACAGCUAGCGGGCGACGGUGUGGCCAGUGUGGGACGUGUUUUUGGGCUCCUUCCGGGCAGAUAUGGACAUUGGACCAAAAACAAUAAUUGCUCUACUCGGCCCACUCUACAAUUUUCGUUUAAGGGUCACGGUCAUUAGUCUUGUAGAUUAGCAGAUAAUUUGAUGCCAACCUUUGAGUGUCAAUGAAUUAAUAAUGAUUAACAAAACUCAAAAUUGGUGACCAAAACGAAGUUAAACUGGUGUCAUCUUUCGGUAUGCUCUAGCGCACAAUAUGUACUCCAACUUUUAUUUUGGGACCCAAGCAAGUUGUUUAGUAAAAUUUGGAGAACGCGGAAUGCCAACGUGAUGAACUGCAAACCUAGACUUAGAAACUCUAAGUGCUGGAAAUUAUAGCAGAUUCAAUAUUGUGACUAUUAUUUGACAUUCUUAGAAGAUGAUUCAGACUUAGUAACUUUAACAAAGAUUGUAGUAUGCAAACUAUACUACAACUUUUACAAAAGGACCUUUUACGGGUUCAGUAUUAUUUCGAAGAUACAAGGCUCCCAACUAGGGUACCCGAAACUGAGCACCUCAGGACUUAGCCAAAAUUCUGGAGUUCCAAAACAGCACUGCAUCGAAUCUUGUCAAGUCAAUUUGACUAGGUUAGGUACCAAACUAGCUCUUGACCAUUAAACAAAGUUUGUUCUACAGAAUCUAUAGUACAACUUUCAUUUAAGGUUAAACCUCAGAACUAGUAUAGAAGUCAAAAUUUCACUUUGGUCAAUGCAGCAACUUGAUAGAGCUCAAACUAAGGUUUUAAGCUAAUUGAAGCACUUUCUGGGCACAAGCUCAACAUGAACCCUUCAUGAAUUUUGUUGUAGAGUUCAUCUAGAGUCAUUGGGGCAAGGUUGCAAGGAUUGGUUGAUGACCUAUGGUUCUAUUCGCUUAAUGAGGUCAUUCCAAUAAGCAUGUAACUUAUCAUUUCAUGUGACCUUUUGAUUCCAACUUCAUGAAACUUUUUGAGUGAUCAUUAUAGGUCGUGAUGGAUGUGGGACACAUGAAAGAGAUUCCAUAAACAUCACCUAAGCAUGAACUUUGAAAAGGUACUAUAUGUAAGCAAGGGUGCAUUCUCUUAGUUUAACUUCAGGCUCACUUUCAUGGAUUAACUUUAACAUGAUCAUCACCACUUAUCAUGACAUGUUUGAGCUCAAAACCUAAAGUCUAACUCGUGGCAAACACCUGGGGUGUUACAACCAAGACCACAAGGAGGAUCGAGAAGAGCAACAUCAAUGGCUAGAGGGCAUUAAAAAUCCAUGUGCUAUCACCAUUGAAUGGAUGGAUAAACCAAACUUGAGAGACAAUCCUAUAGGAAUUUUAAGCAUUCAUGAAGAAUCAUCCGUGUAGUUUGAGAAUGAGAGAAACAACAGUGAGCAUCGAAGUUAUUUCAUAAAUACCUCACCAAGUCCUUGCUCAUAUAAAACAUCUCCCCAAUCAAUUGGUCUCUCCAACCUUACCACAUUUGAGAUCUCCAACCCACUCUUCCUUUCUAUUUAUAAAAACUUUAAAGGGGUGGUUAUCGAUGUAUAUGUCUAUAAUAAAUAUUGCAGAUAUCGUUGAGUCGAUCUUGAUAUAGGCACGCUUAGGUUGGUGUUGGAGGGGAAACCACUUCACCAACAUAAAUUGAUGGUUUCCCAAGGACAAGCUUAGUGUCCUAAAACAAGCACUUAUCAGAUCGUAACAUGAACUGCAAAUUAUUUGCAACAUUGCCUUGUGUAUUGAGCAUAUAAAGAUAAUUGUAGAAAUAUUCCUUUGGGUAUUCUUGUCACUAACCUUUCUAGGAUUGGAGCAAGAAGAUCGGAUGAAUGACAAGCACAAGGUAUGUCCAACCAAUCACCAUGCAACAUUGAAUUAAAUUCAUCCAAUCUUGAAUUUUGCAAAAUUCAAGCUUGGGGGAGUACUUCACAUGAAAACAUCCUUUGCCAUGUUGCUAUGUUGGUUGUCCCUACCGUUGAGACAUGCUUGAUUUGUUAAAUACUAAUCACACUACUUCAUCUCAACUUGAGUAGAUCUCUAUAAAUGCCAUCAUGAUACCUAUGUUUAUCCUAGUAAGUGUUGGUUUGGAAGUACUAGACAUACUUCCAUUGGCAUUUAAAUUAAGCGUGGUGCUUAGGUUAAAAUGCUCUCCUAAAAUAAAAUUAGACAUGGUGUCUAGGUUGAUUUUUGAGCCAAUAGUAUGCUAUAGUAGAUAUUGGAUAUUUUGUUGGACUAACCCCUGCAGGAAAACUUCCAAUAUCAACAUGGGAAGUCCUGAGAUACAAACUCACAUUGGAGACAAAGGAGACACAUGAAUUUAACAAUUUGCACAAGGAAGACAUAGCUCAUUCAUCAUAGAGAGAUGAUCCAUGGAAUGAGACAAAGUACAUAAACACGAUACACAGCCACUACGAAUGGGAAACUUCCACAAGGUGAGAUGGUACCAUCACUCUUCAAGUAAGGUAAUAUCUUAAGGUACUUGACUAUCGCUUUUAUAAGCUUCUCCUUGGUUCUGGCGUUCACAUAAGAUAAAGAGACAAACAUAUAUGAUUUGUAACUCCAAAUUAACCAACCCAAUUAAUUCAACAUGUUUAGUCCUUUACUCUUUGUUCUUAGUACUAUCUUCGUGAUCCCACUCCUAAUCACAUAAGCUAAAAUGUUGCACAUUCAAUCUCUGGAAGAUAUAAACAGAACAUAAAUAUAGAUAGAUUAUAUUUCCAUAAGGUUGAGCAAUCUGAUCUGACAAAUGUUUUAAAUUCUACACUCAUGAACUUAUCACCCAUCAACAUUGUCUUGCUCACUAUGUUUAAGGUUAGAGAAGAACAAAUACACUUUUGGUUCUAUUGGUUUUUUUCACCAACAGGGCCCAUGCACUUGAUCUCUGCCUUGUCUCUAUGAGCAGGUACACUUCGAGCAAAACCUGAAGGAGUUUUACAACUCCCAGACUACACCAAGUGAAGGGCUUGGAUCUACGAGCACAAACAUACUCGAGAUACUAGACACUCAGGCAAUCACUGCCCUGAGAUGCUUGAGGACGUAAACUACAACAACUACUACUACUACAACCGUCCUCAACAAAAUCAAAAGAGGCGAUCCAGGACGCCCGUCAUCCCGAUCUCCAUCGGCAUGGUAGACUUCCCAGAAGCACUCUGCAACUUUGGCUCCAGCGUCAACAUUAUGCCCAGGCUUGUAGAUCGGACACUAUGUUUCCCAAAGGUAAUAUUGAAGAACCUCUGUGUCUGAGGAGGCCAUUCCUGAACACCUCGUGAGCUGUCAUCUACGCUAGUGCUGCCAAGAUCAGUUUCUACAUCAAGGGGAGGAAGGACGUUUUCCUUCAAGAACAAGACUACACAAAUCUCAAAACAAUCCCAACAUGAACCAAGGAGGAGGACCAACAGGAGGAACAGGAACAAGCAAAUGUGGACCGAGUCAGCUAGAAUGGUCACUGCAGUUCAAGGAGGUCAAUAUCGUCGACUUAAGUCACCGUUCCUGACCAAAAAGGACAACCCAGCUCAGAUGGCAGAUCAGACAUUCCGAAAGGUUAUUGAUAUGGGAGAAGACGAGUACGAUCCACCCAUCAUCCUGAGGAGACCGUUGCUCAGCACCGUUAAAGCAAUCAUCUACAUUGGAACCGGAGAAGUCCACAUGUACUUCCCCUCUGAGAAGGUACGCCGCUAUUUUACUUACCUUAACUAUAUAGUUGAAGACUCUAAGCAGGUCAGGACAAAGAGGAGGCAAAUCAUCAAGGACGGAUGGGCAGAUUACGAAGGAGAACUGGUAAGGUCUGAAGACAUACAGCUUGAACGGAACUAUCCUGAGGAGACCGUAGCCCCGAGUCACGUGUGGAGAGAGAAGAUAGAUAUACUGGAAGAAGAGGUGCCGCCGAAACCACCGUCUACGUCAUCCAACGAAUCCCAGGAUGACUGAGAAAACAGAGAGUCCCGUUCGGAGGACUUAAAAACACCGAACGCCUUUCCAAGAGGUAAACUUGGUAGUUAUCCUUUUCCUUUCAAUAGUUUGCUUAGUUAAUCAGGUCCAUAUCAUUUCAAAAAGAAAACAAAAAUGUUAAAAAUAGUAAGCCCCAUGUGAGUAGACUUGUGGUUUAAAAAUCCAUAGGUAUAUUGACUGUGGUGGCAUAAAAUAAAUAUGUUUUCAUCUUACAAUAAACAUAUAAAUAAUAAGUGCAUGAUCCUGCUAAAUAAAAUUUAUUAGGAGGAAGCUCAAUAUGAUAAAGGCAAAGAGAUUUUAUGCUAACACUUAACCAGUUCCACAAAGCUUUGUUGUCUAUUUGAGCUCCACAAAAUUCAAGGAUCAAAGAAGACUAGCAGACGAAGGACAUCCUAAUCGCUGUCAGGGUGCUGCCGACAUUCAAAUACACCUCCGCCACCUGCUAGCUACAUCAGGUGAAAUUACAUCAAAAUCCAGCUUGGGGGAGAGCACCCUCAUUUAUCCUGCUAAGUGUUUCUACUCGCGUUUAUACUUUACUCAAAUAAUAAAAAGAUGCAUAAUCAUGAAAACCCAAAUAAAAAUAUUGUGCUUAUAUAUAUAUCUUUGCUUAGUUUGCUAAAUAAAUAAAUAAAUAAAUAAAGUUUGAUAUGAACCCUAAUGAUAAACUCUUACUUGGAUGUGAUAAAUAGUUGCUCUGCCAUAUACCUAGUUUUCAAGUUUCAGCUUUCUCUCAAGUUUAGGCAUAACUGUUAUAAUUUAAACCUGCUCUAAACCUGAUCAUGUGGGAAGAGUACUUGAUCUAAAGUCUAAGUUGUUAACGGAUAUGAUAUGGGAAGGUUGAGCUGCUGUUUAUCUGUUCCUAGAGAUGCUAGAAUUCUAGAGAAUUUUAUCUUUGAAAAAUCUUUAAAAUAACACAUGAUGAGUUCCUGUAUGAUGAGAGUUUAAAUUCCAACCACAGCCAUAUAUACAUGCUUGCUAGACUUUGAGCCACUGAAGGGUCGAGAUGGCGGACUAGAGGGGGGUGAAUAGUCCUUUCUAAAACUUAUCGCACCGGCUAACCGAAAUAAGUGCGGAAUUAAAACUAUCGGUCUAGCCAAGACUACACCCCUCUAUCUAAGUUCUCUAGCACCUUGUAAAAGAUCCUAAACAAGCAAACAAGGUGCUACAUUAGCAAGAGCUCACUUAACCAAUUCUAGAAGCAAGGUCACACAAACCUAUGCCACUAGUACUUUGCAAACCGGGGAGCUCCUACACAACUAGUAAGCAAAAGCACAAAGCUCCUAAGCUCACUAGCAAUGCUCAAUAACAAGGCAACCAAUGCCAAAUUAGAGAGCGCAAAAUACUUAGCUACACAAACUAAGCAAUGUGACUAACAAGGUUACACAAACCAAAUUAGUCACGCAAAGGAACUACUUCUAGCUACACAAGCAAGAAGGUAACUAGAAAGCUACACAAGCUAACUAAUUACAAGAGCAACUACAUAAGCACAAUUAUAUGAAUGUAAGAACAAGCUUGUGUUAGGGACUUGCAAACCAACGGGAAGAACAAAUGUUGACACGAUGAUUUUCUCUCGAGGUUCACUUGGUUGCCACCAAGCUACGUCCUCGUUGAGACAAGCUCCAAGGUUGCCGCCGGUCCUCUUGUUAGUGGUGACCCGCAAGUCACACUCUCCCACGUGGAGUGCUUACCACAAGCUCUAGCACUUGACCCAGCCGGACCACUUGUCGCUCUUCACGUCUCGCUCAACUAGAGUUGCUCUUCGCGAUCCCCGCGGGGUGAGCACUGUACCCCUCACAAUCUCUUCUCUGGAGCACCGCACAAUCUCCUUGCGUGCUUCGACGGAGUCACAAGCCACCAAGCCGUCUAUGAGGUGGCAACCUCCAAGAGUAACAAGCACCACCGGCUUGCAACACAAACACCUAGUGCCACUCGAUGCAAUCUCUCAAUGCAACGCACUAGAAUCGCUCACUCACACAAUCGGAUGAUCACUAUCAAGCAUAUGUGAGUUAGAGGCUUCACUAGCACUCCCCAAGCAUGGACACUAAGUCCCAAGGGUGCUCAGCACUGGCCAAGGCCGGCCACCACUUCUAUUUAUAGCCUCAAGGACUAAACUAGCCGUUGCCUCUUCACUGGGCAAAACACGUGGGCACCGGACGCUCACAGGGAGCCAUCGGACGCUCCCUCAGCGUCCGGUGCUCAGGCGUCUGCCACGUGUCACUAGCCGUUUGAAUUCAACCGUUGCCGCCAACGGCUACUGCGCACGCGCGCUAGCACAGUGUUGACACUUGCUAACACCACUUGAAUACUAGGUUGUCAUCCCCAGCAUGGCACUAGAGUGUACUAUGGUAUUUAUACGCACACAGAUAAUCCGCAAGCGCACGGAUACCGUUGAAGCUUUUACCCGGUUAAAGGUUUUAUCGUAUCCACAGGGAAACAGGAGAACCAACUACGCUCUAACUUAACCAAGAUAGAUAGAUAGGUAUAAAUAGGAAAGAUAAUAGAAUCGAAUAAGAACAAUAUUAAAGGUAAGAUAACAGUGAGUGAUAAUAUGGAAAUAGAGAGUAGAGCAAUUCUAGUAUAUGGGCGAUGGUAGCAGAAUAGAGAGGAUAACUAUGGUUUCUCUACUUCAAAGGGGUAUGUCUAUGUCUGGGACGAACCACGUGAUAAGAGUACACCACAAAGGAUGCUUAUCCAUAGGCCGAUAAACCCUACCCGUCCUGCUAACGAGAGGUGGACUACAGGGGACCAACGUAACUGUCACCUACGCGGCCUACCACACGAUCCAGCUAGUCAGGGGAUAUCCACAAGUAAUCUAGGUCUAAGCACCACGCUUACACCUAUACUACAACUCUAACCUAUAGGGUCCUAUAGAUUAGAAGUACUCAAAAGAGUUGUGAACCAGAACAUACAUGAUUAGUAAUUGCAUAAUGAAUUAGAAGUAGAUUACCAGAGUCAUCCCAUGAGCAAGCUUGAUUAGAGCUUGAUCAUGGCGAAGUACAACCGGAGGAAGAACCGACAGGCCGGCCUCUCCUCUAAUCCUCCUUCGCUCUCCAUCUCGCUACUAUCUAGAUCUACUCUAGUUUAGAGAAGAGAGGAGAGCUCUCAUCUCUAAACCCUAGCUUUUGCUCUGUCUAUGAAUAAUGAAUAAUGAUCAAGGGGUGCCUCCUCCAGGGGCCAGGGGGUCUGGUUUUAUAGUCCCCUCAAGUGAACCUGGGCCGUCGGAUCAAACCGACAUUGAUUGAACGGUUAUUCUUGAUCCUUUAGGUCGGCGGAGCAUAAUCCGCGAGAUUGAGCAUGAUUGGCCACAACUCCUGGGCGGGCGCCCAAGGGGGGUGGGCGGGCGCCCUGCCCCCGGGCCCGUUCGCCUUCCCGUUCGUUCCCGUGGCUUCUGGAGUCUUCUAGAUGAUGUAAAAUUGCGCAGCACGUUAAUAUCUCUAUGUAAUCCGGACGUGUGGGCCUUUCUUCCAUAUUUCCUCAUAACCCCCUGCAGAAAUAGACAAACACCAAAACUCGUGGAAUUCUGUCAGAUAAAACCCUAAGUCUAGAUGUUGAUUUCAUUUGGAUCCUUUUCUUUGUUUAUUUGAUAGUUAAAUUUGAUACUUAAGGACCGUCAACAAACUCCCCCAAGCUUACCUCUUGCUCGUCCCUGAGCAAGGAUAGACUCAGCAAUGGAUCAGAAGUUGUUGCAAUAUCUUAAAUAUUUGACGGUACACAUGCUUUUAAAUAAGAUCUCAUCUCUGAGUUAGAGUAAACUGUCAAGAACUAAAACUUACUUACUUUACCUUUCACCAUGGGACUUGUAACCGUCACUUCUGUCUUGAGUAGUUAAAAGAUAGAACAGUCUAGCCAAGUGCCAUGUCUCUUAUUCUUGAUCAGCUAUAGCUCUGGAUUUUUUGCAGAUUUUCAAAUAAAACUCAGAGAUUCCUUUGUAUGACUCUCUCAUAUCUCUCUUUUGUGGUAUUUCUGGAUCCUUACCAAGGCAGUGACGGUAUAUGCCUUCUCUCAAGAUAUGUGGUAUUUGUGGUAUAAGGCAUAGUGACAUUGCCUUCUCUCUCACCCUACUCUAAUAAGGCUUUAAUAUCUGGAGCUCAUAGGUGGGAGAUAAAGUAUACAUACUUACAAGACAUUUAUUGUAUAGUCAAACCAUGGAUCCAAAGAAACAAAUCAAUAAGCCAAAUCAAGAUGUGCAUGUGUGGCGAAUGAAUAGUGUAUGGUGAUGAUGGUGAUAACAAUGGUGAAAGUCUAAUUCUACUUUUGCUCUUUUGAGGGGAUACAUACCUUCCUUGCUUUUUGAAACUUUAUGAGGAGAAUGAGAUGCUCUUCUUUUUCUUUUUCUUUUCAGGUGGGUAUCCUGUACCCCUAAUUCUACUGUCGGACACUUGUCCAUUUUUACCUCUCGUCUCACUCUUUUUCUUUUCUUUCGAGGUUUCGGGCACUUGCCCCUUUUUAUUUCCUCGUUUAUUUAUUAUUAGUUUUUUCUUUUCUUUUUUUUUCAGAGCACUCAUCUCCUGAAAUAAUGUAGCAAGUGGUAGUAACCAAAAUAACUGGAGUAUUUAUUUCACAGGGAAUAACAGGGAUAGGAAAAUGUUUUUGGCUAUUCUCUCCCGGAUUAGGAGUAGAAUGAUUUUAGGUGAAACUGGAGGUGGAAAUGGAUGGAUAUAUGUGGAUGGUACUUCCGGAGUAGAAGUAGCAUAUAUGAGUGAACGUGCAAGUGAAUCUUGAUUUAACCACAUGACAAGCUCCUAAGGGUCUACACAGCUUGACCACACUCAAUGCUCAUAAGCAGUAAAUAAAUGUGUGGCUCAAAGUCUAGCAAGCAUGUAUAUAUGGCUGUGGUAGGAAUUUAAACUUUCAUCAUACAAGAACUCAUCAUGCAAUAUUUUAAAGAUUUUUCAAAGAUAAAAUUCUCCAGAAUUCUAGCAUCUCUAGGAACAGAUAAACAACAGCUCAACCUUCCCAUAUCAUAUCCGUUAACAACUUAGAUUUCAGAUCAAGUUUUCAUCCCACAAGUUUAGAUCUAGAGCAAGCUUUAAAUUAUAACAGUUAUGUCUAAACUUGAGAGAGAACUUCAAAUUUGCAAAUUAGACAGAGCAACUAUUCAUCAUAUCCAUGCUAGAGUUUUAUUAUUAAAAUUCAGAUUAGCAUGGACACUUUAUUUAUUUAUUAAACACACUAAGCAAAAGAUAUAUAUAUAAGCACAAAAUCUUUAUUUGGUUUUUCAUAGUUUAUGCAUUUUAAUAUUCUAAUAUAAUAUAAGUAUAAAGAUAGGUAGAAAUACUUAGCGAGAUAAAUGGGGGUGCUCUCCCCCAAGCUGAAUUUUGACGUAAUUUCUCUUGAUGUAGCUAGCAGGUGGCAGAGGUGUAUUUGAAAGUCAGCAGCAUUGUGACAGCGAUUAGAAUGUCCUCCAUCUGCUAGUCUUCUUAAUUCUUAAAUUCUGUGGAGCCCAAAUAGACAACAAAGCUUGUGGAACUAAUUAAGUGUUAGCAUAAAUAUCUAGCCUUCAUCACGUUGAGCUUCCUUAAUAAAUAUUACUCCUUGUUUUUAUAUUUUUAUUUUAUAAAGUAAAAAAGAAAUAUUUAUUUUAUUUUUAUGCCACCACAGUGAAGGUACUUAUGGGUUUUGUGCCACUCGUAUACCCACAUGGGGCUUAGUAGUUUUUAAAUUUUUUUUUUCUUUUCAAGAUAGCAUGAUUUACUAAUAAUCUAUUUAAGGAAAGUAAAUAAUUAAAGGGAAAAGGGAAUGUAGAAAGGAUAAAUAUGGAUAACUACCAAUCUUACCUUUCGGCGAGGGUUCAAUGUUUUAAGUCUUCUUUACAAGACUUCUCACCGUGUUUAUUCUUCAGGUGCGUCAUUUGAUUCAGGUGCGGACCUUGACGUCUGCACCUUUUAAUACGGUGUCACCCAUGUUCUUCGUUUGCCCAGCAGUUCGAAGUGAGGUGUUAGCAGUAUCUUGCUCAGUGUGUUUGUGCUCGUAGUGUACCUGCUCAUAGAGACAAGGCAGAGAUCCAGUGCAUGGGCCCUGUUGGUGGAAAACACCAACAGAACCAAAAGUGUAUUUGUUCUUCUCUAACCUUAAGCAUAGUGAGCAAGACAAGUUGAUGGAUGAUAAGUUCAUGAGUGUAGCACUUAUAACAUUUGUCAGAUCAGAUGGCUCAACCUUAUGGAAAGAUAAUCUAUCUAUGUAUAUGUCUUUUUCUUUAUAUCUCUCAAUGAUUGAAUGUGUAACAUCUUAGCUCAUAUGAUUAGGAGUGUGGGAUCAUGGAGGUAGUACUAAGAACAAGGAUUAAAGGACUAAACAUGUUUAAUCAGAUGGGUUGGUUAAUCUAGAGUUGUAAAUCAUACACGUUUGUCUCUUUUAUUUAUAGGAACGCCAUAACCAAGGAGAAGCUUAUAAAAGUGAUAGUCAAGUACCUUAAGAUGUUACCUUGCUCGAAGAGUGAUGGUACAGUAUCAUCUUGUGGAAGCUUUCCUUUCUUAGCGGUUAUGCGUCGUGUUUGUGGCACCCUCCAUGGAUCAUCUCUCUAUGAUGAAUGAGCUAUGUCCUUCUUGUGCAAAUUGUUAAACUUCAUGUGUCACUCUCUUCGUCUCUGAUGUGAGUUUAUCUUAGGACUUCCCAAAUCGGUAUUGAAAGUUUUCCUGCAGGGGUUAGUCCGACAAAAUAUACCAAUAUCUACUCAAGCAGUUUUUUUUAGUUCAAUAACCAAACUAGACUCCAUGUCUAAUCAGAUUAAGGAAGGCUAUUUAACCUAAGCACCAUGCUUAAUUUAAAUGCCAAUGGAAGUAUGGCGAGUACUUCCAAACCAACACUUGCUAGUAAAUAGACAAAGGUAGCAUGACAACAUUUAUAGAGAUUUACUCAAGUGGAGAUGAAGUAGUGUGAUUAGUAUUUAACAAAUUGAGCAUGUCUCAAAGGUAGGGACAACCAGCAUAGCAACAUGGCAAAGGAUGUUUUUAUGUAAAGUACUCCCCCAAGCUUGAAUUUUACAAAAUUCAAGUUUGGAUGAAUUUAAUUCAAUGUUGUAUGAUGAUUGGUUGGACAUACCUUGUACUUGUCAUUCAUCCCAUCUUCUUGCUCCAAUCCUGGAAAGGUUAGUGGCAAGAAUACCCGAAGGAAUAUUUUUUUUUGCAAUUAUUCUUAUAUGCUCAAUACACAAGGUAAUGUUGCAAAUAAUUAAAGGCUCAUGUUACGAUCUGAUCAAUGCUUAUUUUAAGACACUAAGCUUGUCCUUGGGAAACCAUCAGUUUAUGUUGGCGAAGUGGUUUCCCCUCCGACGCCAACCUAUAUCUAGAUCAACUCAACGAGAUCUGCAAUAUUUAUUAUAGACAUAUACAUCGACAACCGCCCUUUUAAAGUUUUUAUAAAUAGAAAGGAAGAGGGGGUUGGAGAUCUCAAGUGUGGUGAUGUCGGAGAGACCAAUAGAUUGGGAAGAUGUUGCAUAUGAGCAUGGAGUAAACGAAGUGGCUAUGAAAUAAAUUCCAUGCUCAUUAAUGUUAUCUUCGUCUCCAAUCUGAAUGUUCGAAGUUUCUCCUGGAUUGGUCUCACCUAUAUCCUCUUCUGUAGUUGGAUGAAUCUCAUCUUCAAAGGGAGUCAAGAACUCACCAUUUGAAAUUGAGCCAAAGUCAGAACCCAUUAAGGCUUCUUCCUUAUCCAUCCAUUUUACACAUUCUAGCCAUUUAGAACUUGUGAUCAAAAUAGGGGAGGUGUUAGAAUUUUCUAUAUGGCUUAGCUCUCCUUCACUUGAUAUGUCAUCCUCGACUUCUUCAUAACAGGAAUGAGGACAUUCUUUAAGAGAAACAUUAUUGCAAUGAUUUGAAUUAUCCCUGCUUGAAGGUCUCUUAUAGAACCAGAAGUCUAAACCAUCAGCAUCUAAAAGAUUUCAGGUCGGAAUUCCUUCCUCCCUUGGAGAAUUUUGGGGUAUUGAUGGUUUAGGAUCGAUAGCUAAAGUUUGGGAUUGAAGUGGUUGUAAUCUGGCUAUCGAAACUUCUUCUUCUUUUCUACGGACUGGUUCUUUCUCUUUCUCAGGGAUAUAAAAGCUAGGAGACUUUCCGCUCAUUAAAUCAAUCAAAUUCCAAGCUUCACUAGCGGAUAGGUGGUGGAAAGAUCAUCUAGAGGCCGCAUGAAGGGUUUGCUUAUUUUUCCUACUAAGGCCGUCAAAAAAGUGAAUUAGAAGAACUUCUUCUGGAAUAGAAAGUUUUGGGCCAGUGAGAGUAAGGUUAAUAAAGCGGUCCCAUGAUUUGCUAAGAGAUUCUUCUUCCAGUUGUCUAAAAGAAAGAAUCUCACGCCGAAGUUCCACCACUUUGGAGAUUGGAAAAUAUUUAGAAAGAAAGCUACUAUAUAACUCCUUCCAAUCUCCAUGAACACUCCCUACUUUGAGUUUAUACCAAUGUCUAGCUUUUCCCGUUAAAGAGAACGGAAAGAGCUUCCAUUUAAGGGUCUCAUCAGACAUGCCUUCUAUGCGAAGGAGGUCACAGACUCGAUAAAACUCUCUUAGGUGUGUGUAUGGGUUUUCCUCACCUUUUCCUGAGAAAGGUUGUUUUUGAAUAAAUUCUAUGUAUUCAGGGUCUAUCUCAAAACUAGAUGCUAUGAUAGGCUUUGAAGAUUUUGGUGGUUCGAGAUGUGUGCCCAUAGGUCUAUGAAAUUCAUAGAUAGACAUGUUUGAAUUCAUAAUAGACCACAGAUCAAGGAUUAGAUAAGAAGAAAGAAUAGCAGAGAUGAGGCAAAGGAUAAAAGGAAAAUAUUUUUUUUUGUUAUAUAUAUAUAUUUUUUAUAAAAUGAUUAAACUAGUUCGUAGUCAACUCAGCAACCGUUUCCCCGGCAACGGCGCCAAAAAUGCUUGUUGACACUUGCUAACACCACUUGAAUACUAGGUUGUCAUCCCCAGCAUGGCACUAGAGUGUACUAUGGUAUUUAUACGCACAGAGAUAAUCCGCAAGCGCACGGAUACCGUUGAAGCUUUUACCCGGUUAAAGGUUUUAUCGUAUCCACAGGGAAACAGGAGAACCAACUACGCUCUAACUUAACCAAGAUAGAUAGAUAGGUAUAAAUAGGAAAGAUAAUAGAAUCGAAUAAGAACAAUAUUAAAGGUAAGAUAACAGUGAGUGAUAAUAUGGAAAUAGAGAGUAGAGCAAUUCUAGUAUAUGGGCGAUGGUAGCAGAAUAGAGAGGAUAACUAUGGUUUGUCUACUUCAAAGGGGUAUGUCUAUGUCUGGGACGAACCACGUGAUAAGAGUACACCACAAAGGAUGCUUAUCCAUAGGCCGAUAAACCCUACCCGUCCUGCUAACGAGAGGUGGACUACAGGGGACCAACGUAACUGUCACCUACGCGGCCUACCACACGAUCCAGCUAGUCAGGGGAUAUCCACAAGUAAUCUAGGUCUAAGCACCACGCUUACACCUAUACUACAACUCUAACCUAUAGGGUCCUAUAGAUUAGAAGUACUCAAAAGAGUUGUGAACCAGAACAUACAUGAUUAGUAAUUGCAUAAUGAAAUAGAAGUAGAUUACCAGAGUCAUCCCAUGAGCAAGCUUGAUUAGAGCUUGAUCAUGGCGAAGUACAACCGGAGGAAGAACCGACAGGCCGGCCUCUCCUCUAAUCCUCCUUCGCUCUCCAUCUCGCUACUAUCUAGAUCUACUCUAGUUUAGAGAAGAGAGGAGAGCUCUCAUCUCUAAACCCUAGCUUUUGCUCUGUCUAUGAAUAAUGAAUAAUGAUCAAGGGGUGCCUCCUCUAGGGGCCAGGGGGUCUGGUUUUAUAGUCCCCUCAAGUGAACCUGGGCCGUCGGAUCAAACCGACAUUGAUUGAACGGUUAUUCUUGAUCCUUUAGGUCGGUGGAGCAUAAUCCGCGAGAUUGAGCGUGAUUGGCCACAACUCCUGGGCGGUCCCCCAAGGGGGGUGGGCGGGCGCCCUGCCCCCGGGCCCGUUCGCCUUCCCGUUCGUUCCCGUGGCUUCUGGAGUCUUCUAGAUGACGUAAAAUUGCGCAGCACGUUAAUAUCUCUCUGUAAUCCCGACGUGUGGGCCUGUCUUCCAUAUUUCCUGAUAACCCCCUGCAGAAAUAGACAAACACCAAAACUCGUGGAAUUCUGUCAGAUAAAACCCUAAGUCUAGAUGUUGAUUUCAUUUGGAUCCUUUUCUUUGUUUAUUUGAUAGUUAAAUUUGAUACUUAAGGACCGUCAACACACAGCACCACCGGACGCUCAACUAGUCCACACCGGACGCGUCCGGUGCACACCGGACUCGUGCGCAGAGAGCUCCGCAAACUCGUAGGGUCACCGGACACAAGCCACCAGACGCACCCAGAGCGUCCGGUGCUCACCGGACUCAUGCGCAGAGAGGGUCGCCAAACCGCCCGCUGUUGGGUAUUUUAAACGCAAACAGAAAAAUCUGCAAGCGCACGGAUACCGAUGUAGCUUUCACCCGGGAGUAUUCCAGAGUAUCGAUUUUCCACAGGGAACGUGAGUGUACUAAUUAAGAUUCAAGAUCGCCCAAGGAUAACUAUAUAAUUAUUUUUGGUGGGAAGAGAGGAAGUUUCCUGAGAGUUCUCUAGUUGAUCCAAGAAUCAAGAAUUACUUCAAGAUUAUCUAUAUCGGGACAUCAGAGCACUAACCACAGAAAGAGAUGAGAUGGGGGCUAGGAAGGUCUGACUACGGUCCUACAAACACCGAUCCGAACGAGGUGGAAUACGUCGACCGUUAGGGCUGUCACUACCCUAAGGCUACCACAACAAUCCGCAGGAUUGGGUGCAAUUCCAGGUAAUUGCAAGACUAAACACCACGUCUAAUCUAUUAAUUACUACUCUAAUGUUGCAAAGAUUAGAGCACUUGAUGCAAGCGGGAAUCCAAUAAAUAACUUGAAUGUAAACAAAAGUAAUUAAAGAACUCAGGAUUAUGAAUUGAAGAACCUGGAGAACGAUGAAGAACGAACCAGUUGCUGCAAAAGUACAAUGUUGAGGAAGAUCCGACAGAUCCGGCUCCUCCUCCGCUCUCCUCUUCUCUCUCCCUAUUUUCUAGAUUACAACUAGAACUAACUAGAACUAGAACUAGAGGAACUAGAACUAGAACUAGAUGAACUAGAUCUAGAUCUAGAUGGACUAGAGGUAGAACUAGAAGAACUAGAGGGAUCCUCUCUACUUGGAUGAAGAAUUGAAACCCUAGCUUUGAUUCUGUAGAAGAGGUAUGAUCUCCAGGGGCCAGGGGGUCUGGUUUUAUAGUCCCUUCAAGUGAAUCUGGGCCGUCGGAUCAAACCGACAUUGAUCGUGUGGUUUUCCUUGAAGUAUUAGGUCGGUGGAGCAUGAUCCCCGAACUUCACCCUGAUUGGUCCAGGGGGAGGGCGGGCGCCCAGUAAGGGAGGGCGGGCGCCCAGUGCCCGGCUCCGUUACGUCUCCCGUUCGCUCCCGUGGCUUCUGGAGUCUUCUAGAUGCUAGAAAAUUGCACGACACGUUAAUAUCUCUAUGUAAACCCGACGUGUGGGCCUUUCUUCCAUAUUUCCUGAUAACCCCCUGCAGAAAUAGACAAACACCCAAAACUCGUGGAAUUCUGUCAGAUAAAACCCUAAGUCUAGGUGUUGGUUGCAUUUGGAUCCUUUUCCAUGAUUAGUUGAUGGUUAAAUGUGAGCAUUAAGGACCGUCAACAAGCUCCCCCAAGCUUAACCUUUGCUCGUCCCUGAGCAAAGCUAAAAUCAUCAAGAAAAAUAGGGGUUACUUUUAUGCCUCUUACUAUAGGGUUUUUAAGUUAUCACUAAGGUCUUAAGUGAUUGAAAAACAGAACGAUCAAGUCAAGCACUAUGUCUCAAGUUCCUCUGUCUUACCUUUGUUCUGGAGUUUUUUAUAAGUCUGCAAAAUAAAACUGAGGCAUUUGCCUUCUUCUCGAAAGAUAUAUAAGUAGAGCUUUAAAAGUUUAGCAUACUUACUUUGCAUUUUGCUAUGUCAACGCUCGGAGUAAGGGAGAGGAAUAUCAUACUCCUAGAUCAAGACCUUUGACCUUUUUGAAAAGUUUGUCAUCUCUUACUGGCAUAUUGCUUAUUAGAGGGACCAUGGGCUAUCAUUUUAUUUCUUUUUUUUUCUCUUUUUUUUAAUCUUCUUUUUUUUUAAGUGGGCAGCAAGUACCCCUAAUUCUACUGUCGGACACAUGUCCAUUUUUUCCACUCAGGUGGGUAUCUUUGUACCCCUAAUUCUACUUCGGACACUUGUCCAUUUUUACCUCUCGUCUCACUCUCUCUUUUUUUUUGAAUCAAAUUUUUGCAUAGUCCCAUGCCUCUAACGCGAUAAUACUUCGGAAGAGUGAAUCUUUUAUAUUUUUAAAACAAAAAGAUCUUGAUCUUGGGAGCAUGAUAAUUCUCUCAACCAAAACUAUAAGAAUUAACAAUGGCUUGAACAAAGCAAGUGCCCACAGUUUUAAUAUUCAUAUCUUAUAAGACUCUAGGUAUUAUGAUCUCAUAUUUAUUUAUUUUUUUAUGAAUUUUUAGAUUUUCAAAAGAUAAAAUCUCCAGAACUCUAGCAAAACUUGGAACAAGUUAAAUAGUAGCUCAGACCUUCUCAUAUCAUGUUUGUCAAUUACCUAGACUUGAAUCAAACUUUCUUUUUAUUUUAUUUAAAACUUAGGAUUACACAAAACUAUUGUAUAUUACUCAAAAGAAAAACUUUGUUUGGUUUCAUGGUUUUGCAUUUUUAUUUAUUUAUUUAUUUCAGAAUACUAGUAAAUAAAACCAAGAAAGGAAAGUAAUACUUAUCUAGAUACACGUAGGGGUGCCUCCCCCAAGCUGGAUGUUGACAUAGUCGUUCACUCUUGUGGCCUGCAUGUUCGGUCUCACUCUUCUUAAGCCUCAAAAUCCUGCACAACCCAAAUAGACAACAAAACUUGUGGAACAUGUUAAGGGUUAAGUAAUUGUCUAGAGCUUAUGAGAGCUUAAUGUGAGAAUUCUAUGAACUCAAUCACAUCAGGUUCCUCUACCAGGUUGUUUUGUGGCUCGAGAUAGAUUUUCAAGCAUUGACCAUUUACCUUAAAAGUGUUACCUAUGUCGUCUUGGAUGGUAAUGGCUCCAUGAGUUGAAGUAUCAAUAACUUUGUAUGGUCCAUCCCACUUACUUCGUAGCUUACCAUGCCCAAAGAGCUUAACUCUUGAAUUGAAUAGUAGAACCUUAUCUCCAGACUUAAACUCCUUGUGCUUGAUUCUCUUAUCAUGCCAUCGUUUUGUUCUCUCUUUAUAGAUCCUUGAAUUGUGGUAGGCUUUCUCUCUCCAUUCUUCUAGCUCAGAUAGUUGCAUCAGACGAUUCUCACUAGCGAGGUGGAGAUCCAUGUUCCAUUUCUUGAGUGCCCAAUGAGCCUUAAACUCUACUUCGACAGGCAAAUGACAAGUUUUUCCAUAUACAAGUUGAUAAGGUGACAUGCCUAUGGGUGUUUUGAAUGCAGUUCUAUAUGCCCAAAGUGCAUCAGGAAGUUUGUCCUUCCACCCCUUACCCAUCUCAUCUACGGUCUUUUGUAAAAUAUUUUUGAUUUCUUUGUUAGAUGUUUCGGCUUGACCGCUAGUCUGAGGAUGGUAUGGUGUUGCGACGUUAUGUCGAACUCCAUGAUCGGCUAGGUACUUCCGGAAGAUUUUGUCGAUGAAGUGGGAACCUCCAUCGCUUAUAACUAUCCGGGGUAUACCAAAGCGAGGAAAGAUUACUUCAUGGAACAUUCUCUUGGCAUGUUUUGAAUCAGCUGAUCGACAAGGUAAGGCUUCUACCCAUUUGGACACGUAGUCCAUAGCUACUAAGAUAUACUCGCAAUUCCCGGACAUAGGGAAUGGCCCCAUGAAAUCAAUGCCCCAUACAUCGAAUAGUUCUACUUGAAGAUUAUUUGUGAGAGGAAUUUCAUUUCGUGAGUUAAUAUUCCCAUGUUUUGACACCGGUGGCAUCUCCUGACAAAGUCCUUUGUAUCUUCAUACAUCGUUGGCCAGAAAAAACCACUUUGCCAAAUUUUAGCAUGUGUCCGGAAUGCUCCAUAAUGUCCUCCAUAUGGCGAGGCAUGGCAUCUUUCCAUAAUUUGAGUAGCCUCAGCCAUAGGAACACACCUUCUCAAGAGUCCAUCAGUGCAGACUCGGAAAAGAUAUGGCUCAUCCCAAAGGUGGAAACAACUAUCGUGAAGCAACUUCCUUUUGUUUGCACUAGGUGGGACAUAGCCUUUUACUAUAAAGUUUACGAUGUCUGCGUACCAUGGAUCUGCAUGUGUUAUCUUAAGUAGGGUGUCAUCCCUUAGGUAGUCAUUUAUGGGAAGUUCAUCAUGUGUUUCCUUAUAUUGAAGCCUAGACAAGUGGUCGGCUACGGAAUUCUCAACUCCCUUCCUAUCUCGGAUUUCUAUGUCAAAGUCUUGGAGUAGAAGAAUCCAUCGAAUGAGACGAGGCUUAGCAUCUUUCUUAGUGAGGAGGUACUUGAGAGCAGCAUGGUCUGAAUAGAUGAUUAUCUUUGCCCCCACUAAGUAAGAUCUAAACUUGUCUAUAGCAUAGACAACAGCCAAAAGCUCUUUUUCAGUUGUAGUGUAAUUGAGCUGUGGUCCAGACAAGGUUUUGCUAGCGUAGGAUAUGGCAUAAUGCUUUUUAUCCUUGGUUUGUCCUAAAACGGCCCUGACCGCAAAAUCACUGGCAUCACACAUGAUCUCAAAAGGAAGAUUCCAAUCAGGUGGUUGGAUAAUCGGGGCUGAGAUGAGUGCUUUCUUAAGAGUUUGAAAAGAUUCAUGACACUCAUCACUAAAGAUGAAAGGUGCAUCCUUAGCUAGGAGAUUAGUUAGGGGUCUAGCAAUUUGAGAGAAGUUCUUGAUAAAGCGUCUAUAGAACCCUGCAUGUCCCAAAAAGCUACGGAUUCCUUUCACAUUCGUGGGAGGUGGAAGUUUUUCAAUAACUUCAAUCUUUGCUUUGUCCACCUCUAUACCACGUUCGGACACUUUAUGUCCUAGCACUAUUCCUUCCUGAACCAUAAAAUGGCAUUUCUCCCAGUUCAGGAUUAAGUGCUUUUCUUCACAUCGCUGCAAGACUCUAUCUAAAUUCUCCAAACAAUGAUCGAUGGUUUUGCCAUAGACGGUAAAAUCAUCCAUGAAAACCUCCAUGAUCUUCUCAAUCAUGUCCGAGAAAAUAGACAUCAUGCACCGUUGGAAAGAAGCUGGAGCAUUGCACAAUCCGAACGACAUUCGUCGGUAUGCAUAAGUUCCAUAUGGGCAUGUAAAGGUAGUCUUUUCUUGGUCAUCUGGGUCGAUUGGGAUUUGGUGAUAUCCAGAAUAACCAUCAAGGAAACAAAAGAAAGAGUGGUUUGCAAGCCGUUCCAACAUUUCAUCAAUGAAGGGUAACGGAAAGUGAUCUUUCUUUGUAGCCUUGUUGAGUUUUCGAUAGUCAAUACACAUACGCCACCCAGUGACAAUUCGUUGAGGGAUGAGUUCAUUUUUCUCAUUCAUAACAACCGUCAUUCCUCCUUUCUUUGGCACUACUUGGACAGGGCUAACCCACUCACUAUGUGGCACAGGAUAAAUAAUCCCAGCACGAUAGAGUUUGAGGACCUCUUUCUUAACAACCUCUCGCAUAGCAUUGUUAAGUCUCCGUUGUGGUUCCCUUGAAGGUGUAGAAUUGGGAUCAAUAGGGAUACGAUGAGUACAGAGAAUGGGACUAAUGCCCGUGAGAUCCUCGAGAGAGUAGCCAAAUGCUGAUCUAUGUCUUUCAAGAACAGUGACAAGUUGUUGUGUUUCAUAAUCGGAAAGCUUGUCACUAAUAAUUACUGGAGUUUUUGAGUUGUUGUGCAAAAAGACAUAUCUAAGGCCAGAAGGAAGAGGUUUUAAUUCUAUCGAAGGAGGUGAAGGUAGUUCAUUUUUGUCUAGCUCAACGGGUUCUACCAACUCUUCUUCUUCUUGAACAAAGUGUUCAUCAUUAAAGAAUGGUUGGGUCAUCUCCUCUUGAGUCACCAUUAAGAUCUCCUCAAUAGGAUCUGGGUCAAGUUUGGGUUCCACUAUCGUGUUAAUUGAUCUAGCUAGAGGAACAACAAUAGUGGAAUUCCCAACUUUGAAGUCUAAAUGACCUCGUUGUGGUUGUUCUUCUAGAAGUUUCAUGAUUGGUCUACCAAUCAAGAGAGGAAUCUCCGGUAUGUCAAAAAUGUGAAAAUCUAGACAUAUUCUAGAGUCCUUGAUUCUAACAGGAACUGCCCUUAAUACCCCAUGGCUUUCUAGAAUUAAUCUAGAUGGACUUUGUAAAAGUUUUUGAGAUGGGGUUAUGGACUCGUUGGGAUAAAGAGUGUCAGCUAACUCCUUGGAAAUAACAUUUAUCCCAACAUAUGGAUUGUAGUGGACCUUCCUAGGGGACCUUCUAAUUUGGCACAGAAGAAUGGUUGAAGGAGUGAUGAAUCGAGCUACCUCAGGAGACAGCUCAGCUUCUGUUAGCCAUUCAUAACUCAGAAUAGCCGAAAGGCUUUUGAUGUGUUCUAUGUCAACAGAUUCUACUCUUAGAACAGAUUGAGUGGUCCUUGCUAGAGGUCGUGUUUGGAUAGGAAAAUUCGAGGUGUUUCCAUAAUCUUCAAAAAGAUCUUCCUCGAAUUCAAAGGGAUGCUCUAAAGGUGGUGGUUCAUCAUCCCUUAGUUGGUUUUGCAUUCCUUUAUCAGGAGGUUUCUCUACAACCAAAUUAAUGGAUGGGUCAGGUGGAAUUUCUGUCUUGGUUGCAAGUUCCUCAUCUUUUGGUUUAGGAUUAGGCUCGACUUCUUUUUCUUCUUCAGGAAACUCAUCAUAAAUGCCUGUGUAAGGGGUAUUUUCAAGAAUUCUUUCUAGGAUAGCUCUCCCGUCAUCUGUGAGUUUGUGUGUGAAUGAGCCUCCUGAAGCAAUGUCGAGGUGAAGAGCAGCUUCCUUGUUUAGACCACGAUAGAAGUGGUAGUAUAGUACAUGGUCAGGCAGGGAAAGGUUUGGACCGGAAUUGGUAAGGCUUGUGAACCUAGCCCAAGCUGCUCCUAAAGUUUCCUUCUCUCUUUGUUUGAAUGUAAGAAUUUCAAUUCUAAGGUCAGCAAUUCGAAAAAGUGGGAAGAAAGCGAGACAAAAGUUGUCUCGAAGUUCAUCCCAACUUCCAUUAACGCCUCCUACAGAAUGAGCAUACCAUUUUUUUGCUCUUCCCAAAAGGGAGAACGGAAAUAACUUCCAUUUAAGGGUUUCUUGUGUCAUGCCGGAAAUAGAUCGGCAAGAACACAACUGCUCGAAUUCUCUAAGGUGGGUGUAUGGAUCUUCAUCUACUUGCCCAGAGAAGGAUUGCUCCUGAAUCAUGGCUAUUAGAUCAGGGCCGAGGUCGUAGCCAUCUGUAAGAAUUGGAUGUGAUGAUGGUGGUGGCUCUAAUAACUCGCCCUUUGGAGCAAAGAAUUUAUAGAUAGGAGUGAAAUCCAUGUGGUGUGGUGAAAAUGGUAAGGUGAGUGUGGUAAAAAGGAAAGGAAAAAGGAUACACGGACGACUUGGUUUGAAACUAGCACAGCUACCGUUCCCCGGCAACGGCGCCAGAAAGCUUGUUGGGUAUUUUAAACGCAAACAGAAAAAUCCGCAAGCGCACGGAUACCGAUGUAGCUUUCACCCGGGAGUAUUCCAGAGUAUCGAUUUUCCACAGGGAACGUGAGUGUACUAAUUAAGAUUCAAGAUCGCCCAAGGAUAACUAUAUAAUUAUUUUUGGUGGGAAGAGAGGAAGUUUCCUGAGAGUUUUCUAGUUGAUCCAAGAAUCAAGAAUUACUUCAAGAUUAUCUAUAUCGGGACAUCAGAGCACUAACCACAGAAAGAGAUGAGAUGGGGGCUAGGAAGGUCUGACUACGGUCCUACAAACACCGAUCCGAACGAGGUGGAAUACGUCGACCGUUAGGGCUAUCACUACCCUAAGGCUACCACAACAAUCCGCAGGAUUGGGUGCAAUUCCAGGUAAUUGCAAGACUAAACACCACGUCUAAUCUAUUAAUUACUACUCUAAUGUUGCAAAGAUUAGAGCACUUGAUGCAAGCGGGAAUCCAAUAAAUAACUUGAAUGUAAACAAAAGUAAUUAAAGAACUCAGGAUUAUGAAUUGAAGAACCUGGAGAACGAUGAAGAACGAACCAGUUGCUGCAAAAGUACAAUGUUGAGGAAGAUCCGACAGAUCCGGCUCCUCCUCCGCUCUCCUCUUCUCUCUCCCUAUUUUCUAUAUUACAACUAGAACUAACUAGAACUAGAACUAGAGGAACUAGAACUAGAACUAGAUGAACUAGAUCUAGAUCUAGAUGGACUAGAGGUAGAACUAGAAGAACUAGAGGGAUCCUCUCUACUUGGAUGAAGAAUUGAAACCCUAGCUUUGAUUCUGUAGAAGAGGUAUGAUCUCCAGGGGCCAGGGGGUCUGGUUUUAUAGUCCCUUCAAGUGAAUCUGGGCCGUCGGAUCAAACCGACAUUGAUCGCGUGGUUUUCCUUGAAGUAUUAGGUCGGUGGAGUAUGAUCCCCGAACUUCACCCUGAUUGGUCUAGGGGGGAGGGCGGGCGCCCAGUAAGGGAGGGCGGGCGCCCAGUGCCCGGCUCCGUUACGUCUCCCGUUCGCUCCCGUGGCUUCUGGAGUCUUCUAGAUGCUAGAAAAUUGCGCGGCACGUUAAUAUCUCUAUGUAAACCCGACAUGUGGGCCUUUCUUCCAUAUUUCCUGAUAACCCCCUGCAGAAAUAGACAAACACCCAAAACUCGUGGAAUUCUGUCAGAUAAAACCCUAAGUCUAGGUGUUGGUUGCAUUUGGAUCCUUUUCCAUGAUUAGUUGAUGGUUAAAUGUGAGCAUUAAGGACCGUCAACACCCGCACACCGGACGCUGAGCACCGGACUCACUUCGGUGCGUCCGGUGCACUCUGCUGCACCCGACAGCACACCGGACGCUAAAGGCCAGCGUCCGGUGCCUCCGCGUAGUGCGUCCGGUGAGUGUUUUCUACUCCCAUGACUUCUCCAAAUUUUCCAUCGGCGCAAUAGAAAAUAUACGCUUGAUUUUCUCAAAAGCGCCGAACACCAAUCUCAACCCUAGGAACACCACCUCCUUUGUAAAGUGUGCCAACACCAACAAGUGUACACCACCAUGUGCAUGUGUGUUAGCAUUUUCUCAAACAUUUUUUCAAAGGAGUUAGCCUCUCAAACUUGCCACGCCACUCGAUCCUAACACGUAUGCAGAGUUAGAUCACUCAAGUGGCACUAGAUGACCGAUAUGCAAACAAGUUUUGCCCCUCUUGAUAGUACGGCCAUCUAUCUUAAAUCCGGUCAUAAACUUCUCUACACACCUAUGACCGGUGAAAUGGAAAUGCCCUAGGUUAUACCUUUGCCUUGCGCAUUUCAUUUCAUCUCCUCCAAUGUUGAUGCAACACAUGCACCAACUAAUCACCAAAUGAUAUGAUCCACUUCAUAUCAUCACGUGACCGUAUUGGUUCAUCGAUCUUGACCUCACUUGCUCUUUACCGUUGCCUUGGUCCAUCGGCGCCAAGUCUUGCUCAAGCUUCACCGUCACACACGGUCCCUCGCUUCAAAGCCUCCGACUUGCCCUUCACUCUUGCAACCGGUCCAUCAAGCCAAGCCUCAUCUUGAUCUUCUCCACCUUGGUCACAUGACUCCAUGUCAUGUCUCAUAUGCAAUGAGCUCCUCCAUCAUCAUAUAAUCACCUGUGAACUAAUCUCCUGUGUAUCUCACAUAAACACUAUUAGUCCACCUAAGUUGUCACUCAAUUACCAAAACCAAACAAGGACCUUUCAGCCACACAUUUACUUUUUACUACUUAUGAGCAUUGAGUGUGGUCAAGCUGUGUAGACCCAUAGGAGCAUGUCAUGCGGUUAAAAUCAAGAUCCAUUUGCACGUUCACUCAUACAUGCUACUUCUACUCAGGAAGUAUGCAUCCACAUACAUCCACUCAAUUCCAUCUCCAGAUUCACCUAAAAUUAUUGUACACCUAAUUCGGGAGAGAAUAGCCAAAAACAUUCUCCUAUUUCUGUUUUUCCCUAUGAAAUAAAUGCUCGAGUUAUCUUGGUUACUACCAUUUGCUAUAUUAUUUCAGGAGAUGAGUGCUCUUAAAAAAAGAAGAGAGAAAGAAUACGAGGAAAUAAAAAGGGGCAAGUGCCCGGAACCUCGAAGAAAAGAAAAGGUGAGACGAGAGGUAAAAAUGGAUAAGUGUCCGAUAGUAGAAUUAGGGGUAGAAGAUACCCACCUGAGAGAAAAGAAAAAGAAAAUAUAUAGCAUCUCAUUCUCCUCAAAAAGCUUCAAAGUGCAAGAAAGGUAUGUAUCCCCUAAAAAUAGAAAAAGUAGAAUUAGACUUUCACCAUUAUUAUUACCAUCAUCACCAUACACCAUUCAUUCGCCACACAUACACAUCUUGAUUUGACUUGUUUCUCUGGAUCCAUGGUUUGACUAUGCAAUAAAUCUCUUGUAAGUAUGUAUUAUCUGUCUCCCACCUAUGAGCUCCAGAUAUCAAAACCUUAUUAGAAUAGGGUG